GCAGCGCGAAGCUCGUCGUAAAGCGGAGAGUCCGGGUUAGCGAACAAGGCAGGGAGUUGCAUGCCAGCUGGCGCGUCCCAGUUCCAAAACGGCAACGCGAACGUCGGAUCGUCUAUGAGUUUGGCCAAGAUUCUUUCGUGGAAGUAUAGGUAGUAACGAUGGAAGGGGAAGAAAAGCCAGCAUUGAUGGAUUUGGAGCUCGAGGUUGGGGAAGCCGACUUGGUCGUACGCGCCGUCGCAAUAGGCACAGUGGAGAUCGGCUUGCUGGGUGAAGCUACGCGGAUCGUCGUCCGGGAGGGCUUUCAUGAGCUCGAUGGCUUUUGAAUAUUUUUCGAUGUAGGCUUUAUCCACGGUGUGAGCUGCCGGCCUGACGCGGAGUUUGGUAGGGGAGGGGAAUUUGAAGUCUACGAUUUUUUGGGACGUUGGCGGGCAACAGUUGGUCGGGACUGCUCCACUUGGAAAGUCCGCAGCUCCGCAUUUGGCUAGGUCAGGCGGCGACACUGGCUUUGCAACAGCGAAGGGGUCGCUGCCAAGACCAGCCACUCCACCGUAUAGGCUUCCGAGACCUAUAAGUACAUUUCUUCUGUCUAGGUUUACUGGAGAAGGGUUUUCAUGGUCGUGAUCGUUGGAGCUAGUGGAAGGGUUUUUGUUUUGGUCACUACUAUUAUUUGUGGCUUUGCAUGAGACAGCUUGUAAAUUGGAAUGCCUAGGGUUUCCAAAUGAGGAUAUUCGGUGAUACUUUUGGGAGAAAGGGGAGAGGAAAGUUGUGGGGAUGAUACUUGUGGCGGAGGUGACGAGUGGAGCUGACAUAGAAGCCAUGGUUACUUUUGACUCUGAAUAAUACGUUGUAUUGGCUUUGCUUUUAUAAUGUGUUCUAGGUUGUACUUUUCUUUGCACAGGUGGCAGGCCGUACACACGUGGUCGGUCCUUAAGGGUUUGACGAGGAAUACUACGUAGUCAUUUAGUACAGGACAACCAUACACUAUAGCAAGUGGCAUGUAUUUAGAGAUCGAGAGAGAAUUGGGUAAGGUUCACGAGGGAUUUGUAGUUUCAGAAGGUGAAUUGGUUUUGGUCUUCUUGUGUACCAAUAAUAUUUACUUAGUCAUUUAGUGCAGGACAACCAUGCACUAUAGCAAGUGGCAUGUAUUUAGAGAUCGAGAGAGAAUUGGGUAAGGUUCACGAGGGAUUGUAGUUUCAGAAGGUGAAUUGGUUUUGGUCUUCUUGUGUACCAAUAAUAUUUACUUAGUCAUUUAGUGCAGGACAACCAUGCACUAUAGCAAGUGGCAUGUAUUUAGAGAUCGAGAGAGAAUUGGGUAAGGUUCACGAGGGAUUGUAGUUUCAGAAGGUGAAUUGGUUUUGGUCUUCUUGUGUACGGCUGUGGGUCUGCUGUCCCGGACUCUCUGUCUCAUUUGUGUCUUAUUUUUUAUUUUUUCACACGUGUCUUUUACUUAACGUCAAAUCAUGAUAGCAAUGUUAUGCAAUUGGGAGCUAAACGACCGAUGCUUUUAUUUUUUAGUUUGCUUUUUUUCCAGAUCUGAUCAAAUCAUGAUAGCAAUGUUAUGCAAUUUUCAAGAGGGAAAGAUGCACCUGGGAGAGAAACGGUACGGUGACUUCUAAAUCACCGUCCAACAGAACAAUUCUCAGUAGAGACUACUAGAGAGAGAUGCACCUCACCAAUGAAAAAUUUAACUGCAAAAAUUCUGGGUAUUGGGUAAGGAAAUUCGGUGAUACUUUUGGGAGAAAGGGAAGAGAGAAGUUGUGGGGAUGAUACUUCUCGUGGAGGUGACGAGUGGAGCUGACAUAGAAGCCAUGGUUACUUGACUCUGAAUACUACGUUGUAUUGGGUUUGCAUAUAUAUAUAAUUAGGAUUGAAGGAUGUAGAGCUUAUUUUGUUAUGUAUUUUAACGAUUUAAGUGCUUAUCUUUUAGGUUUUCUCUUAAACAUCAUGUCUAUAAAAAAUCACCAAAAUUCAAACCAUAUGACCAUUAGAUCCAUAGUCAUUUUAGUGUUUAUUUGUAAAAUGUAUUCAUUCAUUUUCUUCACUACAAAUGAGUGAAUUAAUGAUUUUAGAAUUUGUCUAAUUUUUUACAUUGAUUAUUUAUGAAUGUUGAAUUGAAAUUUAGACGAUUCAAAAAUAGUUGAUAUGCAUUACAAAAUGAACUCCACAAAAUAAGUGUCAAAAUAUGUAUAAAAAAUGGACAGCGUGAAUGGCUUGGAAAUUGGAAUAGGUUUGAAAAUUGUGCUUUUUGUAGCAAAUUUUAGCAAAGUUUGCUUGGACUUUCACAACCGUAUAAAUUAAAGGGAAACUUGAUAUAACUCCAAUUUUUUGAGCCAAUAGUAGGAAUAGUCCAGUUUAUUAAAAUAAGUUCAAUUCUUUAAAUUUAAUUAUUUAGUUAUCAAUAAUUAUCUCUUAAAAGAAAAAACUUAUUGUAAAAAUCAAAUUUCUUCCUAAUUAUCUCUUUGAUUAUUUCUUUUUAUUUAUUUAUUUGUUAUUUCUUGUUCUUCCUCCUGCUUUAACCCAUUUAUAGAUUUUUUUUUUAAUUUUAUAAUCAACCUAUGUCACAGGUUAAUUGUAUUUAUCUACCUAUAUGACAUAUUCUUUUUCAUAGUCAACAUUUCACAGAUUAAUGUGUCUUGCUUGUAGAUAUAUUAUGUUUUUUUCUACCUUUUAGUUAGGUUUCAUAUCUCACUUAUAGGUAUAAUAUACAUUCAUAUAUUUGCUACUUGAGUUAGGGUAGAAUGUUUUGCAGAUAGAUUUAUGUUAGUAUAUUAAUUUUUUUUUGUUUAUAAGAUAUUAAUUAGAUAUUUUGGAGUUGAAAAAUGCAUAAUAUUAAAAGCUUUUAAUUGAUUUUUAAUAUUUUUAGAAAAUAUAAAAGGAGUAUAAAAGAAAUCAAAACAUAUAAUUAGAUAACGGGAGUCACUCCUAAAAACACUCUAUGUUUUUUGACCUGGAUCUUAAAGCCCCUAAAUUAAACUGUUCGCUUUGUUGGGAAAAAGAAGUGGCCCUAGUUUCCCUUUGAUUUUUCAAGCACGGUGGGAGACUGGUCAUAGUUUCUAGAUUGAUGCUCUAAUUCUAAUGUUAUACAACGCGUACGCUAUAAUAUUUUUAUCAAAAUAUUAGUUUUAGUGUUAUCAAAACAAUAUGUUAUUCUUACCAUGUUUUUGUAUCACAAUUAUAUACCACCUUAGAUGGUAUCUGAUGUGGACAGCCACAUCAUUUAAAUUAAUAAGCAUUUAAUUUCAAAAUGUUAAUCAAUAAUUAAUAAAAAGAUUGUUAAUUAAAUGAUGAUUGUGGUAUACAAGGAGUCUCCUUCUUCCUUCCUCUUUCCAUUCUGCUUUUUCUUCUUACCUCUUUUUUUUUUUUAAUGCCAGUUUUGUAUUGAUUUCUGUUGAUUUCCAUGAUUAUGGUCAAUCUUUAUAGAAUUUACUAGUAUGCCACAAUCACCAUUGAUUUCUAUCUCCAGACUCAUGCCCCGUAGCCCUAAUCCUCAUUCCCCUUCAAGUAUUUCUGUCUCCAAUCUUCUUUGGUACUCCAUGAUUGUUCAUCUCGUGAUAUUUUUUUUUUUGAUUAUUUCAUUAAGUAACGCUUAUUAGCUUUCAUGCGAAUUAGGAGUCAAAAUCAAAUUUGUCUAUCGGAUUAGGGUUCAUACCCAAUUAAGUUACUAACGCCAGAGGGAUUUUGAAGUAUGCAAUUUUCCUUAUUUAAGUGUUUUAAUUAAUAAGAAAAUUGAAAUUAAACAAUUUAGCUUGUCCAACUCAUCUGCCACCUAAGAUGGUAAAUAAAUGUGGUAUAAAAUUGUGGUAAGAAUAUCAUUACUCUUAUCGAAAUUACAAAAAAAAAAAAAAAAGCUGAUUCAAUAUUUAGUUAUUAAAAAAAAAAUGAUCAAGUAACUAUCCAAUACCCAUGUAUUGGGUGCUUUGUUUGAAAAUUUUCAAAAUGAUAUUGGGCUCGUUUGGAUAUGUUUUUAAAAUGACUGAAAGCAUUUUUAGAGAAAAUAUUUUUUUGAUUCCAAAAGCACUUAAAGUGCUUUCUGCAAGAAGCACCCGUUAUGUGCUUCUUCCUGGAAGCACUUUAAGUGUUUUUCCAGCAUUUACUUGCUUUUUUACUAAGGACUGGUUCCAAAAACAUUUUCACAAAAAGUGUUUUCAGUCAUUUUAAAAGCACAUUCAAACGAGCUCAUUGUUUUUCCUAUUUUAAUCGAGUGCGUCGUCCUCUGUUGAGAAUGAAUCUCAUAUUAUGGGAGGAGGGAUCUUGCAUGAAUGGGAGGAGGGACCUUGCAUGAGCUUAUAAGUAAGUUGGGUUACUCUCCAUAUUGCCAAAAGAAAUUUUAUUUGGACCCAGUUUUCCUCUCUCUAAACCCAACUUUAAUAUUUUGUUACCUAUAAACUCUCUAGUUUACCCUCAUAAAUUAUAAACAUAAAUAAACUAGAAAAAGAAAAACUCAUCAAACCCAUUUCCCAACUGUUCUGGCGUCUCUUCCCUGUAUUUGUUGGGUCUGUCUCCCUCCCGACUGUUUUUUUUUUUCUGAUAUCUCUGUGUGUUCCCCCACCUCUCCCACACCCACCAAUUCUUUGUGGUGGCUAUUCCACCAAACGUCCAGUGAAUCUUUCCAUUUUUCUUCUAUUGCGCGUGAUAGGGCCUUGCUAUUAAUAGGCAAAACUAAGCGGCAUCGUCGACUCCGUAAGCGACUUGUUGCAUAAGUCCAAAAUGGAGUCAAAUGGAUUUUGUAUUGGGUCGGGUUGUUGAAGGCGAUGGCUGAUUUAGCAAUCCCGCCUAACUAUUUCUAUAUGUAGGAGAAGGAAGAGGGAGGGAGGUCUGAAGUGGUGGUUGAGUGGUGGCGAUGUAUGUGGGUUCUCUCUCGGUUGAAUGGGUGUAGAAAGAUAUUUAAUUUUCAAUAUCUUAUUUUAUUUUGUAUAAGGGAUAAUAUAGGAAUUACAUAAAAAGUUUUUUUUAUAGCUAGGUGUAGAAAUAGUAUUGUUGGGUCUAAAUAAAAUUACCCUAUUGCCAAUUAGUUUUAUGGUGAAAUCUUAACUUUGUUCAUGCUUUCAUAGUAGGUUGUUCCACGUGUGAAGUCAAACAUCCACACGCGCUGCACGUCACCCCGUUGUGUUGUUCACGUGUUAAGCUUGAAAAUUCAUCACACAUGAGGGAGCGUGUUGAGAAUAAAUUCCACAGUUUAUAAGUAAGUUGUACUACUCCGUAUAUUACCAAUUAAUUUUGUGGAAUUCCGUCAAAGCUGAAUUUGACGGAAAAAAAUAACUUCAUGUUUGUUCUUAACUAUAAAGUCAGUGAUACACUAAUUCUGGUUUGUUUGUUUUUUCCUUCCUUCUUAAGGAAAUUCCCAAUCCAACCAAAAAAAUGAAAUUCCCAAGAGAAUAGUAGCACGAACAAUCGUAGCUUUCUUCUUCGAUAAGCCUUGGGGAAACAGAAAAGGGAAAACCGGACUUUAACCCUAAUUUCUCCCAAUGCCGCAGCACUCUCUAUUUUCUCUCUCGCUCUAUAUCGCGGUCCCUCUCUCUCGCCGUCCUCUAUUGCUCAAACUCAAUGUCUCCAACUUCCUCUGUAUGGUUCCCGAGGAAGAUGGUAAAACAGUAAGGGCAAGAAAUUGUGACAAGGUUAGAUUUGGGUAUUAAUCUGGUGGGGCUACAAUUCUCCAAUCCACACCCCUUUCAUCUGUGCUAGUGUUUGAACCCAAUAUUAGAUAACCGGUCCAUGCAAUCGAUGCCGUUGAAUGAGAAAAAUUCUAGGCCGUGGGAUCAAAUAUAAUGAUGUGGAUUAAAUAAGGAAAAUUUAAAGAGUAAUGAUAUUCAUACCAUGUUUUUGUACCACAUUUUCAUACCACCUUAGGUGGCAUUUGAUGUGGAUAGCCACAUCAUUUGAAUUAAUCAGAUUUUAAAAUUUAGUUGAUUAUUUAAUAAACUAAUAAUUAAGAAAAACUAAUUAAUUAAAUGAUGAUUGUGAUAUACGAGGAGUCUUUCUCGUUCAUUUCUUUGGGUUUUGCAAAUUUUUCAAAUGAUGUGGCUGUCUACAUCGGAUGCCACCUAAGGUGGUAUAGAAAUAUGGUAUAAAAAUAUGGUAUGAAUAUCAUUACUCAAAUUUAAAUGUUUAUCUUGGUUAAAUUACCAUGAUAAUAUUGUGGAAUUAUCUUUUGCAUAACGGAAGAGCGAGAAAAGUCCAAGGGUGUAGGGAAGUUGUGUGGUUGACUACCGCUAUUUUGAUGGUAUAAUCUGUAGAGUAAUAUUACAUUUAACAUCUAUUUGUAUCAUAUUUCUAAUAAAGAUAAGGACCAUCAAUGCAUAAAUAAUUAAACAAAUAUAUAAUAAGAGUAUCAUUUUUGUAACUAGAAUAGGAGAAGAAAGACUUCAAGAUGGGAUCAGCCAAAUAAUUAGCGUUAAGAUAAAAAUAUUGAAAGGAAAACUAAUGAAAAUGGCUUGAAAACUUUGAGUUUUAACGAUAAGGACAAGAUAAAGGGUAAAGUGAAUAGUACCAGGAUUGACUUUUUAAUGUAAAAAUAUAGUUUUUCGUUAAAGUGAACAUUACCGGGAACUUUUCGUUAAAGUUUCCAAUGAGAUAAUAUUGCAACAGCUGGCAUGAGACAAUGAUGGUAUAAAGAUGGCUACUACGGCCAAACUACUACAUAGGAUUCCAUACAUGCGGUCAUUAUUUCGACAAAUCAAUGGCUGCCGCAAUCAUGUGCUCAUUAUUCCGACAAAUCAGUAGCUACUUGCAUUGGAUUAGGAUUGCAUGCGUGUGGUCAUUGAAUGAGGAUUGCGUGCACGUGAUCUUUAUUCAAACAAAUCACUAUUGACCAUAUAUUGCAAUUGGUUAAUGGUAGGCAAAUUGAAUUUUUACAUCAAAUAAUGUGAUUGCUGAUAAUUGAAUUAUUAUUUAAAUGUUGAUUAAUAUGCUUAUUUUUUAUUUGUGAUAUAUCAUUUAAUUUGUACAUUUAGUUUACCUAACAUUACCAACUGUAAUUUGUAUAAAUGGACUGGUACCUAACAUAACCAGUUGUAAUUUGUAUAAAUGGGACUGUAAUUUGUAUAAAUGGACUGGUGCCUAACAUUACCAGUUGUAAUUUGUAUAAAUUUACUGGUCCCAAGAGCACAUGCUACUGCUCAAGAAGCAAAGUUCUUAUUUGCCCAAAAAAAAUCAUGGUUUUUUAAUUGAUGCUCUCAUUUUAAUUUACUAGCCCCUUACUUGGCCUUUUUUAUUUAUCAUUUUAUACAUAUUAAUAUUUUUUUGUAAAAUAUAUUAGUUUGAGUUUUAUUAAAAUUAAAAAUAAAUAAAAAAACUUAGUUUUAGUUUUAUCAAAUUAAAAAAAAAUGACUUAAUAUUUAGUUAUUGAAAUUGUAAAAAAGUGAUCAAGUAUUGGGUGCUUUGUUUGAAAUUUUUCAAAAUGAUAUUGUUUUUACCAUUGAAACCCUGUUAUAUACAGUGAUGGCUAAUUUGUCAAGUUCUACGAAGUUGGGAUACCCAGCGUUUUAGCAUAUAACAUAGCUUAGUAUUACAAGCAUAAUUAAUUAAAAUAAAGGCAAAAUAAGAGGAUAGCUUAGUAUUACAAGCAUAAUUAAUUAAAAUAAAGGCAAAUUGUAACAGCCCGUCCCUAAAAAUGACGAUUUUAUAAUCUUAACACGUGAGUUUAUGAAGAUGCCCUUCGAGGCAAAGUGUUGACUACCGCGUCGUGUCAUGUGAGACUCAUCUUCUUGGCGUAUUCUCGUUUUACUCGUCGCUACGGAUGCGUGGGCGCAAACGACACGUGAUUUGGAGCUAUAACAAAAGAGUUAUUAACAUUUAAAGUUAAGGACAUUUUAGUAAAUUAAUUAAUUUCAGAUUUUGUUGAGGGGAAAAUCUGGAGUGCCAUGUGGGUGGCCCAGAUUAAAGGAAAUGAGGAAUGGAUGGUGGAGGUGUAAAGGAAAGAAGAUAAAAGAAAAAUGAGAGGAAAUGUGUGACUAAUAGGGAGAUGAGAGAGUUAGGAUGGCCCAAUUAGAAACAAACGAAAGGAGGAAAAAGGAGAGAAGAGGGGAGCAGGGGAUCCCUUCAACCCGGUUCCACUUUCCGACCCGACCCGAUCCUUUUCAUCUUUUCCGGUGGUUUUUCGUCAGUUUUUCCGGCGAACCACGUUAUCUAACCCCGUUGAAAAUGUUCCACGACCUUCCCUCUACCAUUACAACCCAAAAUUGUAGAAAUUUAGCCAUGAAAGUAUGAAAACCGCACCGGUGGGUGCGGGAAACCUUUGUCGUCGAUUCUCCCAUUAUUGAAACGAUUUUCACCAAUUAUCACCACCUACAGCAUCCUCUUGAGGUCUGGAAUAAAGCCCAAACAAGUUUUGGGGCGUUGGAGUUCGUUUAAGGUCGAAUUGAGCACACCCAAAUUCAAGGGUUCCGUACCGUUCAUGGUGAUUUGAGGUGUUUCUCGGCCAAAUUGGCCUUAGUCACAAGUAUGAAAGUUGCUCCACUCGUUGAGAUCUUCAUUUAUGUGAAAUUUGAGAAUUUUUUGAAAUAUUUGGAUUUUCCAGCGAGUCGGGGUGGCGGACCGCCACCGGCAGCAGCGCAUGGCCAGUGGUCCACCAAUGUCAUUUUACGUUAAAUUGAUAUCUUGAUUUUAGAUUUGAUGUCUAUAUGUUAUGACUUGAUUAUGUGAACCUAGUUUGAUUAAGGUGCGUUAAUUGGUAAAAAUAUGAAACGACGAUCCGACCGUGGGAUCGUCACCAAACUUUAAUAUGUUAUAGUACAUAAUAUUUGAGAAUCAUAGGGACUGACAGAUAGGAAAUCCGAGAUACAGAUCUUCCCGAAAUGGAAUUGUAAGUUUGAAGAAUAAACGUUAACCGCCACUUUGUUUUGACUAUUGGUGGAGAUCCAACCGUUGGAUCAUAAUGAAAUUUUAGGAUGAUGUUUUAGAAGCAUAAUGUGGAUCUUUGGAAGUUACUGAUCGGAAAUCCGAGGAGUGAAUCUUCCGAAUUGAAUUACGUAGGGUUGUGGACCUUACCGUCGAUCGUUGACCGAUGAUCGACUUUUGGUCAAUGGGGCUUAAAUCAAUCUAAAACGUUUUUAGGGAUGUGUUUUACGUAAAUUACAUGAUCUAUUGAUAAGAAUUAUGAGAUGUGGUUUGAUAAUUGUCCUAGGUGCCGAUCGUUAGGAACGCUUCGAUGGUUAUGCUAGGAAAUUGUAGCACAGACUCCUUGUGAGUGAAUCUUUUCCUUCUUAUCAUAUAUAUAUAUAUAUAUAUAUAUAUAUAUAUAUGAUUGACAAUUCCACAAACGUUUAUAAAUUGAUUAUUGCAUAUAACUACUGUGAAUACUUUGAAGUACUUAUGCGAACUACGAAUGGCUUGAUCCGUGUUUAGGGUACGUAGGCAGUCUAACAAGACGUUAGAUGUAGUCAUACAAUAAUUGAGAUUAAACAAUUGAGAUAAAGCCUUGUUUGGGGAACUGGGCAAGGUGAAGGAAUUUGGUAAAAAGGUGAGAUUUAACCUUAUGAAUUGGUGAUUAAAUGUUGGUCAUAAAUCAAUGUGUAAAGAAUCAAGAAUUUGAAGUAAGGAAACGUAAGUAAUGAUAAUUAAUUAAACUAGUGUCUAGUUGGGCUUGUCACCUAUAAUUAUCCCCGAAAAUGAAUAAUUCGGGAGUAGGGCGUUACAGCUUCUGCAUUUUUAUGCCACAUUAUAUAUAUAUAUAUAAUUGGAAAUGCUAUAACAUGGUUGAGUAUCAGAUUUCAUCAUGGUUUAUCUAUAUGUAUAUUACCUGCACACAAUUAUUAUGAACGCGUUGAAGUGCAAAGGUGAAUGCACGACACCCAGGUAAGUUCAGGUGAGUUUAUGGUAUUAGUUGAAAUGAUGGGGUUAUGGUAUGACUACAUGUAUGUUUAGGUUGCAAUGAUAGGCAACUCCAACACUGUCGUACAGGUUGCCCAUGAAUUGUACAUGUUACAAUAGAUACAGUUAGAGCUCAUAAACCUACACCCCGGUGUUAGUACUCCCGCUCGUGGCCAGGGCACAGUCCUUCACGUGAUGUUCACCUCCCGCACCUUACGCUCACCUUGGAUCCAAGGUAGGUGCACAAUCAUGUCGUACCACUAUAGGUGGUUCCGACUCGUAGAUGACCCGCGAUUAUUUGCACAGUCUUCACGUGAUUGUAGCACUUGAGCGUAUUUAUUUACACCCAGUUCUAUUGUACAGACCACUUUAGGUGGUUCCGACUCGUAUGCAGGUAUACUUAUUAAGCUAUGGAUAAGUCGUACAGGUCACUAGAAGUGACUCCGACUUAUGAGCUAGCAUAUGUGAUGAGCUAGCAUAUGUGAUGAGAUAAGUGAUGAGUUAGUAUAUGUAAUGAGAUAUGUGAUGAGCUAGCAUAUGUGAUGAGAUAUGUGAUGAGCUAGCAUAUGUGAUGAGAUAUGUGAUGAGCUAGCAUAUGUGAUGAGUUAGCAUAUGUGAUGAGCUAGCAUAUGUGAUGAGAUAUGGGUAAGUCGUACAUGUCACUAUAGGUGACUUCGACUUGCGUGCUAGUAUGGGUUAUUAAUCACAUGAUUAUUGAUAUUACUGAUGAGAUGCUGUGUUGUGGUAUAUUUAUGAUCUUUCUGGAAACUAUGCAAGUGUUGUAACGAGGGGUUAUAAUGAGGUGUUGUAACGAGGGGUUAUAAUGUUUUAUAUGGUUUCUGUUAAAAUUUUAUUUCUAGGGUCACUCACCCUUAUUUUGUUUUCACCCUCUAGGUUUUAUUAGCUGAGCUUUCUUAUCGUCGAAGAUUCGUGGCGAUUCUUAGUAUUGGAGAUUAUUUCGAGAGUACGAUUCUUAAUUCACUUUACUGUACUUGCUUAAGCUGUAACGUCACGUGUGAAGUGGGUUCAUUUCCGCUUACCAGCGCAUUCUGGUAUUUAGGCACUCUUAGGUUUAAAUUUAUUCACAUUUUUCCACAUCAUCAAACUUUAUGGCUUUGUCACUCUUUAGGUGUCGGCCAGCACAGCUCGAUUUGGAGUCCUAGUGGACAUUCCGGGUCGGGGUGUGUCACAAAUGAAGAGGAUGGUUGAACUUGUUAAGUUUCUUAAGUGUGUCUACUUGAAGUGUGUUGCUAAUAAAUAUUUUGUUGUAGGCAUAAUUUACUGAACAAUUAUGGAGGCAGAGAGAGAGAGAGGGAAUAUGCGGCAUAGAGAGAGAAGAGAGAGAUGUGUAAUUGUGAGGUGUGUUCUAUUCCACCCCAUUGUACCUUUAUUAUAUUAGUAGGGAAAGUUAAUUCCUUACCCUUUUAGGAUUACAACUCUAAUAGGAAAAUAUCUAGUCUAAGAGAUAUGAUAGAAUCUCAUAAGGAUAUCCUAGAUAUGUUAGGAUUUACACAAUCAUAUUCCUAUUCCAAUAAGACUGCAACACAUUUGUAUUUUUUUAGAAUUUUUUUGAUAAUUUGUUGGUAUUCUCAAUUUUUGUUAACAUUGAAAAUAUAACGGUUCAGAUGAAAAACCUUUGGAAAUCCAACAGCUUGCAAGACGUUGGGCUGUGCUGAAGGAAGCUGGGCUGUCACGUGGAUGGGGCCCUCCCUCUCCCUCUUGUUGAUUCAAAGGGCGCAGGCCCGUGCAACAAUUGGCGAGGCAGCCCAUAGAGAUCCUGCGAUUCACCCAUUCGCCAUUUUUUCCACCGCUGGAGCACCAAAAUUCGGUCAAAAGGCAGGGGUAUCAAUGGCAAGGGCAAUUUGGCUUCCGCUGGAGGUGCUCUUUGUCGACUUUGUUUUUUCUCUCAUUUUAGCUUUUGCAGUAAUAUUGAAGUAAUCACUCCAAUUUUAUCCAAACUUUUGUUGUCCGUCAAUUUUUAUCAAAACUAUUGGUUAAUUUACAUAUUCAGACUAACCUUCUCAUUAUUUUUAGUAUUUUUAUCAUAAAUAAUAUCUGAAAUAGUCACAUUUUAUUCAACAACCACUCAAUUAAAAAUUAAUUAGUGUUGUUUCUAAACCAUUACAUCAAGCUUUUGUAGAUACACAUCAAUAUUGCAGCGAUCCGAGGCAUUGUUUUAGUGACGGUAGUACUUUCUACUCCUUGGAUUUGGUGAAUCGGAAAAGAGAAGAGUUACGAGUAAAAGUCCCUCGCAUUGUUUUGGGGAGAUGAAGAUGAUGAUCUUUUGUUUUUGUUUUUUAAUGAUUAAUCCACGCAGCAACAUAUAAUUAAAUUGUUGGGAUCUACUCAAGUUCCAUAUCACACACUAACAUAAAAUUUGACAAACGAAACGAAAUAUGUGUGUAGACAUCGAAAUUUCGUAAAUAAAUGUUGACCGAUAAAUCAAAGUGUCAACGCUCAUGUAUUACAUAAAUUUUACACGUAGCGUGUGACUCAACGAAAAUUGAAAUGAGUUGGAAAAGUCAUCAAAUAGGACACGUGUCAACACCUGGCAGAAACGACUUAUUUCAUCUGGGAUAUUAUAUUCAAAAUUAGCCAUUGGAAAAUUCUAUAAAUACAAGCCCAUUUCAUUCAUUUAAGGAGAGGAAUUCAUAUUACACCUUGAAGCUCUGAAGCUCUGAAACUCCGAAGCUCUCAAGCAUCCAGGUUCCCGAAGAAUCAAGAAAGUGUUCUUCGUUCUUCGUUCAUCGUUCUUCCAAGAUCAAGCCUCGACGGCCCUUGGAUCAACAAUCAUCCACCUUCAAGAUCAAGCCCCGACGGCCCUUGAAGAAAGCGUUCUUCGUUCUUCGUUCAUCGUUCUUCCAAGAUCAAGCCCCGACGGCCCUCGGAUCAACAAUCAUCCACCUUCAAGAUCAAGCCCCAAAGGCCCUUGAAGAACUUCCACCAAUUCAAGAUCAAGCCCCGACGGCCCUUGAAGAAAGCACCAUCGUUCAUCAUCCGUUCAUCCAAGAUCAAGCCCCAACGGCCCUUUAGAUCAACAACGUCGACAAAUCCACACAUCCAACCGUUCUUCAAGAUCAAGCCCAAAAGCCCUUGAAGAUCCGUUCAUCACUGUUCUUCAAGAUCAAGCCCAAAAGCCCUUGGAGAUCCGUUCAUCACUAUUCUUCAAAGAUCAAGCCCAAAAGCCCCUUUGAAGAUCCGCUCAAAUCCACCUUCAAGAUCAAGUCCACGGCCCUUGAAGAACGUUCAUCCUUAGAUCAAGCCCAACGCCCCUUUGGAUCAAUCGCACAUCCACAAAUCAACACCUUACGGAGAUCGAAUCAGAGGAUCAAAAUAGAGAGAGAUUGUAACCCAAAAUCAUCAAAUACAAAUAUUUGUUUGUGCGCGUUGUUCUUGUCUCUUUCGUUUCAGGAAUUUUCCGUGUUCACAAUGUGCUCUUGAAAUCAAAAUGAGGGCACUGCUCCAAGAACAAGAAGGGCACCUUGUCGAGGUCGCCAUCCGCCGUGAGGGAAAACCGGAAGAAGUUGGACAACAAUGAUAACAUCAAUUUGCGGCACCCAUAUCGGGACAUCACACUGUGAAAUAAAUAUUGAAAUAAAUACUCAAAACUCCUGGAAAGUCCUCGAGACAACAAACUUUCAUCUCCUUCAAACAUUUCAUUUUACUAAGUUUUAUCUUUGAAGGGAGGGAAAAAAAGAGAAGAGAGAAUCCUACUCCUUAUUCCUGAAUAUAUUCAAGAAUAGCUAUUGAAUAAAGAGAGAAUGGAGGGUGAUCGAAAGAGGAGGGAAGAGAAUUCUAGUUCCAAACAUAAAAAGGACCACAACUUUUAAAUUAUCAGCACAAUCAUCACCUAAUUGAAGAGACCAUUCACUGUGAAACAUAUUGUCAAUCAGUCUAUCUAUAUCUAUUUAUAUACCAUAUUUUUAGAGUAAGAUUCUCUCACCUCCUAUUACCAUCCCCUUCCAUCCUUUCAUCUCAUACUCUUUUUUUGUUGUCUUAUUCUCUAUAUAAAAAAAUUCAAAACAAGAUGUAUACGUGACGUAAUCGUAACCGUUUAAAUAAGAGGGGAUAGAAGAGAAGAGAGAUUAGGAGAAGGGAGAAUCCUACUCCCACAUUUUUCUUCUUCAUAAACAAAAGAGAGGUUCUAGAUUACUUGACUCUAUGCCUCAUUUUUUUCAUCAAGUAUUUGUGAUAAGUGGGUUCAUUUUCAAGUAUUUUAGUUUUUUUGUCAAAAUUGAGAAAACUGAAAAUCAAACAUUAAUAUGAAAAAUUAAAAAAUCAACAUAUAAUUAUUUAGAAAUCGCAAUAGAAAAGAAAAAAAAUGGAGGUUUGUGAUGAAAAAUCUUUUAUACUAAGUAAUUUAGUAUCCUUAUGCAUGAAGAUAAAUCAAUUUGUUCGUUACGGUCAUACUCUUUUUUGAAUUUUUGAACACAUUCUCCAUAGGGCCUUCUUAUAUGUUCCUUCUCCAAGCUCGGGUUAUGGAAGAAGUAAAAGAAGGAAUCGAAAAGAAAGUAUUGGUAACAACCGAUUUCAUUACGAGACAACUCUUGAUAUUCAUAUCAAUCUAUUAUGUACCUUUGCAUCUAGCAUUAGACAAUAAUUGUCAUAGCUUUACCAUAUUUUUUUGUUUCAUUUCUUCUGAAACAAUCUCACACACUUUUUUAUUAUGUGUCUACUACUAGGAAUUCAAUACGUAAUCUUAGCAUUCAAUAGUUAUUCCUAAAUAAUUUCAAUUUUCAAAUGAUCAACCAUUUCAUUUUACCAAGUUCAAUCAAUGUUAGUCAGAUUAGUCAACAUUUAUAUAUUUUGAUGCAACAACAAGAUGUUAUUUGUAACAAGUGAUUUUGUUAGUUGGUUAAUUGGUCACAAGUUAAUGUUCGGUUCAGUUUAGUUUUUCUCUCGAUUUUUUGUGAUUCGGUUUUUUCAAUUCUCUUUAGGGUCGGUUCGGUUUUGUUUUUUUAUUUAUACUUGAAUUUUAUUUUAAUUUAUUUUAAUUUAUUUUAUUUUAAAUCUGGAAACACCAAGAACAACACAAGCACAUAGUCAAUCAAACAACUAUCCUUCUCCACAAAUCAUAGUAAUAAUUACAUUCAUUGAGCUGAAAUGCAAAUAACUAACAAACUCACAAAAAUCAAAUAAAAACUACAAAUUGCUUACUCUUUUUCUUUGGGUUUCACUCGAAAAGUGUCGGUAAAAUUUAGGGUUUGCAAGAACGCAACUGAAAUCUAAAACGGAGGCCUUGUGGCCUAUGGGUUGCUAUUGAGUUCCAGUACAGAGAACCUUGCUUAAUCUCGAUCACGGUACAAAGUAUCGAGUACCUUUAGCACUGUAUUUUGGUAUGAUUGGUAGAACCAAAUUAAAAGCUAACAUCAACAACAACUACCAGAGACAAAAGCUCUUAUCAAUGCUUUGGAAACAUUUAUGUAUCUCCAAGUGUAAUGAUAUAAUUGGUUGGAAACUUGUGAUUUCGUAUCAAAUCAAUAAAAAGUUACAAUAUUGACAAUAUAUUAGCAAUUUUUAUGUUAAUUAUGAACAAGUCAAUCAUGUAGAACCAAAUUAAAAGCUAACAUCAACAACAACUACCAUAGACAAAAGCUCUAAUCAAUGCUUAGGAAACACAGUCCUGUAUCUCUAGGUGUAUUGAUAUAAUUGGUUGGAAAUUUAAAAGAAAAAUGGUGAUUUUGUAUAAAAUUGAUAAAAAGUUACAAUAUUGACAAUAUAUUUGACACACCCCGACCAAGAUCAAGGCAUGCUGGCCGUCACAUGAGAGUGACGUAACCAUGUGCACAGUGCGGAAGCAAUAAUGAUAAGAAAUAUAUGAAUAAUUAAAAACCGAAUCUACUAGAGUGCACUACUAAACAGGAAGUAUUAGGAGUAAGAUACAAAAGUAAAUACUCCUAAUCAGAGCAUAGAAAGUCUAGGUGCAAUCCAGUAGGACAAGUACUAAUUAUACAGUAUAAAAUGUCUUACAAUUAUUUAGAUAGGUCAGAACCGCCGAAGUCCUCACACCCAACAACUGCAAACUUACUUAAAACCUGAAGGGGCGCAAAAUAGAAAACGUGAGUGGGAAAAAACAAAUGUUUUACAAAACCAUUUCAUUUAUCAAUAUAUCUAACCCCUCGCUGUAAACAUGUAUAAUUUUUCCCAGAAUCAAGAUAUAAGCAUAUACAUAAAUAUAUAUAUAAAUAUAUCAAUUCAAAUCAUGCUUCACAUAAUCAUAUUCAUAUGUAUGUCAUGCCAAGAUAUAACAGAGUAAGCAACUCAGGUAAGAGUAAUUUCAUAGAAAUAUAACAUGUUAGCCGGAACCCCUGUAGUAGUCUGUACGGCUGAAUUCAUAGCUCAAAAGUCAAUCUAGCCGAAGUCACUACAAUGACCUAUACGGCAAUAUACUGCACAAGAGUCGGAACCAAAUGAAAAGAUCUGUACGACAAUAAUGGGUGUUGUUGAUGCACAAAAUCAGUGAGGACUUUGGUACAACAGAAAGUGUUAAGUUUGUGACAUUCUCUAGAUUACUCCGAUCACUAGUGUGGAUAAGUAUGUAAAUGGAUAAAGACAGGGAAGCAAACACAAGAUGUACGUGGUUCACCCAGAUUGGCUACGUCCAUGGAGUAAAUGAGUUCUUAUUAAUUGUGAAGGGUUUACACAAGUAUAUAGGUUCAAGCUCUCCUUUAGUGAGUACUAGUGAAUGAUUUAGUACAAAUGACAUUAGGAAAUAUUGUGAGAGAAUGAUCUCUAUUUAUAGAAGAGAGUUUCUAGUUUCAUUCUGACAUUGACACGUGUCAUGUUGUGAUUGGCUUCUGAUGUUGACAUGUGUUGCACUAUGAUUGGCUUUAGAUGUCAACAUGUGUCGCGUUGUGAUUGGCCUCCUGGUUUGAGGGAAACUCUUCUGGCUCCUUGACGGUAUAACGUUGAUCGAUGCUCAGUAGUUUCGGGAUUGGUCAAGUAUGGUACAAACAGGUGUAAUAUAAUCAUACUCAAUACUACUCUCACAUAAUAGCUGGGUGAUAAAUCGCUAGUCACCUAUGAGUCAGAACGAUAAUAAAGGUCUGUACGAAGACUGUGCACCUAAAUUGGAUCCAAUAUGACCAUAUGGUGCGGGAUGUGACAUUAUAUACAGGCUUGUGCCAUCACUGGCGGAGCUACACCCACGGCUACAGUAGGCUGUAGCCUAGGGAGGAUUUUAACAAACUGCUGGUAUAAUAGUUUAUAUAUGAGUUUGUUGUUGCUUAUUGUAUGUAUAAUAGCCCACAUAAAUCCUGCCAAAAUUAUUAGUUAAUGUGUUUCUUAAUUUAUAAAUAAUACUUUUAUUACCUUUUAUUAUUUUAUUAUUUUUAGGCUAAAAGUAAAAAUGGUAAAUUAAUACAUAAUUAGGUUUCUCCUAUUCCCCAUGCUUUUUACCUAUUCGUUCAAAACAAAAAAAUUAAACCCUCUACCCUAAGAAAAGAAAAACUAUGAAUCACCAUCAAAUUAUUUUCUAAUGAAAUUCAACACUAGAUAUGCUCUUCAUGUCUUCAUUUAACCUAUUUCUUGAUUCAAUUGUUCAUUCCAUAUAUCUACAGCACGACUUGAAUUGGUAUCCCCUAACCUUUUUUCUUUUGGGUACUUGUUAUCAACAAAAGUGAUAAUAUUUGUUCUCUUUCUAUUGCUUUUUUGUAUGCAUGUUUUAUUUGUGUAAAAAUUAGUUGGAAAGUAAUUAAUAAACUUGUUUGGAUUAUUAGUACUUCAUGUUCCUACUUUUAUGUAGAUUACUAUAUAAUUUUAUGUAGGCAAAAAAAAAAUUCAUAAGAUUAUAUGCUAAUGAUUUUAGUUAGCCCACCCAAGAAAAAUUUUCUGGCUCCGCUAUUAUGUGCCAUAACUCUGGCAAAAUCACAAUCACCCUAAGUGCAGUUUUAUGAGUUCAACGUUAUUCUAUCACAUAUCACAUCAUCGAUAAUUCACAUAACCAAACAUAACUCACAUGAGCUUACCUGAGCGUCCACAGUACCAUAAUUAUAUAUAAUGCAUCAUAUACGAAAUAUAAAUUCAUAUGCAUGGCAUUUAAGGUAUACUUUCAUUUAAACACAUAUUUCUGGGAAAAUAUCAAGUAUAUAAAUAUAUACUGAAAACCAAAAGCCCACUCAUUGGUAUGUCGAAGGGUCGUAGCCCCCGAGUCGCCUUUGAAUACUCUCGUCCUCGUGAUAAGUCUCACCUAUAUGCGAAUUAACUAUAAAAACGUUAUUUUAGAGCACAUACAAAAAAUUAGCUAAUAACUCUCAUACAAUGCUCAAUUUUUGUAUUUGAAUAUAUCACAGUGACCUACACAACCUCAAGAUCAUCCCUAAAUUUUUACAAUAUUUUUCUGACCCCUCACGCGCUGCCACGCACCGGCAAGGGCAACGCCUUACUCGCCCCCACGCGCGGCCACGUGACAAGCAUACUGAUGGCGUCAAUCAACAUCAUCAGGAAUAUUCUAGGGAAUAUUCUGUUAAAACCCAAUGGUAACUGUUAAAGAUGACUGACGGCAUGAGCAUAUUCUGUCAACCUUGACGGAAUAUACUCCUUUCUUCUCCGAUGAGUCGUCGGUCGCCGGCGACUUCGCCGAUUUCUUGGUAAAACUUUAAAUCGCUUAUUCUUCUUCGUUUCUUCGCCAUUUUUCAUGAAAUUGGUACCAAAAUGAAGCUAAUAACAUGUAGAAUCACUUUGUAUAAGUUUCAAGGCUUAAAAUCUACUAGUUUUUCCCUGAGAAAGCUCGAUAGUUCGGCUUACCUAGAUAUGCGUCGAUCUCAGCCCUCCGACGUCCAAUUCCUUCCAACGAAGUACCCCAAGACUCGUGAGGACCUCCUUAAGCUUCCUAUAAGCUUCAAAUUCCCUGAAACACAAGAUUUUACGUAUGCAUGAACAAUGCACAAAGUCGGAGCUAGGGUUUCCACGUGAAAUCGAAGGUUUCCUUACCUGAAAAUGGUUCCUUUGAAUUCGUAUGGUUCUCACGAACACAAUGGUGAUCUUAAAACCUUCGAUCUACAAGGUUUAAGAGGGUUUCUGGGUUGGUCCGUACGAAGAAGGGAGAGAGAGAAUGAGAAUCUGCGAGAGAGAGGGCACGGGAAGGAAAGAGAAAUAAGAUAGGUGUGUGUAUGGUCCAAAAGCCACCAAUCAAAACUAAGAAAAGUCUUAGUUGUAAUUGGGUCACCAAUCUAAAACAAUUUAACCCAAUAAUAACUUACACACAUCAUUUAACAUCCGAGGGUAAUUCCGUCAUUCUACGUCAUCGAGAAUAAUCUUCCGGGACGGGCUGUGACAAUAUCAGCAAUAUUUAUGUUAAUUAUGAAUAGGUCAAUCAUGUAUUUAAUACUUAAAUGUAUUUAAAAUAAACACCUUAUCAAUGUUUUCUGAACUGUGCUCGAUUUUUCUCCUUCGCUUUGGUUCUGUCCCAUUGGAUUUUUCAAGCAAGAUUUUAUCAAGGCAACUAUCAUUAACUGUGAACAUAAUUUAUCAUUGAGACACGAACAUCCAAGGGGGAGUGUCGUGGAAAAAAAUGUAGAUAUCUUUAUACGUUGUAUGGUAGUAAACCAUCAUAAACACCAUAAAUAUGUAGAAACGCCCUUGCGGUACCUUUGAAUGAUAACUCAUGUAUUUGUUGCCCUAUGUAAAGAUGGCUAAUGAUAAUGGAAGACUAAUUUUCUCAUCCCAAUCUCUCCUGUCUCUCUUAUUCUCUUUUCUCUAUAUUUUAUUUCCAACAAGUUGUGUUUUUUUUUUAGUAUUGUUAAGCAACCCAAUAGAUUUUAAUCGUAGUCUUUGUUUUUUUUCUUUUAUAUUUUUAAUCAAUUUCAGUUGCUUAUCAGUUCUAGCUAAUUGAGCUCUUUUACAGCAAUUUUUUUCUUUAAAUAAAAUUAUUAUUAUUAAAAAGAGUGAGAAAAUUCGAAAUUGUUACAAUAAUUUAAAAAAAAUAGGAGUUUCAAAUCAUGAAGGUAGAGGGAGUUAACAACAUUUUAGGGGGGGGUGUAGUCAAACUAGGAUUUUGAAGGAUUUUAAAAGUGAUAGAUUUGAUAGGAUUUAAGAUGAUUAAAGACUCUUACAAAAUUCAUAUGGAUUUUAAAGAAUAUGAAUGGAUUGCGGUGGAUUGUGGGGGAAGGAUUUGAAAUCCUAGGGGGUGAGGUUUGAUUCUUUUUAGUUUUGGUUAUAUAUGGUAUGCUUUCAAAUCCCAGAAAAUCCACAACUUUUUAAAAUCCUUUAAAAUCUUAAUUUUUUUAAUACACUUAGAUUUGGAUGGAUUCUAAAAUCCUUUAAAAUCUUUUAAUUGACUACACCUAGAUUUGAAUGGAUUCUAAAAUCUUUUAAUUGACUACACCUAGAUUUUAAUGGAUUCUAAAAUCCUUUAAAAUCUUUUAAUUGACUACACUAUGAUUUUAAAGUCUUUAAAAUCCUCUCAAAUCCAAGUUUGACUACACCCCCUAAAGAUUUUAAGGAAAACUAAUGAAAAUGGCUUGAAAACUUUGAGUUUUAACUAGGGGUGGGCAAACGGGUACAGGAACCGCGGGUAGGGGUGGGUAAUUCAAGUUCGGGGCAGGUAUGGGACAUGUCCAAUAUUUCUAAACACAAAACGGGGCGAGGCUGUUCGGGUAUAUGAAAUUAUCGGGGCGGGGCGGGUCUUAAAAUAGAAGGGAACGGGCCCCCAGCCUGACCCGUUUCUUUUCCUCAUCCCUAGUCUUCUCUAUCUCUCUUCCCCGACACUUUUCAUUUCACUCAAACCCGGCCCAUUUCUUUUCCUCAUCAGUCAUCCCUAGUCUUUUCAAUCUCUCUUCCCUAACUCCUUUCAUUUCACUCGUACCUCGAGACCUCCUCUUAACUCGCUCCCAGCCUCCCACCGUCCUAGCUCCGUACCUCGCCAUCAUCAUCGUCAGACCUCCAUCUCUCCUGAUUUACUCAUGUCUUCCUCGCUGCGUCCGCCGCCAUGUCUCUCUUUCUGUGACGAACUUAAAGGGACGGACGAAGUUGAACAACUCGAAACGACGCCUCUUCUGUCUGAAUUAGACCCAUAUUUGCAGCGCACGACUCUGCUCAUAGUCCUCUUCGGUUUUAAGGUAUUACGUUUUAGAGAUUUAGGAUUGAAAAUUAAAUUAGGGUUUUCUAGAUUUAGGGAUUUUGUUGGGUUCUUGAACCUUGACCUCUGUUAUGUUCCAAUUUCAAAUAUAUAUUGAAUUGAAUUUGAAUCGACUGUGUUUGAAACUUCUGUUGAAUUAAAUUGAAUUUGAGCAGGAGAAGAGGCAGAUGUGGGUUGGGCAAUGUCGAAUCUCAUUGUGGGUGGUGAGGUGGGCAUGGCGGGCGACAAUAUUGACUGGCAAUGGUACGGGCGGUGCUAUUAAGUUGCAGAAGAAUACGAAGGAGGGGGUGUGGGCAUGGGUGGAUAUCGCAAGCUCAAUUGAAUUUUUUCUGGUUUUGUUUGUGAUUAAUUGCUUGUAUAUGAUAGUUAUUGAUGGAUCUUGACAUGCCCAUUUAAUUGUUAUUGGCAAUGCUAGUUUGAUUGUAACAAAUUCAAACCGAUUGAAUUGUAUCCCAGAAAAAAAAAUCAAUAAAGGAACUGAGGACCCGGCCCGAACCAGCCCAUUUCAACCGGGCCAGGUUAGGUUCGGUUCUUAUAUUAGAAAAUGUUGUUCCCGGCCCGUUUCUCUUAAGCCCGGAUCCAGUCCGAUCACUUCGAAAUUGGCCCCAACCCGGCCCGGGCCCACCUCUAGUUUUAACGAUAAGGACAAAAUAAAGGGUAAAGUGAAUAGUACCAAGUUUGACUUUUUAGUGUAAAAAUGUAAUUUUUCGUUAAAAUAAGAUUUUAAUGGAUUCUAAAAUCCUUAAUUAAGAAAUUAGGCUUCAACCCAACUCAUCUUUGCAACGCCGGUUCCACUUCACAUCAACAGGCAAUGUUUUCUCCUCAACAAAUAGUAUUCUUUUAUGAGACAAAGACUAAUGAGGGUGAUAUAUAUAAUUAAUAAUAAUACUUGUGUUCCCUUUGUGAGUGAAUGCACUUAUUUUACCAUUCUCUAAUAAUGUAUCUUUAUUAUAUAAAUUUAUAUCAUGUGGAUAUCUUCCUAUAAAAAAGUUAUUCAAAUUGGAAAUCCUUACGUCAUCAAAAUAUAUAAAAAAAUGGACGAUCUCAUCGUAAAUAUGUUAGUUACUCACACUAUAACUUUGUAUAUUCCCUCACGUAGGAAACGCAAUAAUUAUCCUCUAAUUAAUUCUUCUUGAGAGUAGAAUUUUUAUUGUUGGUUUUUCGCAACCUUCAGACCUAAAGCUGAUAUGGACCUCUCAUUGUUUUUUGGGUUGCCGUUCUUAUUUUGCUUGGUCCUUUUACCUUUUCUAUAGUUGUUUAUCUAGUUCUUUUGAGCCUCGUACUAAUUUUUAAUGUAAUGAAAAUUAUCUUCGUGAUAAAAAAAAAAAUCAUUAGUCCUCGUAUGAACAUGCGAUGUAACACACUUUCAUGGAACAACAGAUGAUAAAGACGAUAUCCAAAUUUUCUCUGUGUUAUGUGGACUUUCCCAACCAAAUAAAUAAUAACCAAUAAACAAAUAAAUAAGAGUUUAACUUCAAACAUUGAGAAGCGAAAUUCCAACACUACGAGCCUAACUUUUGUCUUCAUCAUCAUCAUAGACUAGUCUCCUAUCCAUCAACUCCUACAUCAAUUUUUUUUUUUACUAGAUUGUAGCUCACUUUCAAAAGAGUUACGUAAAGUAUUUAAGCACCAUAAAAGAAAAUUAAACGACAACGAUUGACAUAAUAUUAGUAGUAUCAUGGUCUAAAAUAUUCAUAAUAUCUUGAUAUUUUUAUUGAAAUUUUCGUGUUUUUAGACUACCUAUAUUUUCAAUAUCAUCGAUAUUUUAAACCUUGCUAAGUCACUCAUGUAUCUUACCAUGCAAUGUAUAAAGUGUAAAAUAUUGUACUAAUUCAUUAUAUAUAAAUGAUUAUAGUGUGUUUAAACUUCUUUCAUUAAUUACUACAUAUUUUCUACACUCACAAUGUUUGCCAGCUCGCUAUAUAAUCAACUUAAAUCAAUUAUAUCUAUCAUGUAAUGCAUUUCCUUCCAAUUUUUUGUGAUAAACUAAUAGAUAAUUGACUAAAUAAACAUCCUGCAAAGUUUCAAUAAAAAUUUCCAAGUUUUUCUUACAAUUUCCGUAGUUUUUAUUCAAUUUUUAUCGAUAUCGAUAAUAUCCCGAUAUUUCCAUCGAAAUUUCCGUAUUUUUAGACUACUGAUAUUUCCGAUAUCAUCGAUAUUUUAUACCUUGGUAGUUAUACAUUUUAUCGGCCUCAUUUUUAUGCAACUUAUACAUUAAAUUAUUGUCAAAAUGUACAUAUAAAGUAGCUGAUCAACGAUGAGAUUUUAGGCAACCAUUUUCUUCUACGACGUCAAAGGUUGUAGAGGUGGCCAUGUGCACUACAUGCGUAAAUCAACUAGGGACUUGGAUCCUCUCUUAAGCCCAAGGAGAGGAUCCUCCUAACCAAAUGACUUGGAUUGUUGGAUGAAAAUCUAACGAUUACAAACAGAUGAUCUCUUUAAAGUUAUAAUAUUUAUUACCGUUGAAUUUUCAUCAAACGGUCAAAUAUCAUUGGUCAAAAGGGUCCUCUCAUUGGGCUCAGAGAGGACCCAAGUGCAUCAACCAGAACUAUUGCUAUUAUAACAAUUCAUGAAAUCAAUUAAACAAUAAUUUUCCUUCUGGCAGGCAUGUUAGUUAUUUCUUAUUUGGCCAAUUGCCUAGUGGAUUUGGUAGAUUUAACCUCUCCACCACAAACACAUUUAAAAAUUUCCAGAAAUCCGUAACGUAAAAUUUAAAAAUAAAUAUUAAUAACAGCAAGUUCUUUUCACCGACCGUGACCGAGAUCUGUCACAUAUCCAAAAUGUCACCUCCUUAUCGCAAAAACCAAAUUUGACUUGGGAUAAAUACCGUGUACAAAUUAAACGCGUUUCUCUAGCUUUUGCGUAAAGAGGCAACCCAACACUAAACUAGGAAAACGUUGGGUUGACAAAGAUACCAUGAAGAAUAAAGGGGUUAUGCAAUCCACUUUGCAAGAUAAUCAAAGUUUCCCGUUGUAGACUUGUCUUAACCCAACACUAAACUAAGAAAACGUUGCUUUCCCGUUGUAACAUGAAACAACAUUAAACAACAUUAAACAAUAUUAAAUAACAUUAAAUAACAUAAAAAUUAUACAACAUAAAAAAAACCAUUUAACAACAUAAAACUUAAAAUGCGUACUUCUUGCUUCUUGUGGCCUAAAGAUGUGCAACAAGAUCUUGAUGUAGGUACUUGUUUGUGGCACGAAAACGUAUCAUCCUAGCCGUUGGAUUUGAAUUUUUUUUGUUUUCGGCCAAAAAAUUUUAAAUUUAAAAGUUGAAGAUGGUGAGAAAUAUGAUCCUACACUGUUCAUUAAAAUAUUAAUUUCUUGAAUGACCAAAAGGCUAAAACAAGCCAUCCUUCGGUUGGAGAUGCCUAAGGAGAGACUAGAGAUAGAGAGUUUCCUAUAUAUGAUUUUCAUUAACAAGAUUGAAAUGAUUUCAGAGAGAAGAUCAAGUAUGGUUAUUUUUAUUUUGUAGAGUGUAGACAUUAUAACUAUACAUUCAUAAUAACAUGAGUAAUGUUAUAUUUAUCACAUUUGUACUCUUUCUCUGAUAAAGGUAGGGUUCAUCAACACAUGUGGGUUCUAUUUGCCCAUCAACACAUGCGGAUCUCAUUUUUAUUAGAAAAAUAGUACAAAUAUGGUACGGAAAAUAUGAUAAGAUCGCAAUUUUGUAAUAACAUAUAUACUCAACUAUUUAUAUACCGACCCAUCUCCUUUUAGUGUAGAUAAUAUCGUUUGUUAAAAAAAAUGUUGAACUUGUCAUAAUCAUUGAAUCCAUUUACCAUGAACAAACGGCAGUUUACUAAACUUGCCCUCAGAGUAUAUAUAAAAGGUGAAUCACAAUCUAUUGCAUUAAUAUAAGGAAACAAUUUAUAGGGUUUGACGGGUGACUUAAUAUGCUAUAUGGCACAAUGAAAAUUAAGUUCACACUUUAUCCCAAAUAAGGUGUUGCACCUUUAAUUUAUGGAUGCUGGUUUGACGUGUGACCGAAAUAAUCAAAUUGUAGCCAUUAAUCAUUUUACAAGUAAUAAUAUGUAGUUUUUACUGUUUACGAUUCACACAACAAUCUGCUAGGAAGUAGAAAAUGCAGUACUUGUCCCUCUCACAGAAGUCAUGAAUAAUUAUCAAAUUCAAAGAUAAAGAAAAACCACACAAUUUACAAGAGGAAAGAAAAUGAAGGGAUAAAGAAAGUAAGAAAGGAAUACCUCUAUGGGAGGACUCUUAUUUGCUUCAGAUGCCUACAAUAUUCAUCAUAUAAACACUGAUUAAGUAGUCAUCGAAAACCAAAACAAAUGUCGAACAUAGGGUGAAAAACAGAAAGAAUAACCGCAGCUCAUCAUACCAAUAGAGAUAGAACUGCCCGAUGCCCAAGUAUGACUGAAAAAUGGCAAUCCAAACAUGGCGCCUUCUAGCUCAUCAAACUGUCAAAACCUAGGUUCCACCAAAAAGAUACAAGUCACCUAGUUACUUGUAAAAUAAAAAUCUGUUUCAAAAUAGUGGAAAAUAUUAUUAACAUUGUUCAAAGUCCACAUUGUUGUACCUACCAAGAAACAAGAAGGAUUGUAUCUUAUCAUGAAAAAGAACAUAGGUACCUUUUCAAUUGUAAUUGUACAAAAAUGAGAGACCACUUCCGAACUUCUCUUGGAACUUCAAUCAAUUUCUGCCCACUUUUAAAUGCCUUGACAUACUUAAGCCUAUUUCUUUGAGCUUCAGUUUUGGCUUCUGAUGCCUUUAAAUUUCUUAAAGAUUCUUACCAAGUUUUACAAACUCACUUCUAUACAACCAUUUGUCAGUAUACAUACCAUUUUCUUUGAGCUUCAGUCUUUGCAACACCAAAACCCCCCAAAUAGACCCGGAAUUUUGCAAUGUGCAGGGAAUAUACAAAAAAAACCCUCCUAUCCAUCUAAAACGAAAUCAGAACCCAAACCACAAUCAAAAUCCGUAAAAUUAAUUUAGCCAACCCUAAAUCUAAUAAUUCUAACAAAUAUUAUAGUAUCAAUUGAGAGAGAAUUUGAGAAGAUACCUAGAGAUGAAAGGAAGAGCGUUUCCUCUGAUAGGGGUUCCGUGAAAGCAUCUGUUGACCAGAAAAGAAAAGGCAAAAAACCCCAAAUUACAUAUCAAGCAAUUAUAGAUAGAUCGAACCUUGAAAAUUGAAAUUUCAAACAAGAGAAAGGUUAUAAACUUACAACGAUCUGGGUGUUGGUUACUGGGUUUGGAUUUGGGUUUCUGAUAAGAGAGAGAAUCGUAUGAGGAACCGAUAGAGGAACUGCACCGGCAACAGAGAGCAACUGAUAUGGUGGAGAAUAGAGAUGGGCAAAAUAUCCCGGUUAUCCGCCCAUUUAAAGUUCACAGUUACGGUUAUGGUAAUUGAACGGUUAUGGGUACUACCCGUGGUUAUAACGGGUAUCUAUUGGUUAUGGGUAUUAUCCGCGGUUAUAACAGGUAUUCAUUUACCCAUUUAAUUUCAUAUAUGUAAAAUUUAUAAUAUUUUUAACAGUUAUAACGCGUUUUUGUAUUUGUUGCCAAACUUUUCGUAUACAAAAAAUUUGAAGCACAAGAAGCCAACAAGGAGAAAGAUCAAAGAGCUUACUUGAAGCUUAUGAUCUAUCCUGCGGUUAAUAGAAAGUACUGGUAUUAGUGUAGAAAAAUGUUUGUUUUUAGAAGCUUUAUUUUGUAAUCAUAUGAAUUAUAAUUAAAGACUUGCUUGGGUGUAGUAAAAAAAUAUCGUUUGUAAACUAUUAUUUCAAUUAUUAGAAUUGUAUGAUGACCUAAAUGAUUAAAAUAGAGAAAUGCAUGCUAAAAUGUAUUUAUAACAGUGUUUAAUUGUCAGAUUUUUUUUUUUUUUGUAAUUUUCAAGUUGUUAAAAAAAACAUGCAGAGAGGUGAAAAAAGGGAUUAAAAAAUGAUAAACGGGUUCAAAACGGGUAAACGGGUAAAUGAUUAUGGUUAAAUAGGUAAACGGUUAUGGGUAAAUGGGUACACGGUUAUGGGUAUGAGUAUAACCGUUUAUGCAAUUACCCAACGGGUAAACGGCUAUGUGGGUAUGAACAUAAAUGGUUAUGAGUAAAUAACCGCGGUUACCCGCCCGCUAUAACCAUUGCACAUCCCUAAUAGAGAACAUACGAGAAUAGCCGCUUGGAUGGUCAAUCCAAGAAGAGAAAAUCUUGCCACAAUCACGGUACUUGAAAAAAAAAACAAUUUUAAAGGAGGGAAACAAUCGCGCCUUUUUUUUAAUAGACUCUGUCGACGAUAUUCUUGACAAAUAGUCGGGUGAGCUUAUUUUUCACAACAUUUUAUUUAGGACUAGGUUCGGUUGGCAAAUCGUGUCAAAUUUCUUGUGCCAUUUGCCAGCCACAUAUACAUAAUUACCAAAAAUCAGUUACCGUUCGCCAACCAUCUUCUUGCGGUUGCCAAAAAUCGGUUCAACCAAAAUGAUUGGCUGGUUCGGUUGGUAAAUGGCACAACCGGUGGUUUCCACUUCUUCCUCGCUAUCUUCUAGUUGCAAGGGCUCAAUUUGAUUUUCAGAUUGGGAUGCUUGUUCGGUUGCAUUGUGUGGUUCAUUUUGGGUUAAUCCAUGUUGUGCACUAGCAAUUAAUUGGCUAGACUCCAUCAUCCUAAACAUAAGCAACACAUAUACAUUCAAAAUCAUAUAUAUGUACGUGUAUAUAUAGUAUCAGUAAUCAUCAUGUUAUCAAUUUUGUUAACAAUAUUUUCUAUAUUGAUUAUGGCAUGAAUCAUAUACAUAUACAUAUAUUUUUUAAACCCUAAAACUAAGGAGUUAUUUAUUUUCUAAGCCCUAAAAUUGAGGAGUCAAGCAUGUAAAAAAAUACUUAAAAUAUCUAAAUAGAAAAAGAAAAAAAAAAAAAAAAAUAUAUAUAUAUAUAUAUAUAUAUAUCGGUAGGUAUGGCAUACCGCCGACAUACAAAAUCAAUUACCAAAGCCAUGCCAUUAAUUGUCGGUUCGGUAAAAUGCCAACCGAUUAUGAAAAAAUGCCAAAACUAUACCAUACCAUUUUGAGCCAACCGGUAUGGUUCGGUCGGUAAAUCGGCUUAUGGCAAAAUUUCUCACCCCUAAUUUUAUUUGUCGCCUUAAACCUAUUGGUUUCUAGCCUACAAUUUGGAUAUUUUGUUGGGGAAAGAUUUUUGUACCAAUAAAAUUUUGCUUUGUCAGCUUAGGAUUUGUCGGCAAAAUGACAUUUUCUAGUCGUUAUAAUAUUAGGUAGAUCAAAUUUGUAAACUAUGUGAUGUGUCACCAAUAGGAAAAAAAUUCAGUGUGCUGAAAAUACAGUCUAGAACACCAAGUGUCAUAAUAUAUACUUGGUUGGAAAUUUUUUAUUUUCAAGUUUCCAACUAAUUGUAUUGUAACAGUUGGUGUUCCAAGCUAUUUUCUCGAUGCGUUGGAAAAUCUCUUCACCAAUUAAAAAUAAACAUAUUAAUUAACACUUAAGUAAUAAUCAAAGUAUCAACAACUACGUCAUAAAAUUUACGAAAUAUGAUCUUAAUUAAUGAUCUCCAUGGCAUUACCCUUUAUCUUAGCGUAUACGUACGCCUUCACAUGUUUAUUUGCUGAUAUGCAGCUUGAGUAAAAAUUUCUUUUUAAGAACAUAUAUGUGAAUAUAAACAUAUAUAUCUAGUGAUCCAUGUUGCGUUAUUUAAAAAUAAACAAAUUAAUUAAUUAAUAAAUGAACUGUGUGCAUGUCUGUGUAGAGUAAUCCAUAUGCAUGCUUGAAUCCUGAUCACCACGAAACCAUAAUAUAAGCUACUCAAGGCCCGGAAGCUAGGAUUGAAGAGAAAAACACCCAGUCAGAUUAAGCCAAUAUAUCAAAGUUAAUACUUCGAAAUGUAAGCUUUAAGAUAGAAAAAUCACUUACUACCUUGAGCAGUCGAGCUUCUUCAAUGGCAUGAAGCUUUUAGCAUGAGAUUGACUGCAUCACAACUAAAAUUUUCUCUUGGAAACUACAUAAGGAAUAGCAUGUAUACCUAUAACGUUGAGAAAGUACGCCAAUUUUUUCCUUCUGCACAUUCAUGUUUAAAAGUAAUCCUCAAAUGAACUUGCCCACAAUGAAAUGCAAUUUGAGGUAGUCGAGUGUGUUCCAUUUCCAUUCCAUGGGAAUUACUACUAAACUUUGAGAUGGUAAAGGAUUCAUGAAAUUUUUUACUUUUGAGAUAGCCUCUUUAACAUUUCUCGACUAUAACAAUGAGGGAAUACUUCACCUUGUAUCAAACAAGGGAGAGCGAAAAUCAACUACUAAUAGCAUCACAGAGCCAGCAGAAGAUUGAGGAGGCCAUGAAGAGGAGAGAGAAAAUACACUCUUUUUUUUUGUAAGGACAGAGAUAAUACAUUCAGUAAGGGGUACUGAUGUUUAUAUGCAAUGCUGAUUAGGUUUAAAUAGUCCUAUUUAUUCUGUACAGUGCCAAUAUUACCACCCGUUAGUACACUUUCAAGACACUGUACUCCAGUGUGUGCGCUAUGCAGUACGUAGUACUCCUCAUUUUUUGGGGAAAUUCAUUAUUGGUCUUCAUAUCUUCUUUAUUUUCCUUUUCCUCAUUGUGCCACGUGUUUAAAUCACUAAUUGUAGGUAAUCUUUCAAUUUAAUUAAAUCUUAUGUAAAAAAAGAUAUUUAAAUAUCAUUUAGUAUUACAAGAUAGUGAUAUUCCUCUUUAGUAUAAAAUUUUUAUAAUUAAAAGCGUUCAGUUUUUUAAUCUUCAUUUGAAUACUAUCUAUAAAGAAAAAUUAUUCGAAUAAGAGAUCGUUUAUGCAUUCAAAUGUACAAAAUGCAUCGACAGUGUGAGAACGAAUUAAUAUAUUUUUGAUGAAGUACAAUUAUUGAAUACAUUUGAAUGAUCAAAUGAUAUAUGAUUCAAAAUACAUAUUAAGAUAAUAAAUAUAAGUGAAUUGUUAUUAGCACUCCAAGAAUCUUAUUAUACACUCUAAAUUUUCUAUAUUUUGAAUGAAAAAUAAAUUUAUGAAGAGUGUAGAAUGAGAUUUUUUAAUGCUAAUAACACUUCUCUAAAUAUAAUUAUGAAAUUAAUAAAGUAAAGAUACAUGACCUCGUGAAUGAUGUAUGUAUUAUUCAAAAAAUUAUUAAAAACAAAUUGAAAAAGGACGCUGUUGUUGCCACCACUUAUGCAAUGAUCGUCGCUGCCAUCACCAACCCCCAACACCCCAUUACAGCUCAUAAAAGCACAUCAUAAGCAAUUUAUGAAAUAAAUUUACUGGAAUACUAAUUUCCCCCUUAGUUUAGGUCACCAAUGUUUAAAUUUAGGGGUGUGAUAUGCACAUACCUUUUUUUGCUUCUCUCACACUUUUUUUGUUGUUGUCGAAUCAGAUGAAUUGAAGAAGAUCAAUUGACAGAAAUUAACAAGGGGUGUAUGAAAAGUAAAAAUGGAUGUGUAGAUAACACAUCCCUAAAUUUAUCACAACUUUCAUUCCAAAUUUAAUUUUUAUGCGUAGUUUUGUUUGUUCAAAUUUACUUUGACAUUUCAAUUAGUAUUAAAAUCUAAUUUAAAUUUUAGCGUUCAAGCUAGAAAAAGUGUUCCAUUUAAUAUUUAAUCUCAGUUUUUCUCUUUAUUCUUUUAUUCCGAUUUGGUUGCAUCGUAUCUCCAUUUUUCUCGGUGUUGUAUGUUCAUAAGGCCUGGGAAACGUUGGCACGGAGUGAAGGGUACUCACUUUUUGGCCCAAAAUGCAUAAGGCAUGUAGAUAUGUUAAUCAAAUUUUGUAAACUAAAGGAUAUAGAAGUUGAUACUUAGAUUAUAAUUUAAGAUAAUACUAAAGAGACUAAAUUUGCAAACUAAAUGAUGUGUCACCAAUAAAAAUAAGCACGUUUAUCAACGCUUAAGUAAUAAAUCAAUCAUCAACUUUCAUGUCCUUUAGUUUCCAAAAUUUAAUAUACAAAUUUAGUCUCCCAAGCAUUACUCUAUUACUUAAGUAUUGAUUAACAGACUUAUUUCUUAUGGUGACAUAUUAUUUAAUUUACAAAUUUAGUCAACCCAACAUUACUCUUUUGAAAUUGUCUUGUCCACUGAUAUAAUUCUAUUUUUCUUGUGAUCAAAACUUCAAAUGUUAGCAAGUCGCACGUAAAGUCACUUCUGAGAGAAUGUGCUCACAUUGUAGUUGAAAGAUUAUGUGGCUAGCAACAUUACAAAUUUAAUUUGGUAUAAUUUAAAAUAUAGAUUGAGGAAAAAAUGAUCACAUUAACUAGAAACUGAAAAGGUUUCAGCACAGUUUGUUCAAGCAAGAAACUCAAUUUUGAUGCUACCGAUCUUAACAGCCUGAGCGCCGUACCUGGGCACUAAAGUCACCACCACACUCUCAUCAUCUUCAGCACCCAAAUCCUCCAACAGGUCCGUUAACCCCAACCUUAAACAACUCUUGCUCUUUUCCUUCUGCUUAUGUGGAACACUCACAAAACUCCCAGCAAACUCGCUCUUGUCGGGUCCACUCGGUGCCGCAUCCUCAUCGUCCACGUCAUUCACAUACACAUCAAACUUCACAGCCACAUCUUUGUCAAGCUCAAUCCCCUGAAUCACCAGUAUCUCCUCCUCAUCCUCUUUCUCCUUCUUGCUCCUCUUCUUCGGCUUCGGCCUUGACACCACCGUACUUAUCUUUGUCUCCAAAUUUAUUGGAAAAUCUUUACCCGCCACCACCUUCCCCGAUGACGUCGUCUCAGCGGCCUUCGCCACUCCAGCCGCCUUUGCCUUUCUCGCAAGCUUUGUCCGACGUGGCGUCGGUCUAGACUUGAGCCAUGGAAUCUCAACAUCUUCAUACGUAUACCCUAGCUUUUUAUUAUCAAGAGUGUCCCUCACCGUGACCCUAACAAGCUCAGCAUUCUCGUCAUAAAACAAAAACCCCGUAUCCAACCAAUCCUUAUCGUUAAUAUCUUUAUUUUUAGUCCCUAUACUUUUCCAAAUAUUCCACAUUCGAUCUAUAUUCGAAUGGUGCGAAAAAAAUAUUGGAUCCCUUGCAGCGGAGUAAAAAUUCCCCAUGUCUUCAAAAUUAGGUUGCGUGUUAUCUCCGGUCCAUGUAUGAACCGGACCAUGUGGGGUCGUUUCGAUUGAACCGGCCCCUGGAUCUGGUUCGGUGCCAGCCCUGUAGGGCGAACCAAAGAACAACAGCGGUUUCUUGGAGUUGGAAACCAUCUGCCUAUACAUGAUUUUGAGGUUGGCGUCGAUUUGAGCAUCCUUGGACAUUGUUUCAUCCGUGCCGUUAAAGUCAAGAUCGAUGAGAGUCGGCGGCUGAUGGCUGGCAGCGCGGAGCUCGUCGUAAAGCGGAGAGUCCGGGUUAGCGAACAAGGCAGGGAGUUGCAUGCCAGCUGGCGCGUCCCAGUUCCAAAACGGCAACGCGAACGUCGGAUCGUCUAUGAGUUUGGCCAAGAUUCUUUCGUGGAAGUAUAGGUAGUAACGAUGGAAGGGGAAGAAAAGCCAGGAUUGAUGGAUUUGGAGCUCGAGGUUGGGGAAGCCGACUUGAUCGUACGCGCCGUCGCAAUAGGCACAGUGGAUAUCGGCUUGCUGGGUGAAGCUACGCGGAUCGUCGUCCGGGAGGGCUUUCAUGAGCUCGAUGGCUUUUGAAUAUUUUUCGAUGUAGGCUUUAUCCACGGUGUGAGCUGCCGGCCUGACGCGGAGUUUGGUAGGGGAGGGGAAUUUGAAGUCUACGAUUUUUUGGGACGUUGGCGGGCAACAGUUGGUCGGGACUGCUCCACUUGGAAAGUCCGCACCUCCGCAUUUGGCUAGGUCAGGCGGCGACACUGGCUUUGCAACAGCGAAGGGGUCGCUGCCAAGACCAGCCACUCCACCGUACAGGCUUCCGAGACCUAUAAGUACAUGUCUUCUGUCUAGGUUUACUGGAGAAAGGUUUUCAUGGUCGUGAUCGUUGGAGCUAGUGGAAGGGUUUUUGUUUUGGUCACUACUAUUAUUCGUGGCUUUGCAUGAGACGGCUUGUAAAUUGGAAUGCCUAGGGUUUUCAAAUAAGGAAAUUCGGUGAUACUUUUGGGAGAAAGGGAAGAGAGAAGUUGUGGGGAUGAUACUUGUGGUGGAGGUGACGAGUGGAGCUGACAUAGAAGCCAUGGUUACUUGACUCUGAAUACUACGUUGUAUAGGCUUUGCUUUUAUAAUGUGUUCUAGGUUUUACUUUUCUUUGCACAGGUGGCAGGCCGUACACAUUGGCGGUCCUUAAGGGUUUGACGAGGAAUACUACGUAGUCAUUUAGUACAGGGCAACCAUGCACUAUAGCACGUGGCAUGUAAUAUUUACGUAGUCUCAGAAGGUGAAGCGGUUUUGGGCUUCUUGUGUACCAAUAAUAUUUACGUACUCAUUAUUCCACUGGAUGGAUUGCGUGCACGUGAUCUUUAUUCAAACAAAUCACUAUUGACCAUAUAUUGCAAUUGGUUAAUGUUAGGCAAAUUAAAUUUUUACAUCAAAUAAUGUGGUUGCUGAUUAUUGAAUUAUUAUUUAAGUUUGAUUAAUGUGCUUAUUUUUUAUCGGUAAUACAUCAUUUGAUUUGCAAAUUUGAUUUACCUAAUAUUACCAGUUAUAAUUUGUAUAAAUGGACUGGUACCUAACAUUACCAAUUGUAAUUUGUAUAAAUGGACUCGUACCUAACAUUACCGGUUGUCCCAAGAGCACACGCUACUGCUCAAGAAGCAAAGUUCUUAUUUGCCCAAAAAAAAUCAUGGUUUUUUAAUUGAUGCUCUCAUUUUAAUUUACUAGCCCCUUACUUGGCCCUUUUUAUUUAUCAUUUUAUACAUAUUAAUAUUUUGUUUGUAAAAUAUAUUAGUGUUAGUUUUAUCAAAAUUAAAAAUAAAUAAAAAACUUAGCUUUAGUAUUUAGUUAUUGAAAUUGUAAAAAAAGUGAUAAAGUAUUGGGUGCUUUGUUUGAAAAUUUUCAAAAUGAUAUUGUUUUUACCACUGAACCCCUGUUAUAUACAGUGAUGGCUAAUUUGUCAAGUUCUACGAAGUUGGGAUACCCAGCGUUUUAGCAUAUAACAUAGCUUAGUAUUUCAAGCAUAAUUAAUUAACGAAAAAUUAGUAUCCGGUCCCUAGUUUUUACUGUUCAUUGACUAAGACCUUAUUAGUUCUCAAAUUUUGAUUCAAGUCCCUAGCAUUAAUGUGAUAAUGAAUUUACAUGUUUAUUAUAUAAUUUUUUAAUAUAAAAAUUAGUAAUUAAUUUAGGGUUUAAUACUCACACCUCUAUUAAACUUCUAAUUAAUUUUCAAUUCAGACAUUUCCAAAAUAAUAAAAAAUUAAAUUAAAUUAAGUUUGUACCUAUUAGUUUUUUUUUAUAUAUAAAAAGAUUCUCAAUUUUUAAUCUUAAAUGUACAUCUUAAAUGUACCCAUUCUCAAAUAUAUCAAUUUGUUAUAUGUAAAAUGUACCCUUUUUUAAUAUAAAAUCCAUUCAAAAUUUUUAAUCCAUGUUUAAACUUAUAUGGGUACAUUCUUUUUCGUUGAUUUGAGAAUGUAUCCAUGUUUUGGUACAAUAAAUUUUUUGUUAAUUUUGGUUAAUGUACCCAUACAUAUAUGUACACACACACACACACACACACACACAAUAUAAUAGAGAGUAUAAUUUAUAUUUUAUUAUUUUUAAUCCCAUAAAUGAUGGGUUUUAUUUAAAAUCUCAUUAAUAUAAACAAUUAUAAAUUUCAAUUUUUAAUUUUUAAUUUAAAAAAUAUAGUAACUUACAUUAUUACAUUAAUGUCAGGGACCUCAAUAAAAAACUAAAAACUAACAAGGUUUCAAUCAAAGAAUAUUGAUAGCUAGGGACCACAUCCAAAGUGUCCCUUAAUUAAAGGGUAAAUUACAUAGUAACCCCUCAGGUUUGAUGUCUAUUACAACCCCAUACAACAUCUUUAAAACAUUUCACUUUCAUACCUCAAGUACUAUUUUAUUUCAAUAUAAUACAUCUGUUAGAUUUUCCAUCCAUUAAUCCGUUAAAUGCUGACAUGGAUACCACAUUUGUGCCACGUGGCUGCCAAAUGCGUGUCAUGUGGCAAAAAUAAUAAUUUUUAAAUUUAAAAAAAAAUGAAUCUUCAACCCAAAAAAAAAAAAAAAAAAAAAACCCCAAACCCAGAUCCCAUCAACCCCCCCCAAACGAUUAUCCCUUCCCCAUAUCCCCCAUCCCACCCCCCAACCCCCCCUCUGCGACCAACCUUACCAUAGCGCCCCCCAACCUCGCGACCCACCUCACUCAAGGCCCUAAUCCACACUACCUACAACCCAGAAACGAAAAAAAAAAACAAAAAACAAAAAACUCAUCUCCCUUUCCCUGCAACCCAAAUCCCAUCUUCCCUAAUGGGUAUGGAUUUAAGAAGUGGGGUGUGUAGAGGAGGGAAGAGGGUGGGUGCGGAGGAUGGGUAUGGUGGGUUGCAAGGAAGGGGGGUCGGGUAAGAUGAAGAUGGGUUUUUUUUUUCUCUCUCUCUUCUUCUUCUUCUGGGUUGCAAGUUGUAGGUUGGGGUUUUUUUUUGGGGGGGGGGGGGAGGGAGGGAGGGAAGACGACGUGGGGUUUGGUUUUUUUUUUUUAAUUUAUUUAGAAGAUUUAGGUUUUUUGAAAAAAAAAAAAAAAUUCCACGUGGCACAAAUGUGGCAGCCACGUCAGCAUUUAACAGAUUAAUAGAUGGAAAAUCUAACGGAUGUAUUAUAUUGAAAUAAAAUAGUACUUGAGGUUAGAAAGUGAAAUGUGUUGAUGCACAAAACCGAAGGUCUUUGAACAACGUAAAUCCGAUCGUGAAUAUGCAAGUAAUGUAAAUAACACAAGAUGUAUCGUGGUUCACUCCAAUGUUUGGGCUACGUCCACACUGAUUAUUGUAUUUCUCUGAGAGGUGAGGGGGAGAGCUUUGAGAAAGCUUAGAGCUUAGGGGAUGUGAGAAGGCUUAAGAAUUGGCCUCCCUUAUUUGUGAGGGUGAUGAGUCCUUUUAUAGAAUAAGGGAUCCUCACUUAUUACAUAUUUGCCCAUUCCUUUAUUACAUAAUUACAUUUAAGUCCCCUGAGUACUUGUACAAGGUCUAAAUACGGAGGCCCUAAGUAUGGUACAAACAGUAGUCCCCCAAGUCUUCAGUCAAGAGAGUCUUUUGGCUAGAGACUUGAAAUUCUGUCCAUGUGUGAGCCGAAAUAACUAGAUGUCGUCUAGAACUGAUAUUUGAUAUGCGGCAGUGCCCAUUUUGAAAUAAUGCUCAACUAGAAGUAGCACAUGCUGCGAGGCUGCUCUGCUUGUGUUGCCUUGGUUGGCUCGACUUGUGGCGUUGAAGGUGAGAGAGUCCCUUUUAUAGAAUAAGGGCUCGCUCCUCAUUACAAAGAUGAUGGGUUAGUUGGUGCUUGCGGUGAGGCGGAUGCUCAGCUGGCGGCGAUGCUCUCUAAUGAUAGUGAGGGAGUCCAUUUUAUAGAAUAAGGGAUCGCUCCUCAAUACAUAAAUAAUAGGUGCUCUCUAAUGAAAGUAAGGGAGUCCCUUUUAUAGAAUAAGGGCUCACUCUUCAAUACAUAAAUAAUGGGCUAAGUCCCCUAAGUAUUUUUUAUGAGGCCUAAUUGAGGCCCAAUAUAUGGUACAUAAUGUAGUCCCCCAAGUCUUCGGUCAAUAGAGUCUGUUGGCUGGAGACUUCAAAUUGAAUCCAUGUAUGGGCCGAAGUGGCGGUUGUUCGGAAGCGGUAUUUGUAUACCCUGCACUGAAGCUUUAUAGGUGAAGCUUUGCAAGUGAAGCUUUGAAGCUGGAGCUCAGUAAAUGAAGCUUUUGAAGCUAGAGCUUUUGUAAAUGAAACUUUUGAAGCUGGAGCUCUAUAAAGGAAGCUUUUGUAAAUGAAGCUUUUGAAGCUGAUUCACAUGAGUGAUGCUCAUGAAUGUUUAUGUUGAUUGAUAUGAGUGAUGCUUAUGGAUGUUGACAUGAGUGAUGCUCAUGGAUGUUGACGUGAUGCUCAUGAAUGUUAACAUGAGUGAUGCUCAUGAAUGUUUAUGUAUGAUUGAUAUGAGUAAUGUUCAUGAAUGUUUAUGUAUGAUUGACAUGAGUAAUGCUCAUGUAUAAUUUGAAGUACUGGGCAUACUUUUGAUUACCUGGUUGGCGAUAAUAGCGGCAGGGUGCCGAAUAAUUUUUUGUAGUACUGGGCGUACUUUUGGUCACCUGGUUGGUGAUAAUAGCAGCAGGGUGCCGAAUAAUUUUUUGUAAUACUGGUCGUCCUUUUGGUCACCUGGUUGGUGCUAUUUUGAGCUUAUGGGCCUUCGCCCUCUACACAACAUUCCAGCCUAUUUAUUUUGGGCUUUACCGUUUUUUUUAAUUACCCUAUGAUGGGGUUUAUACAGAUGUCUCCGAAAGAUAUGAAAAAUAAAUUACAUCAUUCAAAAAUAAAUCCGACCCUCUGCUCAAUGGGUCACGCCAAUAAUUCUUUUUUUUUAUGCAUGCCAUCACCACCGCAAUUAUGUCUGCUUCUUUUUAUCUUCUUUUGCUUUCUGCUUUUGCUUUUACUUUAUCUUUCUCUUUUGGCAUAUGGCAGACAACGCCAAAACGGAAUAAUGAAUUAUUAUGAGAACAUGAAUCUUAUCUUUUGCCUGGUUUUCCACUAGUGCUCGUGGUAUUCUCAGGAGAUUGGAUCUGGGGGUAGGCGACUACCCCAGCACCUUGCCCUGAUACGUAAUAGCCUGAUGUCCCACUGCCAUCUCCAUACUGGAAGGUGUACGAACAAUGGUUAUUCUGUGUGGAACAAAUAGAAUCCGAUUGAGAUUCAAGACUGCACCUUCGAUCUGAGCAAGAAAUGAAUUGUGACGUUGAUGAACUUCUAGGAGGAGAAGCAGAGGAUCUUUGACUAUGAUGAUCUUUGAAUUCCAGAUGAAACUGAAUAAAAUGCAGGUUGUGGAGCUUGAUGUGGGCCCAGAUCUGCUUGACAGCUUUGGGGCGGGAGGAUUCCUUGACACUGAGGAAGAUUCCCAGAGCUGGAGGGAUGAGAAUCGACUUCAUAAUCCCGAUGGUGGGUUUGUGCUUGGUCGAAAGAUCAUUUCUGGCAGGGGAAAACAUGUACCAUACCUAUUGCAAAUCUUGCAAAUUCUCUGCUUCUCCAUGGAAGAUGAAGAGCAUCGAAUCUCUGUUUUCUCUCUCUCUCUCUAAAACGUUUUCGUUAUAGAGUGCCCCAAUAGAAGUGGACGGGCAGUGAGCAUGCCAUUUAGUGCCUCCUCCAAGACAGUAACUGAUACGGUGGUCUUUAUUGGCACUCCAAGUUUACUAAAAAGGGCAGCAAAAAUAGUAUUUACAGCACCCAAACUUGAAAGAUCUAGCUCCAACUAGUGGCUUUCUGUUUCAACAGCCUGAAAGCCGGCAGUGUCAUACCGACGCCGUUUGUCUGGAUCAAAUAAUAUAUUAUAAGAAAACAUGACCUUCUUGAAGAUAUCAGCUGUUUUAGAGUCAUUAGCAUUUUUGUCAGGAUGGUACUUGAGAGCCAUUUUCCGGUAAGCACUUUUGAUUUCCUGGUUGGUGGAAUUCCUAUUGAGGCCGAGGACCGCAUAAGGGUUUUGUCGGAGCUGCUUCUUAGCUUCUUGCUUCUCCGAUUUUGAUCGGCUGCCCUGCAUUUUUGAAAUUGACGGUCAAUUUCUUCACAAAACCCUAGAAAUUGCCUCUCGAUUACCUCCGAAACACAUAAUUCACGACUCUUGGUUGAAAUUUUUUUUUUUCAUUUCAAAGAAGUGGCGGAGGUAAAUCAGUUGUCACAUAGCACCGGAGCAUGAGGAAAACCUAGAAAACCAAGAGGCAGAGAGACUCCAUGCACAUCUAACCUGGAACCUUGCAGGAGAGAGCAGAGAGAAAGAGACAAGAAAGAUUGAGGGAGAAGCGAUCUUGGUGCAUCGUCUGUGAUUCCUUGGUGAUUUGCUCGAUCGGGACUCUGAAUUCGUGCAAGUCAUUGCUGUUAAGCAAGAAUCGCGAGGAGUCGGAGAGCUUGGAAAUCGAGAAGGAGAGAGGGCCUUUAGUCAGGGCUUGGAGGGUGUCGGACUCCGUCGGCCAAGAUUGGUGCACGGUCACGGCGUCUGGGCCCAUGGCGGUUGUGUAAAUGGGGGAGGUUCUAGGAGUCCAAGAAAGAAGAAGAAGCAGCGACCAUAGAUCUGGGAGUCCAUGGCGCUUGAAAGAUACGGCGAACAAGUCGGACUUGCUGCUGGGCAGCUGGCGGUGAUAAUGUUGGUGCAUGGGUUUUGGAGUGGGAGUGUUUGGAAUGGGUUUUUUGUUUAGUUUCUAUGUGUUUUUUCACAGAGAGAGAGAGAGAGAAGUGAUGGUGUUUAAGGGAUGAGUUUUGGAGCUUAGUGAAUGCUUUUUCUGGAAAAGCCCAGUGAGGUUUGUGGGUUUUUGCAGAUUUUGCAGAUUCGCGGUGGAGGUGAAAGAAUGAAAGAGAACCGACACAACUUUUCGUAUUGAUUCCCACAUACGGCGCCAAAUGUUGAUGCACAAAACCGGAGGUCUUGGAACAACGCAAAUCCGACCGUGAAUCUGCAAGUAAUGUAAAUAACACAAGAUGUAUCGUGGUUCACCCCAAUGUUUAGGCUAUGUCCACACUGAUUAUUGUAUUUCUCUGAGAGGUGAGGGAGAGCUUUGAGAGAGCUUAGAGCUUAGGGGAUGUGAGAAGGCUUAGGAAUUGGCCUCCCUUAUUUGUGAGGGUGAGAAGUCCUUUUAUAGAAUAAGGGUUCCUCACUUAUUACAUAUUUGCCCAUUCCUUUAUUACAUAAUUACAUUUAAGUCCCCCGAGUAUUUGUACGAGGUCUAAAUACGGAGGCCCUAAGUAUGGUACAAACAAAAUGUUUUAAAGAUGUUGUAUGGGGUUGUAAUAGACCUCAAACUUGAGGGGUUACUAUGUAAUUUACCCUUAAUUAAAAUAAGGGCAAAUGAAGAGGAUGGUUGAACUUGUUAAGUUUCUUAAGUGUGUCUAAUUUAAGUGUGUUGUUAAUAAACAUUUAUUAUGGAGGCAAAGAGAGGGAAGGUGCGGCAUAGAAAGAGAAGAGAGAGAUAUGUAAUUGUGAGUUGUGUUUUAUUCCAUCCCAUUGUGCAUUUAUUUAUAUUAGUUGGGAAAGUUAAUUCUUUAACCUUUUAGGAUUACAACUCUAAUAGGAAAAUAUAUAAUCUAAAAGAUAUGGUAGAAUCCCAUAAGAAUAUCCUAGAUAUGUUAGGAUUUACACAAUCAUAUUCCUAUUCCAAUAGGACUGCAAAACAUUUGUAUUUUUUUAUAAUUUUUUUGAUAAUUUGUUGGCAUUUUCAAUUUUUGUUAACAUUGAAAAUAUAACGGUUCAGAUGAAAAACCUUUGGAAAUCCAACAUUGAAAAUAUAACAGUUUGACGUUGGGCUGUGGUGAAGGAGGCUGGGCUGUCACGUGGGUGGGGCCCUCCCUCUCCCACUUGGUGAUUCAAAGGGCGCAGGCCCGUGCAACAAUUGAGGCAGCCCAUAGAGAUCCUGCGUUUCACCCAUUUGCCAUUUUUUCCACCGCUGGAGCACCAAAAUUCGGUCCAAAGGCAGGGGUUCCAAUUGCAUGGGCAAUUUGGUUUCCGCUGGAGGUGCUCUUUGUCGACUUUGUUUAUUCUUUCUUUUUAGCUUUGCAGUAAUAUUGAAGUAAUCACUCCAAUUGUAUCCGAACUUUUGUUGUCCAUCAAUUUGUAUCAAAACUAUUGGUUAAUUUACAUAUUCAGACUAACCUUCUCAUUAUUUUUAGUAUUUUUAUCAUAAAUAAUAUCUAAAAUAAUCACAUUUUAUUCAACAACCACUCAAUUAAAAAUUAAUUAAUGUUGUUUCUAAACCAUUACAUCGAGCUUUUGUAAAUACACAUCAAUAUUGCAGCGAUCCGAGGCAUUGUUUUCUACGCCUUGGAUUUGGCGAAUUGGAAAAGAGAAGAGUUACGAGUAAAAGUCCCUCACAUUAAGAGGGCUCCUCCUCGGGGAGAUGAAGAUGAUGAUCUUUUGUUUUUGUUUCUUAAUGAUUAAUCCACGCAGCAACAUAUAAUUAGAUUGUUGGGAUCUACUCAAGUUCCAUAUCACGCACUAAUAUAAAGUUUGACAAACGAAACGAAAUAUGUGCUCUCGAAAGCAAAAUGAGGGCACUGCUCCAAGAACAGGAAGGGCUCCUUGUCGAGGUUGCCAUCCGCCAUGAGGGAAAACCGGAAGAAGUUAGACAACAAUGAUGACAUCGAUUUGCAACACCCAUAUUGGGACAUCAAACUGUGAAAUAAAUACUCAAAACUCCUGGAAAGUCCUCGGGACAACAAACUUUUAUCUCCUUCAAAUAUUUCAUUUUACCAAGUUUUAUGUUUGAAGGGAGGGAAAAAAAGAGAUGAGAGAAUCCUACUCCUUAUUCUUGAAUAUAUUCAGGAAUAACUAUUGAAUAAAGAGAGAAUGGAAGGGGAUCGAAAGAGGAGGGAAGAUAAUUCUAGUCCCAAACAUAAAAAGGACCACAACUUUUAAAUUAUCAGCACGAUCAUCAUCUGAUUGAAGAGACCAUUCAUUGUGAAACAUAUCGUCAAUCAAUAUGUCUAUAUCUAUUUAUAUACCACAUUUUUGGAGUAGGAUUCUCCCCCCUCCUAUUACCAUCCCCUUCCAUCCCCUUCCAUCCCCUCCUUUCAUACUUUUUUUUUUCUUAUUCUCUAUAUAAAAAAUUCAAAACAAGAUGUAGAUGUGUCGUAAUCGCAAUAGUUUAAAUAAAAGGAGAUGGAAGGAGAGAUAAAUUACGAGGGGAGAGAAUCUUACUCCCACAUUUUUCUUCUUCAUAAACAAAAGAGAGGUUCUAGAUUACUUGACUCUAUGCCUCAUUUUUUUCAUCAAGUAUUUGUGCUAAACGGGUUCAGUUUCAAGUAUUUUAGUUUUUUGUCAAAAUUGAGAAAACUGAAAAUCAAACAUUAAUAUGCAAAAUUAAAAAAUCAACACAUAAUUAUUUAGAAAUCGCAAUAGAAAAGAAAAAAUGGAGGUUUGUGAUGAAAAAUCUUUUAUACUAAGUAAUUUAGUAUCCUUAUGCAUGAAGAUAAUCAAUUCGUUCGUUAUGGUCAGACUCUUUUUGAAUUUUUGAACACAUUCUCCAUAGGGCCUUCUUAUUUGUUCCUUCUCCGAGUUGGGGUUAUGGAAGAAGUAAAAGAAGGAACCAAGAAGAAAGUAUUGGCAACAACCGAUUUCGUUACGGGACAACUCUUGAUAUUCAUAUCGAUCUAUUAUGUACCUUUGCAUCUAGCAUUAGACAAUAACUGUCAUAGCUUUACCAUAUUUUUUUGUUUCAUUUCUUCUGAAACAAUAACACACACUUUUUUAUUAUGUGUCUAAUACUAGGAAUUCAAUACAUAAUCUUAGCAUUCAAUAGUUAUUCCUGAAUAAUUUCAUUUUUCAAUUGAUCAACCAUUUCAUUUUUCCAAGUUCAAUCAAUGUUAGUCACAUUAGUCAACAUUUAUAUAUUUUGAUGCAACAACAAUAUGUUAUUUGUAACAAGUGAUUUUGCUAGUUGGUUAAUUGGUCACAAGUUAAUGUUCGGUUCAGUUCAGCUUUUCUCUCGAUUUUUUGCGAUUCGGUUUUUUCGAUUCUCUUUAGAUUCGGUUCGAUUUUGUUUUUUUAUUUAUACUUAAUUUUUUUUAAUCUGAAAACACCAAGAACAACACAAGCAUACUCAAUCAAACAACUAUCCUUCUCCACAAAUCACAGUAAUAAUUACAUUCAUUUAGCUAAAAUGCAAAUAACUAACAAACUCACAAAAAUCGAAUAAAAACUACAAAUUGCUUACUCUUUUUCUUUGGGUUUCACUCGAAAAGUGUCGGUAAAAUUUAGGGUUUGCAAGAACGCAACCGAAAUCCAAAACGGAGGCUCUGUGGCUUGUGGGCUGCUAUUGAGUUCCAGUACGGAAAACCUUGCUUACUCUCUAUCACGGUACAAAGUAUCAGUACCUUUAGCACUGUAUUUGGUAGAACCAAAUUAAAAGCUAACAUCAAUAACAACUACCAGAGACAUAAGCUCUUAUCAAUGCUUUGGAAACAGUCAUGUAUCUCCAAGUGUAAUGAUAUAAUUAGUAAGAAAUUUAAAAGAAAAAUGGUGAUUUCAUAUAAAAUCAAUAAAAAGUUACAAUAUUGACAAUAUAUCAACAAUUUUUAUGGGGUAAAUUACAUAGGACCCCCUCAGGUUUGAGGUCUAUUACAACCCCAUACAACAUCUUUAAAAUAUUUCACUUUCAUACCUCACCUACUAUUUUAUUUCAAUAUAGUACCUCCAUUACAUUUUCCAUCAAUUGAUCCAUUAAGAGCUGAAUUGGUUGCCACAUUUGACACGCCCCGAUCCCGAUAUCCUCGGGAUAUCAGGAUGGUCACGUGCUGGCCGACACCCGAGGGUGACGAAAGCCAUUUAUUGAGUGCAAUUGCUGAAAAUAAAGGAUAGAUAAAACUUAUAAAUGUAAAAGAAUAAGGAAUAUGCAUUUAAGGAACGUGUUCAGAGCAUACAACUAACUAGAACACUAAAAGAAUGAUAUAAAAUGGAAUGAAUAAAAGAAUGAGUCUUACACCAAGAGGACUCGAAGAUGCCGAUGCGGAAGUACCUUGAUUGUCGGGAUUGUACGCCUCGAUCCUAAAUCCUGAAGGGGGCGCAAAACAAACAUGAGUGGACCAAGUUGAUAUAUAUAUAAUAAAACAGUUAUCAAUAUACUAACCCCCAGGUUUAUGAAAACAAAUAUAUAAUGAUGAACAUAGGUUUUCCGAAACCUAGCAUGAUGUGCAGUAUCUCAAAUCAUAACUCAUAUAUAAUAAUCACUAGUGAAUUGUCCGAUAACCUGCAGGCCCCAUGCCGGCUCCCCGUCUCUGAGCAGACAGUCAGAGGAAAAUACACUUCAGGCCCCAUGCCGGCUCCCCGUCCCUGUGCUAAAUAGCCAGAGGAAACACACUCCAGGCCCUAUGCCAACACCAAACCGUCGCCCGGGACGGACCGGAAUCUAUUCCUACGUCCCGUAGCGGAAAUGACCACUAGGUAAGUACAAAACCAUUGAACAUACAUAUAUUGAAAAACAACUUCAUAGUAUAAAGUCAUCCAUCAUCUAUACUAUAAAGAGGUGUUCGAAACAUGUUCUAAAUAUCAUAUCGUCAUCCAUCAGAUAUUCUAUAAGAACACGGGUUAUAGGAAAAAUAGUAAUAAUUCAAGGUAGCCUCAGUAAGCAUGUUAUCUCAAAACGUUUCAUAAAACGUAAUCAUUAAAUCAUGCAUUUCAUGUAUGCAUUUCUACUAUUAAAACAUGCUUUUGAAGGGGUCCACUCACAGUACUUAGCCGCCGAAGAGCCACGCAAACUAACGUCACCAAUAUUGCCCCUAAGCACAUAAAUGGUCCAAUUAAUAAAACUAUAUAAUAGCAAUUGGAUUUGGGAAAACGGACGUUGGAAACGGAUUCAGAACGUCGAAUUACCCUAAGAAGGGUCCCGGACGAAAACCCGAAAAGUCAACUCUAAAGUCAAUGUUGACCGGAGGUCAACGGUCAAAUUAGGUCUAACGGGUUUUAGGCUUGAAAUCCGGAUUAGGGUUUAGGUUAAAUAGGAUUAGGAUUUAUUGGGUUUUGGAAUUCUAAGGUUUUUGGGUUAAAAGGGUUUAGGGUGAAAAUGGGUGGUUUGGGCUUAAUCCCAAACUCACACACAACACACACACACACUACACAAACCCUAAAACACACACACACACACGGGCUGCACUAGGGCAGCCCUCACAACACUUCACAAAGGCCCUAAGGCCUUAUUAAAGGACAGGGCUUUAAGCCCUUUAAAGGAUACUGGCCCAAGGCCCGUCAAAAUAAGGCCCGAGGCCUUUGGGUUUUAAAAAGAACAAGAACAAAUUUAAAAGAAAAGGGGCUGGGGUCUACUGGGCUAAGAUAUAACGGGCUUAAGGCCCGUGGGGUUUUCUAAAGGGCCUGAGAGGCCUGGGUUUGUCGAAGGAGAAGGCCGGAAUUUCGGCCGGAAAACCACCCAACUUUAAAUGGCCAUAACUUUGUCAAUACUCAACGAAAUCAAGCAAGACAAAAAUGAAAGUUGUAGCCCUUGAAGCGACGAAGAGAAUGGUUCCUCACACGACGUCUAACUCGCCGUGGUUUGGCCGGAAAAUGCCUCGAAAUCCGUCGGACUCGCCGGAAACUGGGUAAGAUUCAAAUGAGUAUAACUUCUUCAAUACUCAACGAAAUUAAGUGAAACAAAAAGGAAAGUUGUAUUACUCGACGAGACGAAGAGAUUGAUACCUUACACGCCGGCCAACUCGCUGUGGUUUGGCCGGAAAUGGCCUCGAAAGGGGCGGUGCUCGCCGGAGCUUACUCCGUGCCGUCGAACUCGCAGGGUAGGGUCCGGGGUUCGUUGCAAGCCUCUCUUCGAUGGUGACUCGGUCCUAGUGAGUCCAGGGGAAGAGAGAGAUGCGAAAGGUUGAGGGAGAGAGAGACGGGAGAGCUGAGAAAGAGAGAGCUACGGGAGGGAGAAACGAAGAAGAAGAAGAGAGAGAUCAGAAAACAUAAAAAAAAUAAACAAGGUGGGCCCCACGGGCUCACCAAUUAAGGCUUUAAAACAAUUUUAAAAUAUAAAAGAGGGUUGGGGUGUUUCAACAUUUGUACCACGUGGCAAAAAAAAAACCUAAAUCUUCUAUACAAAAAAACUAAAAAAACCAAAAAAAGCAAAAUCGAACACUCCACCCCGCAAAAAUCCUAGCAUCUUCCUUUUAUUCCCCACAACCCCAAAUUCCCCCCCAAAACCCCUAAAACCCAAACCCUAAUUCCUCCCCCACAUGAAGAAAAUCCCAGUCCAAUUCAAUCCCAAUUACCUCAAAUCCCACCAUAGAAACCCUAAAUUUUGGUUCCUCAAUCCCUAGAUUUCCCACGCCUCUGUUGCCUACACCUUAUCAAUCUUUAGCUUUCUCCCUCAUCCCCUCCAUGAACGACACUUUCUCUCAUCCGCUGUUCCCCAGCAACGGCACCGAUACCUACGAGGCCUGGUACGGCAACAUCCAGUACCUUCUCAACAUCUCCGCCAUCGGCUCAUUCUUAUGUGUCUUCUUUUUCACCUUGGUCAAGCUUUGAAGCGAUCGCCGCCGCAUGCCCGGCUCGUCCUCCCUCGUUGCUAAGCUCUUCGCAGUGUGGUAUGCUACCUGUCGAGAGAUUAUGCUCCCAUGUGGCGCUGAGGCCAUAAUACUCACGCACCCAUCUACACACCCACACCACCACUACCGUGGACUCUCUCUCACUCUCCCUCGUCUUUGUAGAGCUAGGUGAAGCCUAGAAACCGAGAACUAGCUCCAGCAAACCCCGUGAGUUUCGAGCCAGAUCCCUGCCGACUCCGACCAUCCCAUGACCAAUCUAAGGUACAAAACAUUUCCCCUUGACUCUAUGCUCUUUUUCGUAUGUAGAUCGUAGGGAAAAGCCCACAGAAUGAGAGAGAAUAGUGACCUGAGAGAGUCCACGGUGAUGGUGGUGUGUAGAUGAGUGCGUGCGUGGGUGUACUGUCGGGGAUAGAGUCUGAGAGAGAUAGAGAGUGAAAGAGUCUGAGAGAAGAGUGACUUGCGAGAGUGAGAGAUUCGAGAGAGACUCGGGAAAAGAUUUAUGGGUUUGGGUUUUUCUGGUUUUUUAUUUUUAUAAUAAUAGGGUUAAUAUUAUAAUAUUUUUAAUGUAUAAAAAUUUCUUUUUUGCCACGUGGCAGCCACAUCAGCACAAAUGUGGUAGUUGUAGAUGCAAAUUUCUUCCUCUUGAUCUUGGACAAUUUUGCACCUACAAAACAAUUAACACCUUAGGUUAAGGCCAAAAGCCUCACACACCCACAAUGAAUGGGGGGCUUUGGCCGAAGAACCUCUGUUGCCAAAGUUAGAAUUUAGAGAGAAAGAGUCUUUACAGAAUUUUGGGAUUUUUGCCAAAGUGUUGGAAUGGCUUUCUGGUGAGAACGGGAUCACUUUUAUAAGGAUAGGAAGUGGUCGGCCUAGCUAGGGUUUUUGGGUUUAAUUUAGGUUUAAUUCUUCAAUUUAUUUGGCUAAUUAAACCCUAAAGAAUAAAUUGGUGGUUACAAAAUUGAUUAUUUGUAUAAAUGGGGUAAUAAAAUGGAGAAAAGUGAAAAAGGUUAGGAAAAGGGAGGUAGCUAGCUUCUUAGUAGUUUUAGGUGUGAGUGGGUGUUUUAAUUGAUAAUUAAGGGAUUGAUUAGGUAAUUAAUCCCUUAAUUAAACAAUUUUUAGGGAAUAUGAAAGGAAAUUAUUAUUUAGCUAAUUGAUUAGCUAAAUAAUGGAAUACAAAAUAUAUAGAAUAAAUUAGGCUUUAGGUAUUACCUUAUAGAAAUGAUUUGAUGAAAUAGGCUUUAAAUUGUUAACUAUUUUGGGCACUUUUGACUUGGUUGAGGAUGAUUGUCUGCCGCUCGCACGUAGGAAUCUCGAUAUGCCUUAAGGGUAUUUUUGUCCUCUUUUACCCAAAAAUCCACGUGUCGCCUUGUGAUUAUUUUUGGCUCCACAAAUGCCCCCACACCUGUUGGGCUGCUCGCAGAAAAUGGCAGCAGGUGUAGAGAUCAUCUUGCUUUAGGAAACGUAGGACUACUUCCUCUUUAGAUGUAGAUUCUCUCUUUAAUAGGAAAUUAGGUUCUUCUAGGAAAGGGAAAUAAAUUUCUGUUAAAGCCUAUUUAAGUCUACCUUAAGUGGGUUAUUAAAUCAACUUUGGAGAGCGAUUUCUUAUACCCUACAAGAGAGAGGGAGCUUAGAGAAUAUUUGUUCCCCCUCUUCUAGCAAUCUUCUACAUCUUUCCCGUGCAAAGGAUCGUCUUUCGUUGAUUUCUUCGUCUUCUCCGUGCCGCACCGAUGUAAGAAAAAUUUAAUUUUUUGCUUAUCUUCUUCUUGGAUAGUACUAUUACAGGGCAACCGUUAAGGUAGUGCGGCACGUCUACUGGCAGGGGCUAGGAGUUGGCUCGGCAUCGGUCGAUGAGGCAUUAUGGCAGGGGCCACUGCUUAGGCUGUUUGGCUUGGCUAGAGCCAAUGGCAGCUUGUGCGGCUGGGGUCGCGGAUUGUGGCGUUGGGGCGCAAUGCUAGGCGAGCCACAUGGUUAAUGUCCUUUAGGCUCUUAGACCUUACUCGGGCCAGGCUAGCGACUGAAAGAAAUGAGGAGGUCGUGGGCCUCAUGGGUUGUUGGAAUGUUGGGCAUGCAGGCCUCCUGUCUGCUAGAAUGCUAGGUUGAGCUCCUCUGCUGAGUACCGUGAAUGGCGUUGGCUGCUUAGUUCUUUUUACAGAGAGAAAGGUGGGCUGCUCCCGAAAGAGGAAGUAAAGAGGAUCAAGGUGGAUGCAUUGGCUCGUCUAAUCGCUGUCGUGGAACCUCCUAUGAAUGAAGAUGGAAAUAAGAGAUCUUCCCUGCCUACUCAAGAGAUGCCGAUCGAGAAAAAUUGAAGACUUUCUCCACUGCUGCUCAUGAUGAUUUGUCUGCUGUCGAUAGGCCUGUGAUUGGCAUGACUUCUUCCAAUGGGAAGAAAAAUGAGGCUGCUAGAUCUGAUCAUGUGGUGCCUUCCAUGUUGAGAAUUGCUAGUACAAUUGUUGAUAAGAUUGCUUAGCGCAAAGGUUUUAUCAUGCCCCCAGUACCGAAGUCUGUACCAGGACUUUCGUUUGGAGCAAAGUCUGGUUCACCUUUGGAGAUACUUGCUAUUAUGAAAAGUGGUAAGGUGGACUCUGCUGCUAAAGUGGCGUCAAGGCCCACUCCCUUUGUUGCUGAGACUGAUUCGCCUGCUAGGAAGGAAGAUACUACUUGUAUGGGCAGCUGUGAGAAAUCCACUAAACUUGCUUCUGGGGAGGCUGCUGAGAUCAUUGUGCUUUUGAAACUAUAUCUGCUUGAAGACAUGGACGCUUGUGCCAAGUUUGUUGAUGGCGGUAGAAAGGUUGUUUACCUAAGUUCCUUUGCGAAACAUACGACCCAAUAUAAAAUGACUGCUCUGCUUACUAGGAUGCAUAAAUAGCAAGGUUGUCAAGGAGGUGGCGAAGAUUAUGGCAGCUAAAGCUUAUUCCUCAGUCGAGGAGAUCAAAAGGUUGAAUUAUGAGCUUGUUGCUUUGAAAGAAAUGGAAGAACUGCAACACGUUCGUGUUAGUCUGUUUGAGAAGAAUGAGCAGCUAAACGGUAAGAAUGAUGGGCUUGAGGUUUCUCUAUUUUUCCGGAAGACUUGCUUACUUUUACUUUUGAGGCUUCCAUUGGUGAAGUAGUUGGAGACGUUAGUGCCCAGGCUUAGGCAACCGGGGGUGAAGCACCGGAUGAUGCCGCUGCUAAGAACGUUACGGCUGCUGAAGGUGUGGAGACCAAGUAGUCGUGGGAUGUCCAAGCUGCUGUAGUGUAGUAUUUUAGGUAGCUUUUAUGAUUUUCUUUGUUUUUCCUUGUAGCUCUUGUUUUGCUUGAACUUCUUCGGCCUUUGCUAGUUGUAUAAACAUGUUUUCCUUCGCUUUUCUUCAUCUUCGCUUCUUUUGUUCAUGCCCUAACCUUUAGACUUGAUAGACCAAUGGCAGGCAUGCUACUUUUUUAUAAGCAGACAAGCUCGCGUAGCCUAUGCAGCCGUAAAUGUUGGUGUAGAACUUUGCAAAGUUGUUAGCCAUUAGGUUGGUAACCAGAUACCUUACUUACAGAAGUAGACAAGUCCGCAUAACCACUAGGCUAUUAACCUUGACUUUCUCCAAUUCUGUAGGUUGCGUAGCAAGUAUCACAACACUUUAGGAAUUGGUAUAGGUUGCUCCGCACUUGGCAGAGGUGAAGCCUAUCGACUACGUAGCAUGUCGGCAGUGGAUAAAACUUCCAUAUAUGCGCGCUAGCUUGUUUAACCUUUCACAAGAAUGUGCGGUUGUAUAAGUCUAGCACGGUUUUACUGCUUGAAGGGCAAGCCGUAGGCAGUCUUCCGGAAUCCGUAGGCUACCUUAAUGUACUCGGUAGCAGCUUUAGGGUUCCAGGGCAGCCGUCUAUAGAGCGUACUGCGUAAUGUGCCCCAUCCGUCUCUAGCUCCCGGUUCCCCACAGAUUAGACCAAGAGACCCAAAAUCCUUCAGUUAGUUAAGCCUUGAAAAAGACCAUUGUGGCUACUUCUAGGAAUCCCGGCUCAAGCCAUCGUACAUCUAGUUAUACUAGGGUAGCCAGGCUCAUCAGCGUCUGGAUAUUCGGAGUGUAAAGUUUAUCCUCCCGUCUUAGAGAGCUGACCCAUAUGAGUGUCGGGGAAUUGGUUUACCCUCUCACACUAGAGAGUAAUUAAUUUACCCUCUCGCACUGGAGAGCAAUUAGUUUACCCUCUCGCACUGGAGAGCAUGGUUGGUCCAUCGGGGGGCGCAAUUCCUGCGAUGAGUCCCUAAGAAGGGCGCAGUCUUCUUUUGAAGUGCAGGAAUGAUUAGUUGUUAUAAGCAUGUGAUCGAGUCAAGUUGUGAUUACUUCUAAAUUCCUCAUUGAAAAACGAGUGAAACGAACGAGAACUUAGCCGUAAGGUAGGAACUGCAUAACAACUGGAUAGUCCUCAACUUGUGUGGUGGUACCCAUCGAGCUUCUUGAGUCUUCGGGCUUUGAUGUAGUGGGAGGUUACACAUGGCACCUUUUCAGAUUGUAGGCGCUCUACUGCUUUUCGAACUUUUUUUUUGUUGUGUAAUUGCUCUUGCUGCCUACUCGGCUAAUCUUAUACAGACUUUCUCGGAUGAGAUUCAUCUUUUUGGAGCUUCUCUGCUGGCAGUGAUGAAGGCUUUUCUUAGGACUAGAUCUCUGGGCUGGAACUGCCAGAUUUUGGCCUUUUUGUUGUGGCUGGAAAAGAACCACUGCUGGUAAGUUGUAAUGCAGAUGAUAGUCUGCUCGCACUUCUCCUCUGCCAAAUUUAAGCUUGUGGCCAUCUCCUUUCGGUUGCUCGUCUUUUGGUGUUGCGAUGUGCCCAUAGACAUCCAGGGAGUUUGUCUGGCCAUUUUCUUUUCUUAUUGGUAGGGGAUUUCUUGUGGCAGUCGAGGAUCAUCUUAGUGGAUGUUUUGGCCAGCCUAUUGCCUUGAGGAUAUCUUGGCGUAGACAUGUGCUGCUUGAUGCCAUAUUUUUAGAAGAAUUUCGCCAAAUCUUUGCCCACGAAUUACGGGCCGUUGUUGGUGACGAUGGAUUAAGGUAUGCCAAAUCGGCAAAUGAUGCUCUUUCAUAUGAAGCGCUCUAUGUCCGUUUGAAUUGUGAUCGUCAUGGGCUCUGCUUCUACCUAUUUGGUGAAAUAGUUGGUUGCCACGAUCAUCAUGCAUUUGCCCUUAGUAGUCUGGCUGGUGAUUAGCUGGGAAUCAGAAUGAAUUGAAAGCUUUUUCACCACCAAGUCUUUUGUCACUCGAAGGCCUGCUAGUGGGGCUUUGUACUCUGCUUCGUUGUUAGGUGCUUUGACGCUUAGAGUGAUCGCUUACUCGAGCAUUGAACCGUCUGGGGUGGCAAGAACCACGGUUACUUAUAAGCCUUUGUAGUUGGAUGCGCCGUCGACAUGCAAAUGCCAGAAAUUUCCAUUGAGGGAGUAGGUAUGGCUAAAGUGUGCUCGGCUACCUUCGAAGCGUCGUUGGGCCGCUUUGUUACAUUGUCAAGGCUAGGUUUGAAGGCGCGGUAGAGAGUCGUGGAGCUGGGGCCAUGUUACAUGUAGCAGGAGAUGCUCAACUUCCGGUAUUAGGCCACUCUAGAGCUGAAUAAUGGAGCAAAGGUCGGCUAGGGUCGUAUGACGCGCAGCAGAAGGUAGUGCUCGACUGCUAGUACAUGUUGCUCUUACGUAGAAUCUUCUGAGGCGACGAGGACAAAACUUGCUUUUAAGUGUUCCUUCUAGUGUUCGUCUGCCCUUGGCGUGUCUUUUGGGCUGAGUUGUUGCGUUCGUCAGAAAACUUUGCAUCUGCCAGGGUUUACGUCUUUAUCAUCACGGGUUUGGAUUAGGCGGAAUAGUGCGUCAUGAUGAUGACUGCGUACAUUUGAAGGUAAAACUUAAGCUUUUGGGUUACAACAACUAUCACCAAAGUUAGCUUUUGAAUUUUUAAUAGCAUCGAGGAGAGCUUUUGAACUAUAAAAUACAUGUAGUUGGGCCCCCAACUCUUCUCGCAUGACGGUACAGCUUAUUUCUACUUUAGAUACCGUCAAACAUGCGAAUAAGUCCUCUGCUGCUUCUAGGGAGGUGAUGUUGGGUACUUCUUCAAGCCCUUGAAUGUGCAUUGGCGAGCCUCAUCCCAAAGUGCAUGCUUCUCUGCCAAAGAAAAAGAGUCUACCAGAGUUAGAUAUUCUUUCAUGAUCAAUUUUCUAAAUAGCGGUGGUCUGCUGGAAGGCCUUUUUGGAAGGCUGCUCUAGCUAUUGAGUCGCUGCAUCCGACUAUCAUUGCCUUCUCUGUUUUGAAUCUCUUCACAUAGUCACGAAGUGACUCCUUUGGGUUCUUUUUUACGUCAAACAAAUGGUCGGACUUCUUUUUGAUCGAGCAAUAAGAUGAAUAUUCUUUGGUGAAAACCAAAGAAAGUUCGUAGAAAUUCUAGAUAGAUUGUGGCGGCAGGGUGUAGAACCAAUCUUGUGCCUCGCCUUCAUAGUGGUGGCGAAUAUCUUGCACAUGAGAUCAUCGUUGUUUCGAUAAAGGAUCAUUGUGCUUCGGUAGCGCUUUAAGUGUCUCUUCGGGUCUUCAUCCCCUUUGAAAGAUAUGAAAUGUUGCAUACUGAACUCGCAUGGAGGCUCUGCCAGCUCGAUCUCAUCCGUGAAGGGUGACCUGCUUAUGUUGGUCAUGUUCCGUCGUAGUGCCUCGUCGGUGACCUUGUUGCGUUAGAAAUCAUGCAAUCGCUUGAUUAAAAGUCUCUCUACUUCUUCCUGAAUUUUCAUUUGUUAGGGUAGCAGAGCUCUCGGCUGCCCCUAGCCAUAACUUACUGGUCUAGGAUGCUCUUCCAUGUGUUUGGCUCGUAUACCGUGGAUGCAGUGUAUGUGGUGCGGUCCUAGUAGGUGAGCGAGUUCUUCGCAGGCUGCUAGUUGAACUUGAGCUGGAUUGAGUGACUACUUCUCUCCGUCCGUCGUGCUGCCUACUCCAAUGUGAGGUGAAAGAUGCUCCUUGCAGGCUUAGCCACGAAUGAACACUUUACCUGGAAGGUUGCUCAUGUUGACUAUCAGAGUAUGACCCUAACCGUGAAUGUAUAUUCACCCGUGGGCUUAGUCGAGAGUGCACGCUCCUCCGCGCGCUAAGACGAGAGUAUACGUUAUCUCGGGAGCCCAAUUGGGAGUGUACACUGCCCGAACGCUCGGCUCGUGGCUGGUCGAGUGGCUGCUUGCCGAAACGCUGCGGGAAAGGUUCGUCUGCCCUUGUCCUACUUCGGGAUACCUUGUUUGGGGCACGUUGGAUUCUGGUGCAUUGCAAAAGUUGAUUCACCAAGGUUGUCUGUUGUGCAAGGGUGCUCGUAAACGCUACGACUUGUCGAGACAAGUGUUGUUCGUCAUUUGGAUUGGAAUAGCUUGGAAGGAAUGUGCCUUCUUGGGCAGUGGAAGGGUGGUAGACUCCGGGCUCGAGAUUUGAGUUGGGAAAUGUCAAAUCUACGAAAAAAUGUGGUGAGAAUGCCCCCGGCUCGAUGGUAGGUCCGGAUGGUUGAGAUAGUCUUGGGCCGACUUGGGCUGCUUGGAAAGCCACGGGAGCAGGCUGGGCCACGAGAGUGAGCUGCUCGGCAGGAGUAGGCUGGGCUACGAGAGUGGGCUGCUCGGCAGGAGCAAACUGCUUGGAGUGUGAUGCACAUGGGUGCGAGGCUUGGGCUCGGCUUGGUAACACAUUGAGUUCGGGUUUGGCUUGGAGUGACAUGACUUGGGCCGUGGCCUUGGUGUCGUGAGCCUUGGAUGGCACGGCUCGGGCAGUGGUAGCUGUGCCAUGGACCUCGCCGCGGGUAGUGGUGACCGUGAUGGCCACCGCGGUGGUUGCCAUGGUGGAGCCCCGUAGUGAUGGUGCCGCUCCUAUGAUCACAUUUAGCCUCGUGGAUCGUCGUGGUCCCAUUUCUUGAAUAUUAGAAUUUUCACUUAUGGAAUUUUCUAAAUUUCUAGCCAUUAUAUUUUUCUUAUACGUUUUAUCAAAGAACCUUUGCAAAUAAAAAAUUCUAAUAAUAAGAACGUAUGAAAAAAUAUUCAAAUGGACUAGAAAAUAGAGAAAAACCUUUUUAUGCGAGAGUCUUCUACGAGUAUAGAUCUCAACUCUCAAUGAAAGCACCAAUUUGUGGAUGCAAAUUUCUUCCUCCUUGAUCCUAGACAAUUUUGCACCUACAAAACAAUUAACACCUUAGGUUAAGGCCAAGAGCCUCACACGCCCACGAUGAAUGGGGGGGCUUUGGCCGAAGAACCUCUGAUGCCAAAGUUAGAAUUUAGAGAGAUAGAGUGUUCAGAGAAUUUUGAGAUUUUUGCCAAAGUGUUGGAAUGGAUUUUUGGUGAGAAUGGGAUCACUUUUAUAGGGAUAGGAAGUGGCCGGCCUAGCUAGGGUUUUUGGGUUUAAUUUAGGUUUAAUUAGUCAAUUUAUUUGGCUAAUUAAACCCUAAAGAAUAAAUUGGUGGUUACAAAAUUGAUUAUUUGUAUAAAUGGGGUAAUAAAAUGGAGAAAGGUGAAAAAGGUUAGGAAAAGGGAGGUGGCCGGCUUCUUAGUGGUUUUAGGUGUGAGUGGGUGUUUUAAUUGAUAAUUAAGGGAUUCAUUAGGUAAUUAAUCAAUUUUUAGGGAAUAUGAAAGGAAAAUAUUAUUUAGCUAAUUGAUUAGCUAAAUAAUGGAAUACAAAAUAUAUAGAACAAAUUAGGUAUUAGGAAUUACCUUAUAGAAAGGAUUUGAUGAAAUAAGCUUUAAAUUGUUACCUAUUUUGGGCACUUUUGACUUGGUUGAGGAUGAUUGUCUGCCGCUCACGCGUAGGAAUCUCGAUAUGCCUCAAGGGUAUUUUUGUUCUCUUUUACCCAAAAAUCCACGUGUCGCCUUGUGAUUAUUUUGGCUCCACAACAACCACGUCAGCAUUUAACAGACCAAUGGAUGGAAAAUCUAACGGAGGUAUUAUUUUGAAAUAAAAUAACAAGUGAGGUAUGAAAGUGAAAUGUUUUAAAGAUGUUGUAUGGGGUUGUAAUAGACCUCAAACUUGAGGGUCCUAUGUAAUUUACCUAUUUUUAUGUUAAUUAUGAAUAGGUCAAUCAUGUAGAACCAAAUUAAAAGCUAACAUCAAUAACAACUACCAGAGACAAAAGCUCUAAUCAAUGCUUCGGAAACAUAGUCUUGUAUCUCUAGGUGUAAUGAUAUAAUUUGUUGGAAACUUAAAAGAAAAUUGGUGAUUUUGUAUAUAAUCGAUAAAAAGUUAUAAUAGUGACAAUAUAUCAGUAAUAUUUAUGUUAAUUAGGAAUAGGUCAAUCAUGUAUUUAAUACUUACAUGCAUUUAAAAUAAACACCUUAUCAAUGUUUUUUUAACUGUGCUCAGUUUUUCUCCUUCGCUUUGGUUUUGUUCUAUUGGAUUUUUCAACUAUCAUUAAUUGUGAACAUAACUGAUCAUUGAGACACAAACAUCCAAGGGAGAGUACCGUGGAACAAAAUGUGGAUAUCUUUAUACAUUGUAUGGUAGUAAACCAUCAUAAACACCAUAAUAAUGUAGAAACGCUCUUGGGGUACCUUUGGAUGAUAACUCAUGUAUUUGUUGCCCUACGUAAAGAUGGCUAAUGAUAAUGGAAGUCUAAUUUUCUCAUCCCAAUCUCUCCUGUCUCUCUUGUUCUCUUUUCUCUAUAGUUUAUUUCCAACAAGUUGUGUUAUUUUUUUUUUUUAGUAUUGUUAAGCAACCAAUAGAUUUUAAUUAGCAGUCUUUGUUUUUUUCUUUUAUAUUUUUAAUCAAUUUCAGUUGCUUAUCCGUUCUAGCAAAUUGAGCUCUUUUACAGCAAUUUUUUUCUUUAAAUGAAAUUAUUAUUAUUAAAAGAGUGAGAAAAUUCGAAAUUAUUACAACAAUUUAAAAAAAAGAAGUUUCGAAUCAUAAACACAGAGGGAGUUUACAACAUUUUAAUUAAGAAAUUAGGCUUCAGCUCAACUCAUCUUUGCAACGUCGGUUCCACUUCACAUCAACAUGCAAUGUUUCAGAAGGUCACGCGGUUUUGGGGUUGUUGUGUACCAAUAAUAUUAUAUAUAUAUAAAUUAGGAUUGAAGGAUACACGCAUUUUGUAGAGCUUAUUUUGUUAUGUAUUUUAAUGAUUUAAAUGCUUACGUUUUUCUUCACUACAAAUGAGUGAAUUAAUGAUUUUAGAAUUUGUCUAAUUUUUUACAUUGAUUAUUUAUGAAUAUUGAAUUGAAAUAUAGACGAUUCAAAAAUCGUUGAUAUACAUUACAAAAUGAACUCCACAAAAUAAGCGUCAAAAUAUGUAUAUAAAAUGGACAGCGUGAAAGGCUUGGAAAUUGGAAUAGGUUUGAAAAUUGUGCUUUUUGUAGCAAAUUGUAGCAAAGUUUGCUUGGACUUUCACAACCGUAUAAAUUAUGCCGCAGCACUCUCUAUUUUCUCUCUCGCUCUAUAUCGUGGUCCCUCUCUCUCGCCGUCCUCGAUUGCUCGAACUCACUAUCCUUUAUUGCUCGAACUCACCGUCCUCAAUUGCUCGAACCCACUGUCCUUUAUUGCUCGAACUCACUGUCUCCAACUUCCUCUGUUUGGUUCCCGAUGAAGAUGGUAAAACAGUAGGGGCAAGAAAUUAUGACAAUGUUAGAUUUGCAUAUUAAUCUGGUAGGGCUACAAUUCUCCAAUCCACACCCCUUCCAUCUAUGCUAGUGUUUGUACCCAAUAUUAGAUAUCCGGUCUGUGCAAUCGAGAUCGUUGAAUGAGAAAAAUUCUAAGCCGUGGGAUCAAAUAUAAUGAUGUGGAUUAAAUAAGAAAAAUUUAAAUGUUUAUCUUGGUUGAAUUACCAUGAUAAUAUUGUGGAAUUAUCUUCUGCAUAACGGGAUAGCGAGAAAAGUCCAAGGGUGUAGGGAAGUUGUGUGGCUGACUACCGCUUUUUUUUAUGGUGUCAUUAGUAGAGUAAUAUCACACUUAACAUUUAUUUGUACCAUCUCUCUAAUAAAGAUAAAGACCAUCAAUGCAUAAAUAAUGAUACAAAUAUAUAAUAAGAGUAUCAUAUUUGUAACUAGAAUAGGAGAAGAAAGACUUCAAGAUGGGGUCAGCCAAAUAAUUAGCGUCAGGAUAAAAAUAUGAGUAAUGAUAUUUGUAAACAUCGAAAUUUCGGUAAAUAAAUGUUGACCGAUAAAUCAAAGUUUCAACGCUCAUGUAUUACAUAAAUUUUACACGUAGCGUAUGUCUAAACAAAAAAUCGAAAUAAGUUGGAAAAGUCAUCAAACAGGACACAUGUCAACACCUGGCAGAAACGACUUAUUUCAUCUGGAAUAUUAUAUUCAAAAUUAGGCAUUGGAAAAUUCUAUAAAUAGAAGCCAAUUUCAUUCAUUUGAAGGAACCAAAAUCAUUAGGCAAAAUUCUUGAAGCUCUGAAGCUCUGAAACUCCGAAACUCUCAAGCAUCCAGGUUCCCGAAGAAUCAAGAAAGCUCUCUUCGUUCUUCGUUCUUCGUUCAUCGUUCAUCCUAAGAUCAAGCUCCAACGGCCCUUUAGAUCAACAAUCAUCCACUAAUUCAAGAUCAAGCCCCGACGGCCCUUGAAGAAAGUGUUCUUCAUUCUUCGUUCAUCGUUCUUCCAAGAUCAAGCCCCAACGGCCCUUUGGAUUAACAAUCAUCCACCAAUUCAAGAUCAAGCCCCAACGGCCCUUGAAGAAAGUGUUCUUCGUUCUUCGUUCAUCGUUCUUCCAAGAUCAAGCCCCAACGGCCCUUUGGAUUAACAAUCAUCCACCAAUUCAAGAUCAAGCCCCAACGGCCCUUGAAGAAAGUGUUCUUCGUUCUUCGUUCAUCGUUCUUCCAAGAUCAAGCCCCGACGGCCCUUGGAUCAACAAUCCACCAAUUCAAGAUCAAGCCCCAAAGACCCUUGAAGAACUUCUACCAAUUCAAGAUCAAGCCCUGACGGCCCUUGAAGAAAGUGUUCAUUGUUCAUCAUCCGUUCAUCCCGAAGAAUCAAGAAAGCCUUAUUCGUUCUUCGUUCAUCGUUCUUCCAAGAUCAAGCCCCGACGGCCCUUGGGUCAACAUCAUCAACAAAUCCACACAUCCAACCGUUCUUCAAGAUCAAGCCCAAAAGCCCUUGAAGAUCCGUUCAUCACCGUUAUUCAAGAUCAAGCCUUAACGGCCCUUGAAGAAACACUCAUCCUCAAGAUCAAGCCCCAACGGCUCCUUGAAGAUCCGCUCAAAUCCACCUUCAAAGAUCAAGCCCACGGCCCCUUGAAGAAACAUCCAACAGUUCAUCCAAGAUCAAGCCUCGACGGCCCUUGGAUCAACGAAACAUCUACAAAUCAACACCUUACGGAGAUCGAAUCAGAUGAUCAAAUUAGAGAGAGAUUGUAACCCUAAAUCAUCAAAAUACAAAUAUUAUUUUGUGCACGUUGUUCUUAUCUCUUUCGUUUCAGGAAAUUUUCGUGUUCACAAUAUUCUUACCAUCUAAAUAUACUAUAAUUUUAUACCAUCUUAUGUGGCAAUUGAGAUGGACUUCCACAUAAGUUUUAAAAAAAUCUCAUGUCAGCUAAGGUGGAUAUUUACGAUUUUACGAUUUUACUCAAUGAUUUUUAUUAAUAAAAUAAUUAAAAAAUAAUAAUGAAACCUACUUGCUCCCGUUUUCAAGCCUCAUCGCUGGGCCUCCUCCCUCUUCGCUCUCCAAUUUCACCUUCCUUCACCAACGAUCGAUGGUGCUCGACCCCCUUCAUCAUUGCCAACUGGCCGAAUAUCUUGAUGGUGCUCCCAGUGAUUGUUUUGCUCUGCCACCAAAUCAAGUUUGCAAUUUUAAUGGUUUAUGCCUUCUGGCCAAGUGUUGGAUUUGAUAGGUUUUUAAUUCCAGCAACAUUGAACAAAAAUAUGAAAAGGAUUGGAUACGAUAUUUUCCUCUGUUCUACUGCUGAGGAUUUUCCGAAUAGAAGAAGAUUUGGAAGACAACCUCUUUUCUUUUUUCUUCAUGGACUUUUGGUUAGCACCAAAAUCUUUUCCUAAUCCUCUAUAGGAAUGAAAAUUUCAUUCCAUGUUAUAUCCCGAUGUUGUCCAAGGUUUUGGCUUGAAUUUUCAUUGGAAUUAUCAUAUGUUGGAUCAGAUCAGGUGGAGAGAUGAAACGUAUCUAACAAGGAAGUUGAACGGGUAGGGUUUGAGCAAAAAUAAACAGAAAUUCCACCUAGGUUGACACCUAAGCUUCCACAUCAUGUGGUAUACUAAAUGUGGUAUAAUAAGAUGGUAAGAAUAGCAUUAUUGAAUGGGUAAUGUUAAGAGAAAUUUUUAGUUGUGACGGGAACACGGAUGGUACACCAUGCGUUUUUAUGUAAAUGGUGGAAAAUUUUAAUUUUUAAAUUAUUAACCUUUUAGCACACAUAUCCCACCAUUUAUAUGAAAACACGUGAUGUAUCACCUCGUGUGAUAGUCACAUUGAAAAAUCUCUCGUAAUGUUAGGAAAACUAAAUUUAUAAACAAAAGUUACAAAUUAAAUGAUGGGUUACCAAUAAGAAUGAUUACGUUUAUCAAUGCUUAAAUAAUAAAUCAUUCAUCAACUUCCAGUCCUUUAGUUUUUAAAAUUUUGUCUAACAUUACCCUUUCAAAACUCAUGAAAAUAAUUUUCAAUUUUUUUAACUGAAAAGUGAAAGUUACUAAACAAGAUUUCAGUUUUUAGCUUUCAAAAAAAUAAAAACAAAAGCUAAAAAUAAAAUGGUUAUCAAACAUCCCUAGAAGUCAUUCUUAGUGAUAGUAAGGUCAUCUCCAACCGAAAGAUCCAGGGGGCUAGAGGGCCGAAAAUAGUCUGAAAACCAUUUCCAAUCAAAGGCCAUGCCAAAGGGGUCGUGGACCCCAUUAGACAAAAAAGGGCCAAAGGGCCAACUGGCUGGCCCCAGUUCCAACAAUAACUAGAUGACGUCAGUUAACCGUUAUUUUUGAAUUUUUUUUUUAACAAAUUUUAACUUUCUAAGCCAUUAAACAACAUUAAAUUAAGUAAAAAAGAAAAUUCCUAUAACUUCCUAAGUCAUUAAACAAUAUUAAAUUAAGUAACAUGAAACAACAUUAAACAAUAUUAAACAAAAUUAAACAAUAUUAAACAACAUUAAAUAACAUUUAACAACAUAAAAAUUAUACAACAUAAAAAAAAACAUUUAAGAACAUAAAAUUUAAAUGCCUACUUCAUGCUUCUUUUGGCCCAAAGAUGUGCAACAAGAUCCUAAUGUAGGUACUUGUUUGUGGCACGAGAGCGUAUCAUCCUAACCGUUAGAUUUGAUUUUUUUUUGUUUUCGGCCAAAUUUUUUUAAAUUUAAAAAUAAAUUAUGUUUGACCUUUUGGCCCUCGAUUGGAGAUAGUUUUUUUUGUGACAUGACUAUGUUUAGCCCUAUGACCCUUUGGCCCUCAGUUAGAGAUGGUAAGAAAUAUGACCCAACAAUGUUCAUUAAAAUAUUAAUUUCUUGAAGAGCCAGAGGGCUAAAACGAGCCAUCCUUCGGUUGGAGAUGGCCUAAGAAGAGACUAGAGAUAGAGAGAUUCCUAUACUUAGCUGUGAGAGUUUCCUAUAUAUGAUUUUCAUUAACAAGAUUGAACUGAUUACAUAGAGAAGAAGAUCAAGUAUGGUUAUUUUUAUUUGGGAGACUUUGGAUGUGGUCCUUAGUUAUGAAUAUUAUUUGAUUGAAAUCUUGUUGGUUUUUAAUUUUUUAUCAAGAUCCCUGAAAUUAAUGUGAUAAUUUAUUUCUAUGUAAGUUACUAUAUUUUUUUAAUUAGAAAUUAGAAAUUUUAGUUGUUUAUAUAAAUGAGAUUUUAAAUUAAAAAAACCAUAAUUUGUGGGAUUAAAAAUAUUAAAAUAUAAAUAUACUAUUGUGUGUGUGUGUGUGUGUGUGUGUGUAUAAAUAUGGGUACAUUCAUCAAAAUUAACCAAAAAAUUUAUUGUAUCAAAACAUGGGUACAUUCUUCAAAAUCACAAAAAAAGAAAGAUAUUAGGCUUAAUAACAUUAGUAAAUUUCUUCGAUUAAACUUGACAUGGAUACAUUUUAAAAUCAAAGAAAAAAAAUGUACCCAUAUAAGUUUAAAAAUGGAUUAGAAAAAAAAAUUGAAUAGAUUUUAUACAAAAAAAGGGUACGUUUUACAUAUAACAAAUUGGUAUAUUUAAGAAUGAGUACAUUUUAAGAUUAAAAAGUUUUACAUGAAUGGGUUCAUAUAAUUAGCAUGGGUACAUUUAGCAAAAUAAAAAGUACAAAUACAAAAAAAUAUAUGUGUACAAAUACAAAUAAACUUUAAAAAAUAUGGGCACAAAAAGAAAUUAAUAUAUGGGUACAAAUUAAAACCGAAAAGAAAAUUGGUACAAGUUAAAAAAGAAUUACAAAUUAAAAAUGGGUACAAACUAAAACUAAAAAUAUAUGAUAAAAAAUUUAGUCAUAAAUAUAAAUAUACUAAUUGUAACAUUUUUAACAUUAAAUGAAUAUAUUUAGACAUAAAAAAUAUAUUUUAUUAUUGAAAUAAUUAAUGAUGUUAUUAAUACCCAAGGACCUUGAUAAAAAAUUGAAAAGAAAUAGAAUUUUAAUCAAUGGAGUAGCAAAAGAAAAGAUGAGAACCUAAUUUCUCCUUUGUAUUGUGUAGACAUUAUAACUAUACAUUCAUAAUAACAUGAGUAAUGUUAUAUUUAUCACAUUUGUACUCUUUCUCCAAUAAAGAUAGGGUCCAUCAACACAUGUGGGUUCUAUUUGCCCAUCAACACAUGCGAAUCUCAUUUUUAUUAGAAAAAUAGUACAAAUAUGAUAUGGAAAUUAUGAUAAGAUCGCAAUUUUGUAAUAACAUAUAUACUCAACUAUUUAUAUACCAACUCAUCUCCCUUUAGUGUAGUUAAUAUUGUUUGUUCAACCAAAAAAAAAAAAACUGAACUUGUCAUAAUCAUUGAAUCCAUUUACCAUGAACAAACGGCAGUUUACUAAACUUGCCCUCAGAGUAUAUAUAAAAGGUGAAUCACAAUCUAUUGCAUUAAUAUAAGGAAACAAUUUAUAGGGUUUGACGGGUGACUUAAUAUGCUAUAUGGCACAAUGAAAAUUAAGUUCACACUUUAUCCCAAAUAAGGUGUUGCACCUUUAAUUUAUGGAUGCUGGUUUGACGUGUGACCGAAAUAAUCAAAUUGUAGCCAUUAAUCAUUUUACAAGUAAUAAUAUGUGGUUUUAUUGUUUACGAUUCACACAACAAUCUGCUAGGAAGUAGAAAAUGCAGUACUUGUCCCUCUCACAGAAGUCAUGAAUAAUUAUCAAAUUCAAAGAUAAAGAAAAACCACACAAUUUACAAGAGGAAAGAAAAUGAAGGGAUAAAGAAAGUAAGAAAGGAAUACCUCUAUGGGAGGACUCUUAUUUGCUUCAGAUGCCUACAAUAUUCAUCAUAUAAACACUGAUUAAGUAGUCAUCGAAAACCAAAACAAAUGUCGAACAUAGGGUGAAAAACAGAAAGAAUAACCGCAGCUCAUCAUACCAAUAGAGAUAGAACUGCCCGAUGCCCAAGUAUGACUGAAAAAUGGCAAUCCAAACAUGGCGCCUUCUAGCUCAUCAAACUGUCAAAACCUAGGUUCCACCAAAAAGAUACAAGUCACCUAGUUACUUGUAAAAUAAAAAUCUGUUUCAAAAUAGUGGAAAAUAUUAUUAACAUUGUUCAAAGUCCACAUUGUUGUACCUACCAAGAAACAAGAAGGAUUGUAUCUUAUCAUGAAAAAGAACAUAGGUACCUUUUCAAUUGUAAUUGUACAAAAAUGAGAGACCACUUCCGAACUUCUCUUGGAACUUCAAUCAAUUUCUGCCCACUUUUAAAUGCCUUGACAUACUUAAGCCUAUUUCUUUGAGCUUCAGUUUUGGCUUCUGAUGCCUUUAAAUUUCUUAAAGAUUCUUACCAAGUUUUACAAACUCACUUCUAUACAACCAUUUGUCAGUAUACAUACCAUUUUCUUUGAGCUUCAGUCUUUGCAACACCAAAACCCCCCAAAUAGACCCGGAAUUUUGCAAUGUGCAGGGAAUAUACAAAAAAAACCCUCCUAUCCAUCUAAAACGAAAUCAGAACGCAAACCACAAUCAAAAUCCGUAAAAUUAAUUUAGCCAACCCCUAAAUCUAAUAAUUCUAACAAAUAUUAUAGUAUCAAUUGAGAGAGAAUUUGAGAAGAUACCUAGAGAUGAAAGGAAGAGCGUUUCCUCUGAUAGGGGUUCCGUGAAAGCAUCUGUUGACCAGAAAAGAAAAGGCAAAAAACCCCAAAUUACAUAUCAAGCAAUUAUAGAUAGAUCGAACCUUGAAAAUUGAAAUUUCAAACAAGAGAAAGGUUAUAAACUUACAACGAUCUGGGUGUUGGUAACUGGGUUUGGAUUUGGGUUUCUGAUAAGAGAGAGAAUCGUAUGAGGAACCGAUAGAGGAACUGCACCGGCAACAGAGAGCAAUUGAUAUGGUGGAGAACAGACGAGAAUAGCUGCUUGGAUGGUCAAUCCAAGAAGAGAAAAUCUUGCCACAAUCGCGGUACUUGAAAAAAAAAAAAACAAGUUUAAAGGAGGGAAACAAUCGCGCCUUUUUCUAAUAGACUCUGUCGACGAUAUUCUUGACAAAUAGAUGCUUCGUCGGGUGAGCUUAUUUUUCACAACAUUUUAUUUAGGAUUGGGUUCGGUUGGUAAACCGUGUCAAAUUUCUUGUGCCACUUGCCAGCCACAUAUACAUAAUUACCGAAAAUCAGUUACCGUUAGCCAACCGUCUUCUUGCGGUUGCCAAAAAUCGGUUCAGCCAAAAUGAUUGGCUGGUUCGGUUGGUAAAUGGCACAACCGGUGGUUUCCACUUCUUCCUCGCUAUCUUCCAGUUCCAAGGGCUCAAUUUGAUUUUCAGAUUGGGAUGCUUGUUCGGUUGCAUUGUGUGGUUCAUUUUGGGUUAAUCCAUGUUGUGCACUAGUAGUUGAUUGGCUAGACUCCAUUAUCCUAAACAUAAGCAACAAAUAUACAUUCAAAAUAAUAUAUAUGUACGUGUAUAUAUAGUAUCAGUAAUCAUCAUGCUAUCAAUUUUGUUAACAAUAUUUUCUAUAUAUUGAUUUUGGCAUGAAUCAUAUACACAUACAUAUAUUUUUAAAACCCUAAAACUAAGGAGUCAUUUAUUUUCUAAACUCUAAAAUUGAGGAGUCAAGCAUGUAAAAAAAUACUUAAAAUAUCUAAAUAGAAAAAGAAAAAGAAAAAAAAAUAAAUAUAUAUAUAUAUCGGUAGGUAUGGCAUACCGCCGGCAUACAAAAUCAAUUACCAAAGCCAUGCCAUUAAUUGUCGGUUCGGUAAAAUGCCAACCGAUUAUGAAAAAAUGUCAAAACUAUACCAUACCAUUUUGAGCCAACCAGUAUGGUUUGGUCAGUAAAUCGGUUUAUGGCAAAAUUUCUCACCCCUAAUUUUAUUUGUCACCUUAAACCUAUUGGUUUCUAGCCUACAAUUCGGAUAUUUUGUUGGGGAAAGAUUUUUGUACCAAUAAAAUUUUGCUUUGUCGGCAAAAUGACAUUUUCUAGUAGUUAUAAUAUUAGGUAGAUCAAAUUUGUAAACUAUGUGAUGUGUCACUAAUAGGAAAAAAUUUCAGUGUGCUGAAAAUACGGUCUAGAACACCAAGUGUCAUAAUAUAUACUUGGUUGGAAAUCUUUUAUUUUCAAGUUUCCAACUAGUUGUAUUGUAACAGUUGGUGUUCCAAGCUAUUUUCUCCAUGCGCUGGAAAAUCUCUUCACUAAUUAAAAAUAAACAUAUUAAUUAACACUUAAGUAAUAAUCAAAGCAUCAACAACUACGUCAUAGAAUUUACGAAAUAUGAUCUUAAUUAAUGAUCUCCAUUACCCUUUAUCUUAGCGUAUACGUACGCCUUCACAUGUUUAUUUGCUGAUAUGCAGCUUGAGUAAAAAUUUCUUUUUAAGAACAUAUAUGUGAAUAUAAACAUAUAUAUCUAGUGAUCCAUGUUGCGUUAUUUAAAAAUAAACAAAUUAAUUAAUUAAUGAACUGUGUACCUGUCUGUGUAGAGUAAUCCAUAUGCAUGCUUGAAUCCUGAUCACCACGAAACCAUAAUAUAAGCUACUCAAGGCCCGGAAGCUAGGAUUGAAGAGAAAAACACCCAGUCAGAUUAAGCCAAUACAUCAAAGUUAAUACUUCCAAAUGUAAGCUUUAAGAUAGAAAAAUCACUUACUUCCUUGAGCAGUCGAGCUUCUUCAAUGGCAUGAAGCUUUUAGCAUGAGAUUGACUGCAUCACAACUAAAAUUUUCUCUUGGAAACUACAUAAGGAAUAGCAUGUAUACCUAUAACGUUGAGAAAGUACGCCAAUUUUUUCCUUCUGCACAUUCAUGUUUAAAAGUAAUCCUCAAAUGAACUUGCCCACAAUGAAAUGCAAUUUGAGGUAGUCGAGUGUGUUCCAUUUCCAUCCCAUCGGAAUUACUACUAAACUUUGAGAUGGUAGAGGAUUCAUGAAAUUUUUUACUUUUGAAAUAGUCUCCUUAGCAUUUCUCGACUAUAACAAUGAGGAAAUACUUCACCUUGUAUCAAACAAGGGAGACCGAAAAUCAACUACUAAUAGCAUCACAGAGCCAGCAGAAGAUUGAGGAGGCCAUGAAAAGGAAAGAGAAAAUACACUCUUUUUUUGUAAGGACAGAGAUAAUACAUUCAAUAAAGGGUACUGAUGUUUAUAUGCAAAGCUGAUUAGGUUUAAAUAGUCGUAUUUAUUCUGUACAGUGCCAAUAUUACCACCCGUUAGUACACUUUCAAGACACUGUAAUCCAGUGUAUGCACUAUGCAGUACGUAGUACUCCUCAUUUUUUUGGGGAAAUUCAUUAUUGGUCUUCAUAUCUUCUUUAUUUUCCUUGUCCUCAUUGUGCCACGUGUUUAAAUCACUAAUUAUAGGUAAUCUUUCAAUUUAAUUAAAUCUUAUGUAAAAAAAGAUAAUUAAAUAUCAUUUAGUAUUACAAUAUAGUGAUAUUCCUCUUUAGUAUAAAAUUUUUAUAAUUAAAAGCGUUCAGCUUUUUAAUCUUCAUUGGAAUAUUAUCUAUAAAGAAAAAUUAUUCGAAUCAGAGAUCAUUUAUGCAUUCAAAUGUAUAAAAUACAUCGACAGUGUGAGAACCAACUAAUAUAUUUUUGAUGAAGUACAAUUAUUGAAUACAUUUGAACGAUCAAAUGAUAUAUGAUUCAAAAUACAUAUUAAGAUAAUAAAUAUAAAAGAAUUGUUAUUUGCACUUCAAGAAUCUCAUUCUACACUCUAAAUUUUCUAUAUAUUAAAAGAAAAAUAAAUUUGUGAAAAGUGUAGAAUGAGGUUUUUUUAAAUGCUAAUAACACUUCUCUAAAUACAAUUAUGAAAUUAAUUAAGUAAAGAUACAUGACCUCGUGAAUGAUGAAUGUAUUAUUCAAAAAAAUAUUAAAAACAAAUUGAAAAAGGACGCUGUUGUUGCCACCACUUAUGCAAUGAUCGUCGCUGCCAUCACCAACCCCCAACACCCCAUUACAGCUCAUAAAAGCACAUCAUAAGCAAUUUAUGAAAUAAAUUUACUGGAAUACUAAUUUCCCCCUUAGUUUAGGUCACCAAUGUUUAAAUUUAGGGAUCGUGAUAUCCACACACAUUUUUUACUUCUUUCACACUUUUUUUUUCGGUUGUCGGAUCAGAUGAAUUGAAGAAAAUCAAUGAACAGAAAUUAACAAGGGGUGUGUGAGAAGUAAAAAUGAAUGUGUGGAUAACACACCCCUAAAUUUAUCACAACUUUCAUUCCAAAUUUAAUUUUUAUCCGUAGUUUUGUUUGUUCAAAUUUACUUUGACAUUUCCAUUAGUAUUAAAAUCUAAUUUAAAUUUUAGUGUUCAAGCUAGAAAAAGUGUUCCAUUUAAUAUUUAAUCUCAGUUUUUCUCUUUAUUCUUUUAUUGGGAUUUGGUUGCAUCGUAUCUCCAUUUUUCUCGGUGUUGUAUGUUCAUAAGGCCUGUGAAACGUUGGCACGGAGUGAAGGGUACUCACUUUUUGGCCCAAAAUGCAUAAGGCAUGUAGAUAUGUUAAUCAAAUUUUGUAAACUAAAGGAUAUAGAAGUUGAUAAUUAGAUUAUAAUUUAAGAUAAUACUAAGGAGACUAAAUUUGCAAACUAAAUGAUGUGUCACCAAUAAAAAUAAGCACGUUUAUCAACAAUUAAGUAAUAAAUCAAUCAUCAACUUUCAUGUCCUUUAGUUUCCAAGAUUUAAUAUACAAAUUUAGUCUCCCAAGCAUUACUCUAUUACUUAAGUAUUGAUUAACAGACUUAUUUCUUAUGGUGACACAUUAUUUAGUUUACAAUUUUAGUCUACCCAACAUUACUCUUUUGAAAUUGUCUUGUCCACUGAUAUAAUUCUAUUUUUCUUGUGAUCAAAACUUCAAAUGUUAGCAAGUCGCACGUAAAGUCGCUUAUGAGAGAAUGUGCUCACAUUGUAGUUGAAAGAUUAUGUGGCUAGCAACAUUACAAAUUUAAUUUGGUAUAAUUCUAAAAUAUAGAUUGAGGAAAAAAUGAUCACAUUAACUAGAAACUGAAAAGGUUUCAGCACAGUUUGUUCAAGCAAGAAAUUCAAUUUUGAUGCUACCGAUCUUAACAGCCUGAGCGCCGUACCUGGGCACCAAAGUCACCACCACACUCUCAUCAUCUUCAGCACCCAAAUCCUCCAACAGGUCCGUUAACCCCAACCUUAAACAACUCUUGCUCUUUUCCUUCUGCUUAUGUGGCACACUCACAAAACUCCCAGCAAACUCGCUCUUGUCGGGUCCACUCGGUGCCGCAUCCUCAUCGUCCACGUCAUUCACAUACACACAUCAAACUUCACAGCCACAUCUUUGUCAAGCUCAAUCCCCUGAAUCACCAAUAUCUCCUCCUCAUCCUCUUUCUCCUUCUUGCUCCUCUUCUUCGGCUUCGGCCUUGACACCACCGUACUUAUCUUCGUCUCCAAAUUUAUUGGAAAAUCUUUACCCGCCACCACCUUCCCUGAUGACGUCGUCUCAGUGGCCUUCGCCACUCCAGCCGCCUUUGCCUUUCUCGCAAGCUUUGUCCGACGUGGCGUCGGUCUAGACUUGAGCCAUGGAAUCUCAACAUCUUCAUACGUAUACCCUAGCUUUUUAUUAUCAAGAGUGUCCCUCACCGUGACCCUAACAAGCUCAGCAUUCUCGUCAUAAAACAAAAACCCCGUAUCCAACCAAUCCUUAUCGUUAAUAUCGUUAUUUUUAGUCCCUAUACUUUUCCAAAUAUUCCACAUUCGAUCUAUAUUCGAAUGGUGCGAAAAAAAUAUUGGAUCCCUUGCAGCGGAGUAAAAAUUCCCCAUGUCUUCAAAAUUAGGCUGCGUGUUAUCUCCGGUCCAUAAAUGAACCGGACCAUGUGGGGUCGUUUCGAUUGAACCGCCCCCUGGAUCUGGUUCAGUGUCAGCCCUGUAGGGCGAACCAAAGAACAACAGCGGUUUCUUGGAGUUGGAAACCAUCUGCCUAUACAUGAUUUUGAGGUUGGCGUCGAUUUGAGCAUCCUUGGACAUUGUUUCAUCCGUGCCGUUGAAGUCAAGAUCGAUGAGAGUCGGCGGCUGAUGGCUGGCAGCGCGGAGCUCGUCGUAAAGCGGAGAGUCCGGGUUAGCGAACAAGGCAGGGAGUUGCAUGCCAGCUGGCGCGUCCCAGUUCCAAAACGGCAACGCGAACGUCGGAUCGUCUAUGAGUUUGGCCAAGAUUCUUUCGUAGAAGUAUACGUAGUAACGAUGGAAGGGGAAGAAAAGCCAGCAUUGAUGGAUUUGGAGCUCGAGGUUGGGGAAGCCGACUUGGUCGUACGCGCCGUCGCAAUAGGCACAGUGGAGAUCGGCUUGCUGGGUGAAGCUACGCGGAUCGUCGUCCGGGAGGGCUUUCAUGAGCUCGAUGGCUUUUGAAUAUUUUUCGAUGUAGGCUUUAUCCACGGUGUGAGCUGCCGGCCUGACGCGGAGUUUGGUAGGGGAGGGGAAUUUGAAGUCUACGAUUUUUUGGGACGUUGGCGGGCAACAGUUGAUCGGGACUGCUCCACUUGGAAAGUCCGCAGCUCCGCAUUUGGCUAGGUCAGGCGGCAACACUGGCUUUGCAACAGCGAAGGGGUCGCUGCCAAGACCAGCCACUCCGGCUUUGCAACAGCGAAGGGGUCGCUGCCAAGACCAGCCACUCCACCGUAGAGGCUUCCGAGACCUAUAAGAAGAUAGAAUUCAGUUCUUGGCAGUAGAGGACUCUAUUGCAGGGAAAAACUGAUUUGAAUUAGGAAGGCUUAAGUAGUUUUCCAUAAGGAUUUUAAUAGGGAAUCCAUAUUCUAAUAUGAGAAGGAUAUGUGUGUACAUAUAUAUAUAUAUAUAUGGCAAUCUCUUCUCUCACAGGUGUGUGCUCUUUUGGAACUAAGCCCUAUUCUUAGUUUGAGUGAUAAAUACCCUGACAGAGAGAAGAAGAAUUGAUGUGCUUUUCAGGUUGAUCGAGAUCCACCAUGACUGCAUCAAACGGGAGUUCUACAGGUUAGUAUAAUUAGGUUUUAUUUGGAUUGAUGUUUUGUGUCUACUUGGUUGUAGUUUAAGUAACUGAAUCUUGCAGCUAGAUUUUGGUUUACAUGUGGUAUCAGAGCCAUAGAUUCAUGUUCUUAAAUUCAAUCGAUAAAAUUGAUUGAAUCCAAAAUAAAAUUCCGAUCUUCAGACUUCGAAACAGGUUCUGGUAGUUAAAAUUAGGAAAAGAAGAAACGGUGCGUUUUGAUUAAAAUAUGAUGAUUAAUACUUGACCGUUAAGAGCUAAUAAACUAUCUUCUCUUCCGAAUUGGGAAUACAAAUCGACAUCUAUCGAUUUCGAUUUCGGGGUUUGAAAAACUGGGUUAUAUGACAUCUAUCGAUUUCGAUUUCGAGGUUUGAAAAACUGGGUUAUAUGAAUUGUUAUUGAGUAUCCACAAUUUAUAUUAAUUGCUUCCGCUGCUGGGUGUUGAUGCUCAUAGAACAAACGGGUAUGUCUCCUGAACAUUGAAUUGAAAUUUGUUUUUUAAUCAAUCUUAUCUUGAAUUUCAUUAUGUUCUACAGCAUGAUUCGAAUAGUGAGCAUAAAAAUAUGCUUAUUUAUGCUGAUUAGUCCUAUGUUUAUGCGUUUUUCUCUAACCAUCUAUGGAAGGGAGUUCUUCGAUAAGAACCUCUGCAGAUUUCACUUGUUUUAUGCAGAAAGUUUUAUGAAGAACUGUUCAUUUGAUAAAGAUCUGCUAAAACUGUGUUCUUAAAUGGAAAAAUCUUUUAUUCUAUAUGUGCUUAUCAAUUCUUCAUUGUUAAGAUUAUAUAUAUGGAUAAAAGGUUUUGAUGAUAUGAUGUACAAAGGAUUGUGAGAUGAAAUCUGGAACUCUAAACGUUCUUCUGUGAUUCAUUGUGAUUUCAUUGUGCUACAGUGUCUGCAAUAUCAAUGAAGACUCUGAAUUUGGCUAACAUCCCAAUUCUUACUGGUGGGGGAAAUUACAAGAAGUGGAGAAGGGAAAUCAGUUUGCUGUUGACUCUAAACGAGUUUGAUAUAGCAAUCGAGAAUCCCAAACCCGUGGUCAAUGAUCAGAGCAGCACAAGGGCUGAAAAGGCAGAUUUUGAGAGAUGGACAAGGGCUAAUAAGGUAGCAUUGUCCAUCCUUGAGAGUGGCAUGACUGAUACAAUCAGAUGAGGAAUUAAGAAGCACGAUUUGGCUGCUGAUUACCUAAAAGCUAUUGAAAAGAAAUUUCAAGAAUCUGAAAAAGCUGAAGUGAGUCAGUAUAUGUCUUUAUUAACUACUUACAAGAUGGAGGGUACAAGCUCUAUAAGGGAUCACAUAAUGAAGAUGACAUAUGCUGCAGAAAGACUCAAUGCAAUGGAUAUAAACAUAGGUGAAAAGCAGUUAGUAUUCAUGAUUCUUCAAGCACUUCCCAGUAAAUAUAGUCAGUUGAAGAUCUCCUACAAUACUCAAGACAAAAACUGGGAUAUUGAUCAGUUGAUUGCACAGUGUGUGCAAGAAGAAACUCGUCAAAAACAAGAAAGAGGCAAAGAAGUUGAGGACAUCAACUUUGUGCAAACUAUAAAUGACAAAAAGCAGUUCAACAACAGAAGCUUUUCUGGUUCUGGUAAGAGUUCUAAGCCUUUUAAAACUUCUAAUAAGUUCAGUAAUUCUGCUAAAGUAGUUGACUCCCCUAGAAAAUCUAUCAAGUUUAAAGCUAAACCUAAAGAUGUGUCUAAAUUAAAAAUGUUUUUGGUGCAAAACUAAGGGCCAUUUAAAAGUUAACUGUGAAAUUUUCAAAGAUUAUGUAAAGAGCAAAGAAAAGGAACAAGUACUUGUCUGUAUUGAAUCAAAUUUGUGAAGUAUACCUGUUGAUUCUUGGUGGUUUUGAUAUACCGGAUGCUCAGUGCAUAUAACUAAUUCUUUAAAUGGUUUUCAAAAACAAAAGGAAUUUGGAAAUGCUACAUAUAAUGUUUUUGUUGGGGAAGGAACUAAAGUUGCAGUAGAGUCAAUUGGGAUAGUCAAAUUAGUCUUAUGUUCUGGUUAUGUUUUAGAGUUGAAAGAUGUGUGCUAUAUGUGCCUAAGAUGAGAAGAAACUUAAUUUCUGCCCUCUAAAAUUGUAAAAGAUGGUUUUUCUUUUCUUGGUGAUGAUGAGUGCCUCAAAAAUUUUCAAGAAAAACUGUCCUUGUCCUAACACUAUUUUAGGGACUGCUUUUUUGUCUGAUAAUUUAUGGAAUCUAAAUUGCACUGUUAAGGCACUCAAUCACACGAUUUUCAGCAUUAGUACUAAGAGAAUGAUAGGUCAGGAUACUUCAUACAUUUUAUGGCACAAAAGACUAGGACACAUCUCUAAAGAAAGGAUAAUUAAGCUGUAAAAAACUGACUUGAUUCCAAAAUUAGAUCUUUCUACUGCAACUGAAUGUGUUGACUGCCUAAAGGGUAAAAUGACCAAUUUUAGAAAAACAGAUGCCAAAAUGAGCCAGGGGUUACUUGAAAUCAUACACACUGAUAUCUGUGGUCCUUUUCCAGUUAAGACAAUAUGUGGAAACAAGUAUUUCAUUAAUUUCAUAGAUGAUUUUUCAAGGCUGGGAUAUACCUUUCUGAUUAAUGAAAAAGCUGAUGCCCUUAAGUGUUUUAUAAUUUACAAAACUGAGGUUGAAAAACAGUUAGGCAAGGUUAUUAAAAUUGUUAGAUCGGAUAGGGGAGGUGAAUACUUUGGCAGGUACACUGAAUCCGGGCAGCAAAAGGGACCAUUUGCUCUCUAUCUCGAGAAGAAUGGUAUUGUGGCGCAGUACACCACACCUGGAACGCCUCAACAGAAUGGUGUUUUUGAAAGAAGAAACAGGACUCUUAUUGGUAUGGUUAGAAGCAUGAUGUCCAGAUCAAAAUUGCCAGGAUUCUUGUGGGGAGAAGCUUUGAAAACAGCUAAUCAUAUAUUGAAUCGAGUUCCAAGCAAGGCAGUAUCUACCACACCCUAUGAGUUAUGGCAUGGGAGAGUUCCUAGUUUUACUUAUUUCCAUGUUUGGGGUUGUAAAGCAGAAGCUAAGUUAUAUAAUCCUAAUGAAAGAAAGCUGGAUUCAAGGACUCAGUCAUGUUAUUUUAUUGGCUAUCCUGAGAAAUCAAAAGGAUACAGGUUCUAUAUCCCUCAAGGUCACACUCGGAUCCAAGAGACACACAAUGCAGUUUUCCUAGAAGAUGAAGAUGUCUCUCAUUUGUCAAGGGAAAAUUUCAUAUUUGAAGAGAUGCAUUCAGAUGGUGGGGACCAUGUGACAAUGGAUUAUAAUAUCGGUCUCAUUGUUUCCCAAUCAAUCAUCAAUUGCCAUUGAAGAUAUGAGUGAAGAUUUAGGAGUUCCUGAUGACAACUCUGUAGGAGUUGAUUCCACAACAUAAGCUGCAACAAUUCCUUUUGCAGAAGCAUGUGAACCAGUUGCUGUUCCACCUCCAGUUGAAAUCAGAAGGUCACAAAGAGCUCGGAAAACCACUGCAAGCAAUGACUAUGUGUACUUAUAAGAGACUGAGUUCGAUAUUGGUGACAUUUGAUGAUCCUCUUACAUAUACUCAGGCAACUGAAAGUCCUCAAGCAGUUCUUUGGAACAAUGCAAUGAAGGAUGAGUUAGAUUCAAUGUCCAAAAACCAGGUUUGGACAUUGGUGGAAUCCAACUCUGAAAUUAGGCCAAUAGGCUGCAAGUGGGUAUAUAAAACCAAAAGGGAUGCUGCUGGAAGAAUUGAAAGAUAUAAAGCAAGGUUGGUUGCUAAGGGGUUUACUCAAACGGAGGGGAUCGACUAUAAUGAUACUUUCUCUCCAGUUUCCUCCAAAGACUCCAUGCGAGUUAUCAUGUCUUUAGCUGCCUACUUCGAUCUUGAAUUACAUCAAAUGGAUGUAAAAACCGCUUUUCUUAACGGAGACUUACAAGAGGCUAUAUACAUGAAACAACCUGUUGGAUUUGUUGAAAAGGGGAAAGAGAAUUUAGUAUGCAAGCUCAAUAAGUCCAUAUACGGCUUGAAACAAGCAUCAAGGCAAUGGUACCUAAAGUUUGAUCAAAUUGUCUCUGCAUAAGGUUUUGUAGAAAACAAACUGGAUGAUUGUAUAUACAUUAAGUUCUCAGGUUCCGAGUUCAUCUUCUUAGUACUUUAUGUUGAUGCCAUUCUCCUAGCUAGUUCAUGUCCCCAAUUGCUUCAUAGCAUUAAGAGAAUGCUAAGUGAUAACUUUGAGAUGAAAGAUCUUGGAGAAGCACAUUAUGUACUAGGAAUAGAGAUUGUUCGAGAUAGGAAAAUGAGGCUCCUUGGUUUAUCUCAAAAGGGGUACAUUGACAGAGUGUUGGAGAAAUUUCAUAUGGCAAAUUGCAAUUGUGGUCAGGUUCCAGUCAAUAAAGGUGACAAGUUUUCGAAGAUUCAAUGUCCAAGAUCUGAUUUGGAGGUGAAGAAAAUGCAAGCUAAGCCUUAUGCCUCGUUGAUUGGAAGUCUUAUGUAUGCAACUAUCUGUACAAGGCCUGAUAUUGCCUUCAUAGUUGGUAUGCUAAGACGAUUUCAAGCAAAUCCUGAGAAGCACAUUGGGGGUGGCAGCCAAGAAGGUUCUUCGAUACUUGCAGAGAACCAAAACUCACAUGUUAGUAUAAUGGCCGAACUGAUUCUUUGGAGCUCAGGGGGUAUAUACUCGGAUUUAGCUGGAGAUGUGGAUGACAGGAAGUCCACAGGGGUUAUAUCUUCAUACUCAAUGGAGGGGCAGUUUCGUGGAAAAAUGCAAAGCAAACUAUUAUAGCCACAUCAACUAUGGAAGCUGAGUUUGUAGCCUGUUUUGAAGGCAUGAAACAGGCAGCAUGGUUGAAGAAUUUUUUGACAGAUUUAAAGAUUGUGAAUUCGGUUCAGAAACCAGUAACAAUGUUCUGUGAUAAACAACUCGGCUGUGUUUUUUGCUAAGAAUAAUAAAAGGACUUCAGCAUCUAGAUUUGGAUGGACGAAGUUUCUUAAGGUCAGAGAACAAGUCAAGAAAGGAGUUAUUGAAGUACAGCACAUUAGCACUACUAUGAUGAUUGCUGAUCCCUUGACUAAGGCACUGCCAAUUGGAGAAUUCAAGAAACAUGUUUCUUCAAUAGGAGUACUAGAAGGUUUUGAUCAGUGGGAGUAAUCACGUGUGUGUUAAAGGCUUGGGAUUGCAGAAGCAGAAGUAUAUAUGUGUUUCAAGAACUGUAUGUGCAAUUCUGACAAGCUGAACUAAGGAUGCUUUAUGUUUUAACUUGCUUUAGUUAGUUUGUUAAGGUUGUUUGUGUUUUAAUAAGUGUCCUUGUCUGCUACUCAAUACUUUGGCUUUCAGGUGUUGAGGUACGGAUACUGGACUGAGUUAGAAUUUAGUUUCAUUAGUAACUUUGAAAGAACAGUUUGUCUGUUUUUUAAGUUUGUGGUUAAUGAUGUUAUAUAGUCAAUUACUAUGUUGCUUUUCUGUGAAGAUUAAUGUGUGUUGUGAUCUUUUGAAAAGUGGGAGCAUAAUGUUUGACGGUUUAUGUUAGUCAUGAGUCAUAUUUACAAAUUGAAUAUAUGUGAGCCUUGAAUUAAUACUACAAUUUGGUUGUGGUCUGAGAUUCUUGGUUUCUAUAUUUUGAGAUGUAAUGGGACAGUGGUCAUGAUGGUUAAAUCUUAGAUGAGGUUAUGUGAUCACUUCUUAUGAUUGGUGACGGCAAGGUUUGAUCUUUGUCUCAUGUUCAAGUGGGAGAAUGUAAGAAUGUGAACAUGAGAUAAGAUGAUCGGAUAUUAGUUGUUUGAGUCCAAUCCGAAUAAGAAAGCCUCUAAGAAGAUGGAAUUCAGUUCUUGGCAGUAGAGGACUCUAUUGCAGGGAAAAACUGAUUUGAAUUAGGAAGGCUUAAGUAGUUUUCCAUAAGGAUUUUAAUAGGGAAUCCAUAUUCUAAUAUGAGAAGGAUAUGUGUGUACAUAUAUAUAUAUAUAUGGCAAUCUCUUCUCUCACAGGUGUGUGCUCUUUUGGAACUAAGCCCUAUUCUUAGUUUGAGUGAUAAAUACCCUGACAGAGAGAAGAAGAAUUGUUGUGCUUUUCAGGUUGAUCGAGAUCCACCAUGACUGCAUCAAACGGGAGUUCUACAGGUUAGUAUAAUUAGGUUUAUUUGGAUUGAUGUUUUGUGUCUACUUGGUUGUAGUUUAAGUAACUGAAUCUUGCAGCUAGAUUUUGGUUUACAUAUUUUUCGAUGUAGGCUUUAUCCACGGUGUGAGCUGCCGGCCUGACGCGGAGUUUGGUAGGGGAGGGGAAUUUGAAGUCUACGAUUUUUUGGGACGUUGGCGGGCAACAGUUGGUCGGGACUGCUCCACUUGGAAAGUCCGCAGCUCCGCAUUUGGCUAGGUCAGGCGGCAACACUGGCUUUGCAACAGCGAAGGGGUCGCUGCCAAGACCAACCACUCCGGCUUUGCAACAGCGAAGGGGUCGCUGCCAAGACCAGCCACUCCACCGUAGAGGCUUCCGAGACCUAUAAGUACAUUUCUUCUGUCUAGGUUUACUAGAGAAGGGUUUUCAUGGUCGUGAUCGUUGGAGCUAGUGGAAGGGUUUUUGUUUUGGUCACUACUAUUAUUUGUGGCUUUGCACGAGACAGCUUGUAAAUUGGAAUGCCUAGGGUUUCCAAAUGAGGAUAUUCGGUGAUACUUUUGGGAGAAAGGGGAGAGAGAAGUUGUGGGGAUGAUACUUGUGGCGGAGGUGACGAGUGGAGCUGACAUAGAAGCCAUGGUACUUGACUCUGAAUAAUACGUUGUAUUGGCUUUGCUUUUAUAAUGUGUUCUAGGUUUUACGUUUCUUUGCACGGGUGGCAGGCCGUACACACGUGGUCGGUCCUUAAGGGUUUGACGAGGAAUACUACGCAGUCAUUUAGUACAUGACAACCAUACACUAUAGCACGUGGCAUGUAUUUAGAGAUCGAGAGAGAAUUGGGUAAGGUUCACGAGGGAUUGUAGUUUCAGAAGGUGAAUUGGUUUUGGUCUUCUUGUGUACCAAUAAUUUUUACUUAGUCAUUUAGUGCAGGACAACCAUGCACUAUAGCACGUGGCAUGUAUUCAGAGAUCGAGAGAGAAUUGGUUGGGUAAGGUUCACGAGGGAUUGUAGUUUCAGAAGUUCAAGCGGUUUUGGGCUUGUUGUGUACGGCUGUGGGUCUGCUGUCACGGACUCUCUGUCUCAUUUGUGUCUUAUUUUUUAUUUUUUGACACGUUUUAACGUCAAAUCAUUAUAGCAAUGUUAUGCAAUUGGGAGCUAAAUGACCGAUGCUCUUAUUUUUUAGUUUGCUUUUUUUCCAGAUCUGAUCAAAUCAUGAUAGCAAUGUUAUGCAAUUUUCAAGAGGGAGAGAUGCACCUGGGAGAGAAACGGUACGGUGACUUCUAAAUCACCGUCCAACAGAACAAUUCUCAGUAGAGACUACUAGAGAGAGAUGCACCUCACCAAUGAAAAAUUUAACUGCAAAAAUUCUGGGUAUCGGGAGUUGUGGGGUGGGUCUUGGCAGUUUUCUUAUUUCUUUGAAUUUUUUAUAAUUUAUUUUAUAAAAGUAACAGUGUUUUGUGGGGGUUAAAUUGUAAAACACGUGUCAUCAAACUAAAUAAAGAGACACCAAAGAGACAUGGAAUUCGGGACAACAGACCCACAGCCGUUGUGUACGGAGGCAGACUCUCUGCUCUCCUACUUUCUGUGUCCUCCUGUUUUGUGUAGUCACGAUUAAAUCACGUCAAUAUUUUAUAUUAUUAUUUUAUAGAUAUAAUAAGACAAAAAAGAAUAGUAAUUUAAAAUAUUAACGUGACUUAACUGUGACCACACGAAUAGGAAGGCAUGAGAAGUGGGAAGGCAAAGAAUAUGCCUCCGUUGUGUACCAAUAAUAUUAUAUAUAUAUAUAUAUAUAUAUAUAUAAUUAGGAUUGAAGGAUGUAGAGCUUAUUUUGUUAUGUAUUCUAACAAUUUAAGUGCUUAUCUUUUAGGUUUUCUCUUAAACAGCAUGCCUAUAAAAAAUCACCAAAAUUCAAACCAUAUGACCAUUAGAUCCAUAGUCAUUUUAGUGUUAAAUGAACUUCACAAAAUAAGUCUCAAAAUAUGUAUAAAAAAUGGACAGCGUGAAUGGUUUGGAAAUUGGAAUAGGUUUGGAAAUUGUGCUUUUUGUAGCAAAUUGCAGCAAAGUUUGCUUGGACUUUCACAACCGUAUAAAUUAAACUGUUCGCUUUGUUGGGAAAAACAAGUUUGCCGCUGGUCUUGGGUUCCAAGAUCGGCCAAUUUGACGGCACACUUUUUGGCGUUGAGAAGCAGUACGGAGAUGUGCAGAUUAACUUGGAUUGAUACUCCUCCAUCUUCGUUGGUUCGUGUAUUGAACAAAGAUGGCCUUCCUUGCCCUCCUUAAUAUUUUUUGUUCUUCCUGCAGUGGAGGCGGUGACGCCUUGCUCUUGGUGCAGCGUCUAGUGUUCUGUACCCUCCUCUUCUGCAUAUGUUUGUAUUUCCCCUCGUUGCCCCUUCUAAGUGGGCUUCCUAUUGUUUUGGCUUCGGCCCUGGUUAUGAAAUAUUUCCAAUCUUACCCAAAAAAAAAAAAAAAAAGAAGAAGAAGAAGAAGUCAAGCACGGUGGGAGACUGGUCAUAGUUUCUAGAUUGAUGCUCUAAUUCUAAUGUUAUACAACGCGUACGCUAAAAUAUUUUUAUCAAAAUAUUAGUUUUAGUGUUAUCAAAACAAUAAUGUUAUUCUUACCAUGUUUUUGUAUCACAAUUAUAUACCACCUUAGAUGGCAUAUGAUGUAGAUAGCCACAUCAUUUAAAUUAAUAAGCAUUUAAUUUCAAAUGUUAAUCAAUAAUUAAUAAAAUGAUUGUUAAUUAAAUGAUGAUUAUGGUAUACAAGGAGUCUCCUUCUUCCUUCCCCUUUCCAUUCUGCUUUUUCUUCCUACCACUUUCUGUUUUUUUUUUCAUGCCAGUUUUUGUAUUGAUUUCUAUUGAUUUCCAUGAUUAUGGUCAAUCUUUAUAGAAUUUACUCGUAUACCACAACCACCAUUGAUUUCUAUCUCUAGACUCAUGCCCCGUAGCCCUAAUCCUCAUUCCCCUUCAAGUAUUUCUGUCUCCAAUCUUCUUUGGUACUCCAUGGUUGUUCAUCUCGUGAUUUUUUUUUAUUAUUUCAUUAAGUAACGCCUAUUAGCUUUCAUGCGAAUUAGGAGUCAAAAUCAAAUUUGUCUAUCGGAUUAGGGUUCAUGCCCAAUUAAGUUACUAACGCAAGAGAGAUUUUGAAGUCUACAAUUUUCCUUAUUUAAGUGUUUUAAUUAAUAAGAAAAUUGAAAUUAAACGAUUUAGCUUGUCCAACUCAUCUGCCACCUAAGAUGGUAAAUAAAUGUGGUAAGAAUAGCAUUACUCUUAUCGAAAUUACAAAAAAAAAAAAAAAAAAAAAAAAAAGCUGAUUCAAUAUUUAGUUAUUAAAAAAAAUAUAAAAAAAGUGAUCAAGUAACUAUCCAAUACCCAUGUAUUGGGUGCUUUGUUUGAAAAUUUUCAAAAUGAUAUUGGGCUCGUUUGGAUAUGUUUUUAAAAUGACUGAAAGCGUUUUUAGAGAAAAUAUUUUUUUGAUUCCAAAAGCACUUAAAGUGUUUUCUGCAAAAAGCACUUAAAGUGCUUUCUGCAAAAAGCACCAGUUAUGUGCUUCUUCCUAGAAGCACUUUAAGUGUUUUUCAAGCAUUUACUUGCUUUUUUACUAAGGAUUGGUUCCAAAAACAUUUUCACAAAAAGUGUUUUCAGUCAUUUUAAAAGUACAUUCAAACGAGCUCAUUGUUUUUCCUAUUUUAAUCAAGUGCGUCGUCCCCUGUUGAGAAUGAAUCUCAUAUUAUGGGGAGAGGGGUCUUGCAUGGAUGAGAGGAGGGACCUUGCAUGAGCUUAUAAGUAAGUUGGGUUACUCUCUAUAUUGCCAAGAGAAAUUUUAUUUGGACCUACUUUUCCUCUCUCUAAACCCAACUUUAAUAUUUUGUUACCUAAACUCUCUAGUUUACCCUCAUAAAUUAUAAACAUAAAUAAACUGGAAAAAGAAAAACUCAUCAAACCUAUUUCCCAACUGUUCUGGCGUCUCUUCCCUGUAUUUGUUGGGUCUAUCUCCCUCCCGACUGUUUUUUUUCCCUGAUAUUCUCUGUGUGUUCCCCCACCUCUCCCACACCCACCGAUUCUUUGUGGUGGCUAUUCCACCCAACGUCCAGUGAAUCUUUCCAUUUUUCUUCUAUUGCGCGUGAUAGGGCCUUGCUGUUAAUAGGCAAAACUAAGCGGCAUCGUCGACUCUGUAAGCGACUUGUUGCAGAAGUCCAAAAUGGAGUCAAAAGGAUUUUGUAUUGGGUCGGGUUGUUGAAGGCGAUGGCUGAUUUAGCAAUCUCGCCUAACUACUUCUAUAUGCAGGAGAAGGAAGAGGGAGGAAGGUCUAAAGUGGUGGUUGAGUGGUGGCGAUGUAUGUGGGUUCUAUCUCGGUUGAAUGGGUGUAGAAAGAUAUUUAAUUUUCAGUUUCUUAUUUUAUUUUGUAUAAGGGAUAAUAUCGGAAUUACAUAAAAAGUUUUUUUUAUAGCUGGGUGUAGAAAUAGUAUUGUUGGGUCUAAAUAAAAUUACCCUAUUGCCAAACAUAGUAUUGUUGGGUCUAAAUAAAAUUACCCUAUUGCCAAUUAGCUUUGUUUGAAAAUUUUCAAAAUGAUAUUGUUUUUACCAUUGAACCCUUGUUAUAUACAGUGAUGGCUAAUUUGUCAAGUUCUACGAAGUUGGGAUACCCAGCGUUUUAGCAUAUAACAUAACUUAGUAUUACAAGCAUAAUUAAUUAAAAUAAAGGAAAAUGAAGAGGAUAGCUUAGUAUUACAAGCAUAAUUAAUUAAAAUAAAGGCAAAAGUAACAGCCUGUCCCUAAAAAUGACGAUUUUAUAAUCUUAACACGUGAGUUUAUGAAGAUGCCCUUCGAGGCAAAGUGUUGACUUGUGUUGACUACCGCAUCGUGUCAUGUGAGACUCAUCUUCUUGGCGUAUUCUCGUUUUACUUGUCACUACGGACGCAUGGGCGCAAACGGGACAUGAUUUGGAGCUAUAACGAAUGAGUUAUUAACAUUUAAAGUUAAGGACAUUUUAGUAAAUUAAUUAAUUUCAGAUUAUGUUGAGGGGAAAAUCUGGAGUGCCGGUGGGUGGCCCAGAUUAAAGGAAAUGAAGAAUGGAUGGUGGAGGUGUAAAGGAAAGAAGAUAAAAGAAAAAUGAGAGGAAGUGUGUGACUAAUAGGGAGAUGAGAGAGUUAGGAUGGCCCAAUCAGAAACAAACGAAAGGAGGAAAAAGGAGAGAAGAGGGGAGCGGGGGAUCCCUUCGACCCGGUUCCAUUUUCCGACCCGACCCGAUCCUUUUCAUCUUCUUUGAUGGUUUUUCGUCGGUUUUUUCCGACGAACCACGUUAUCUAACCCCUUGGAAAAUGUUCCACAACCUUCCCUCAACUAUUACAAUCCAAAAUUGUAGAAAUUUAGCCAUGAAAGUAUGAAAACCACACCGGUGGGUGCGGGAAACCCUUGUCGUCGAUUCUCCCAUUAUUGCAACGAUUUUCACCAAUUACCACCACCUACAACAUCCUCUUGAGGUCUGGAAUAAAGCCCAAACAAGUUUUGCACUACUACAAUAUUAGCUUUAGAUGGCAGAUGAUGGUGGCGGAUUUAGAAAAAUAUUGUCGGAUAAAUUAUAUCUGACACAUUAUUUAAUUAGUGGUGAAUAUAAGAAAAAUCAUGUCGGUUAUAACCGACAUAAAUUCGUGGCAGAUACUAGCAGAUAUUAAAAAACUCAUGUCGGUUAUAACCGACAUAAAUUCCUAGCGAAUAAUUACUGACAGAUAUUAUAAAACUUCUGUCGGUUAUAACCGACAAUAUUUUUGAAUUGGGGGAAUUUAAAAUUUUGGGAGGGAAUUUAAAAUUUUGGGAGGGAAUUUAAAAUUUUGGAGGAAAUUUUGGGGGGAUUUUUACCCAUAUUAAUUCAUGGCGGAUAAUUACUGACGAAUAUUAUAAAGCUCAUGUCGGUUAUAACCAACAAUAAUGAAAAUGUUUAUGUCGAUUUUUAUUAAAAAAAUGUUUCUGUCAGUUUUAACCGACAUUAAUGAAAAUAUUCCACAGUAAAACCCCUACUUCUUCUCCUUGUGCUGGUGCCUUCUCCCUUCCCCCUUCUUUCCCCCUUUUCUCUUCUCCUCAUUUCCUUUUCCUUUGUAUUUUUGAUUUUGACAAGGUCUCUCCUUUAUUUGAUUCUUUGUUGUUCAUCUCUCACAAAUGUAGAGAGAGUAAAGGAGAUGCUUAGAGCGCUUUCUUUGUUCCUUUUUUUUUUCUUUUCAUUUUUUCCCUUUUCAAACUCCGACUAUGUCUUACAUGGCCGGUCCCAAGCCCGGAUAAAGGAGGAGGGGGAGGGCGUCAGGUAGUCGACAGCCGGCACUCCAUGAUCACGUCGAAUCCUUAUGAAAAUGAAUCCAGAACAAAAUCGCGCUAAAGCUAGGGCGCCACCCGUAAGUGGCGCGCUGUGUGGCCCGAGCACAGUGAUAAGUGAGCAAGGGUCGCUGUAUCUCCAUCGGCACUCGGAUGCAGUGUUAAAUGAGCAAGGGGGCCAUAGAAACUUCUUUUCGAACGACUCCACUCAAAGUUGUUUGGGAGCAUAUGCUCCUAUCAACUUUACCCGGGACACACAAAAGAAGUACUUUGAUCCUAUUAGACGGGGGAGGGUGAAGAAGCUAGGACAGAAGGGUAGAGUUCAAGAGAGCAAAAUGCGUUUAGGAACGUGGAAUAUAGGAACCUUAACGGGAAAAUCUAUGGAAGUAGUGGAAGUUAUGGUGAGGAGAAGGAUAAAUAUUAUGUGCCUACAAGAAACUAAGUGGGUUGGUAGUAAGGCAAAGGAUCUAGAAAACUCAGGGUUUAAACUUUGGUAUUCGGGCACAAAUAGAACGAGAAACGGUGUUGGCAUCAUCGUGGACAAGACCUUGGUACAAGAUGUUGUAGAUGUCAAGAGUGUAGGAGAUAGAAUCAUGGCAAUCAAGAUUGUAAUAGGACAAGAACUUAUCAAUGUGAUUAAUGCGUACGCACCUCAAGUAGGGUUGGAUACGAGUUCGAAGGAGAAAUUUUGGGAAGAUCUUGGAGACUUGGUGCAAGGAAUUGCUCAGACGGAGAAGUUAUUUAUAGGAGGAGAUUUAAAUGGACACGUGGGCAGGGAGACAGGCAACUAUGGAGGUUUUCAUGGUGGCCAUGGUUUUGGGGAGAGAAACGAGGAUGGGGAAGCUAUCUUGGAUUUUACAAUGGCAUAUGAUCUCUUCUUAGCCAACACCUUCUUUAAGAAGAGAGAAGAACAUGUGAUCACCUACAAGAGUGGGUCGUCAAAAACACAAAUAGAUUUUCUUCUAAUGAGGAAAGGGGAUCGUAUAACUUGUAAGGAUUGCAAAGUUAUACCAGGAGAGAGCGUGGCUAAUCAACAUCGCUUGUUGGUGAUGGAUGUACAUAUCAAAAGAGUAAGACAAAAGAACAAGACUUGGAAGUGCCCAAGGACUAGAUGGUGGAAUCUAAAAGAAGAAAAACAAGUCAUUUUCAAAGAGAAGGUAAUCACCCAAUGUGUGUGGGAUAGAGAGGGGGAAGCUAGCCAAAUGUGGGAUUUCAUGGCUAGUUGUAUCCGAAAAGUAGCAAAAGAGGUAUUAGGAGAGUCUAAGGGCUUUGCCCCACACUAAAAGGAAUCUUGGUGGUGGAAUGAGGAGGUACAAACAAAGGUGAAGGCUAAGAAGGAAUGUUGUAAAGCCUUAUACAAGGAGAGGACCGAUGAAAAUGGUGAAAGGUAUAGAAAAAAAGCGAAGCAAGAGGCGAAGAAAGCUGUCAGAGAAGCUAAGUUAGCGGCUUACGACGAUAUGUAUAAACGACUAGAUACCAAAGAAGGAGAGUUGGAUAUCUAUAAACUAUCUAGAGCAAAGGAAAAGAAGACAAGGGACCUAAACCAAGUGAGGUGCAUCAAGGAUGAGGAUGGAAAGGUUCUUGCUACAGAGAACGCGGUUAAAGACAGAUGGAGAGGUUAUUUUCAUAAUCUUUUCAAUGAAGGACAUGAAAUGAGUGCUUCUUUAGGGGAGUUGAGUAACUCAGAAGAGUGUAGAAACUACUCUUUUUAUCGUCGAAUCCGGAAGGAAGAAGUGGUUGUAGCUUUGAAGAAGAUGAAGCAUAAAAAAGCAAUAGGCCCAGACAAUAUACCAAUCGAAGUGUGGAAACUUUUGGGAGAGACAGGUAUAACAUGGCUCACUGACCUUUUCAAUAGGAUUUUGAAAACGAAAAAGAUGCCAAAUGAGUGGCGAACGAGCACUUUGGUGCCUAUCUACAAGAAUAAGGGCGACGUACAAAAUUGCAUGAACUAUAGGGGUAUUAAGCUAAUGAGUCAUACAAUGAAGCUCUGGGAGAGAGUCAUUGAGCAUAGAUUGAGGCAAGAGACACGGGUUUCGGACAACCAAUUCGGGUUCAUGCCAGGGCGCUCAACCAUGGAGGCAAUCUAUCUCUUACGAAGAUUGAUGGAAAGAUAUAGAGAUGGGAAAAAUGAUUUACACAUGGUCUUUAUAGAUUUGGAAAAAGCGUAUGAUAGGGUCCCAAGAGACAUUCUUUGGAGGAUUUUAAAGAAGAAAGGAGUACGAGUAGCAUAUAUCCAAGCUAUAAAGGACAUGUAUGAAGAAGCAAAGACUGCCGUAAGAACUCAUGAAGGACAAACCGAAAGCUUUCCCAUAACUGUAGGAUUACAUCAAGGCUCAUCCUUAAGUCCUUACCUUUUUGCGUUGGUAAUGGAUGAGUUAACAGGACAUAUUCAAGAUGAUAUUCCUUGGUGUAUGCUUUUCGCAGACGAUAUAGUGUUGAUAGAUGAAACUCAGGAAGGGGUAAAUGCAAAGCUUAACCUUUGGAGAGAAGUGUUGGAAUCUAAAGGUCUUCGCCUAAGCCGAUCAAAGACAGAAUAUAUGGAGUGCAAGUUCAGUGCAAAUGGAGGCCAAAACGAGUUAGGGGUGAGGAUCGGAGAUCAAGAAAUACCAAAGAGUGACCGUUUUCGUUACCUAGGAUCUAUCUUGCAAAAGAACGGAGAAUUAGAUGGAGAUCUCAACCAUAGAAUACAAGCUGGAUGGAUGAAGUGGAAGAGUGCAUCUGACGUGUUGUGUGACCGUCGUAUGCCACUGAAGCUCAAAGGAAAAUUUUAUAGGACGGCAAUAAGGUCGGCGAUGAUUCAACUUGGCGGGUUCGAGCAAAUAGGCGUUGGGCCAUAUUAGACACAGAACCUGCACACUGAACACUGAGAGCUAGCGAAUCCUUAACAGCUAACUCAUCAGACCGUUUGGAAAGUAGUCUGUUAUCUUUGGGAGUGAGAAGGUUCCUGGCCACCACCGCAGCGGUCAUAUCAUUCUUCAUCACGGAAUCCCCAACGGUAAGAGGACCAGUAGGGGAGACAAAGGAUGGGCGCCAUAUGUUGUCUGGAGAAGGCGGGGCUGCCUCUUCAACAAGGUUCAAGUCAAAAAACGACGGUCGGAGGGCCAGACAUUUUCAAAGGUGUUGAAGAGAGAAGAGGUCGGACACAAAUCAAGAUCUUAGAAGUGCAAGAAUGAAGCUUCUACUGGUGGAGAUUCAAGUGUGCUUUGGAACUUAAUGCCAGCCCCUAUAAAAAUCUGCACUCGACGGAGCUUCAGAAAUCGAAGAGGCGUUUGCUUUCUCAAAAGCUGGGCUGCUUAGAGAUCACGAGGGUUGAUCUCAGGAAUCGAAGAGGCGUUUGCUUUCUCAAAAGUUGGGCUGCUCAAAGACCACGAAGGCCGAUCUCAGAAAUCGAAGAGGCGCUCACUUUCUCAAAAACUGGGCUCCCCAGAGACCACGAGGGCCGAUCUCAAAAAUCGAAGAGGCACCUACUUUUCCAGCCUUGUCAGCACCUGUCACACGCACACUCAGCUUUGCGGAAAUUAUGGGCAUUCUGUCGAAGACUUCUGGGGAAGUAGAAAACACAUGAAUCUUACUGUUCAAUCACCCACUUCCCACACGCAAUAAUAGCUCAUGGGUACCACAGAUAACUUUGCCAAAGUUCUCUGCCAAAGUUGAGCACGUGAAGCUUGCAGCUCCCACUACAUCGCUCUGACCAAGAAGGGUAAAAAGAAUAGCAAAGAAACAGCACUAACAAAGUUUAGACCCAUAAAUUUUGAAGGUCUAGCUACCAUAUUAUUACCCACAAGGGUAAAGGAACAGUACCACUGCUGGAUAAUUGGAAAGUCCCUAUGUGUCAACCUCUGUGCUUCGUGGCAAGGUAGACUAGCAAACAUGCCCAACCUUUACUCACAUUCGAGAAAACACUCCCAAUAAGAUUGCUUGCUCCAAAAUCGAAGAGGCACCGUCCUCCGAAUCUCGAGAGCCAGACUCCCAACAUGACUACUUUCUUAAAAAUCGAAGAGAGGGUAAAGGAACAGUACCAUUGCUGGAUAAUUGGAAAGUCCAUGUGUGUCAACCUCUGUGCUUCGUGGCAAGGUAGACUAGCAAACAUGCCCAACCUUUACUCACAUUCGAGAAAACACUCCCAACAAGAUUGCUUGCUCCAAAAUCGAAGAGGCACCGCCCUCCGAAUCUCGAGAGCCAGACUCCCAACAUGAUUACUUUCUCAAAAAUCGAAAGAGACACUGCUCCCCGAAUCUUCGAGAGCCAGACCCCCAGCAUGAUUGCUUUCUCAAAAAUCGAUGAGGCAUCGUUCUCCGAAUCAAUCGAAGAGGCGCUCGCUUUCUCAAAAGCUGGGCUGCUCAGAGACCACGAGGGCCGAUCUCAGAAAUCGAAGAGGCACUUACUUUUCUAGCCUUGUCAGCACCUGUCACACGCACACUCAGCUUUGCAGAAAUUAUGGGCAUUCUGUCGAAGACUUCUGGUGAAGUAGAAAGCACAUUAAUCCUACUGUUCAAUCACCCACUUCCCACACGCAACAAUAGCUCAUGGGUACCACAGAUAACUUUGCCAAAGUUCUCUGCCAAAGUUGAGCACGUGAAGCUUGCAGCUCCCACUACAUCGCUCUGACCAAGAAAGGUAAAAGAAUAGCAAAGAAACAGCACUAACAAAGUUUAGACACAUAAAUUUUGAAGGUCUAGCUACCAUAUUAUUACCCACAAGGGUAAAGGAACAGUACCACUGCUGGAUAAUUGGAAAGUCCCUGUGUGUCAACCUAUGUGCUUCGUGGCAAGGUAGACUAGCAAACAUGCCCAACCUUUACUCACAUUCGAGAAAACACUCCCAACAAGAUUGCUUGCUCCAAAAUCGAAGAGGCACUGUCCUCCGAAUCUCGAGAGCCAGACUCCCAACAUGACUACUUUCUCAAAAGCGAAGAGAGGGUAAAGGAACAGUACCAUUGCUGGAUAAUUGGAAAGUCCCUGUGUGUCAACCUUUGUGCUUCAUGGCAAGGUAGACUAGCAAACAUGCCCAACCUUUACUCACAUUCGAGACAACACUCCCAACAGGAUUGCUUGCUCCAAAAUCAAGAGGCACCGCCCUCCGAAUCUCGAGAGCCAAACUCCCAACAUGAUUACUUCCUCAAAAAUCGAAGAGACACUGCUCUCCGAAUCUCGAGAGCCAGACCCCCAGCAUGAUUGCUUUCUCAAAAAUCGAAAAGGCAUCGUUCUCCGAAUCUCGAGAGCCAGAUACCACAGACCACUUUUUCAAAGUGCUCUGACAGAGUUAAAACAUGUGAAACUGGCAGCUCCCACUACCGUGCUAUGACCAAGCAGGGUAAAGGAAUAGCAUUACUACUUGUUGUUAGGGAGACUCCUAUAUAUGUCGACCUCCAUCCCCAACGGACAGGCAGACCUGCAAAAAUGCUCAACCCUUCAUCAUAUCUGAGUGGGCACUCCCAACGAAGCCUUUCGAAAUAUUCAGCUUUCUUUCCCCCCGAUAAUACCUCUGCAAACAAGCUAUACUAGAGCAAGAAUAUCUCAUAUCAUCAGGGUUAAAAGCAAGAGUAUCCCAUAUCAUGCUUUUUCCCUGUCUUUUCCUUUGGCCUUGUUUUUACCUGCAAGACAAGGAGAAAGAGAGCAAUCAGUCAGCACUUGGAAUCAAGCUUCCAACCAGGAAAUGACUGCCUGGAACCCCUUACUUGGCAUUGCUCUCGAGUACUCAUCUUCAACAUCUUAUGUUUCCAGGGAAGAUUCUGCAUCUGCUUGAGGAACAGAUAGGGCAAGUGCGAAGGAUACAAGGAAGCAUGCGGAGACAAGCGUAACAGCACACGUGCCGAUACAUCCAUUACUCUGUCAAAAGCAAAAGUAUCCCAUAUCAGCAGGGUGGAACGUACUCUAGAUUUGAUGGACUUGUUUUGACCCUCAAAUUCUUCAGUCGGCCUUAUAUUCUGGAGGAAACCAGAAAACCCUCCAGCUCAGUUCAAGAAUAAGCCUGUGGAAAGUUACUUCUUCAAAAGCAAAAGUAUCUCAUAUCAUCUCUUCUCAUUUUUCUUCUCUCUUUAUCCUUCAUGCUGCUGCAAGAUGGGGAGAAGGUGAACAAUCAGUCGGAGCUCUGAUUGCUUACCUUGUCUGUCACCUCUUUCAGCAGACCCCCUAGCUCGGCGACUUGGGGGACUCCUACUAAAUGGUUUGUAUCGCGCUUGACCAAGCCUGAAACUACAAGUAAGCUUCAAGUGAAAUUGAUACAUUACCUUGUGCAUCUCCACCAGUUAAAGAUACCACCCCUGGAUGGAGGAAGAGUACUUCCAGAGAAGAUGCCACAUCUACCUAUGAGACAGAUAAGGCAAGUCAAGACGACACCACACUCCGAUACUUAGAAGUUUCGUGAUUAUGAGAUCAUUCUCCCACAAUAUUUCCUAAUGUCAUUUGUACUAAAUCAUUCACUUGUACUCACUAAAGGAGAGCUUGAACCUAUGUACUUGUGUAAACCCUUCACAAUUAAUGAGAACUCUUCUAUUCCGUGGACGUAGCCAAUCUGGGUGAACCACGUACAUCUUGUGUUUGCUUUCCUAUCUCUAUCCAUUUAUAUACUUAUCCACACUAAUGACCGGAGCAAUCUAGCGAAGAUCACAAAAAGCGACCGUUUUCGCUACCUAGGAUCUAUCUUGCAAGAGAACGGAGAAUUAGAUGGAGAUCUCAACCAUAGAAUACGAGCUGGAUGGAUGAAGUGUAAGAGUGCAUCCGGCGUGUUGUGUGACUAUCGUAGGCCACUGAAGCUCAAAGGAAAAUUUUAUAGGACGGCAAUAAGGCCAGCGAUGUUGUAUGGCACAGAAUGUUGGGCGGUGAAGCAUCAACACGUACACAAAAUGGGUGUAGCGGAGAUGAGGAUGCUUCGUGGGAUGUGUGGGCACACGAGAAAGGAUAAGAUUGGGAAUGAGGAUAUCCGAGGUAAAGUAGGAGUAGCCGAAAUUGUAGGAAAGAUGAGAGAAAAUCGGCUCCGGUGAUUUGGACAUGUGCAAAGAAGGCCGACUGACGCUCCGAUUCGAAGAUGUGACUACGGGACAGAGGUUCAGGGCCGAAGGGGUAGAGGAAGACCUAGGAAAACUUUGGAAGAGACUCUAAGAAAAGACUUAGAGUACUUGGAUCUAACGGAGGACAUGACACAAAACCGAGCGCAAUGGCGUUCUAGGAUUCAUAUAGCCGACCCCACUUAGUGGGAAAAGGCUUUGUUGUUGUUGUUGUUGUUGUAUUUUUUCCCUUUUCAAAAUCGAAAUGUUCUAAAUUAUUUCACUAAUCCUUGCUAGUUUGAACUGCAGGAGUCUGUCUCUGGAUUUGAAAGAUUAUCUGGACUUACAGUUUUGAAGAAUUGGGAUUCUAGUGUUACACAUAUUAUUGCAUCGACAGAUGAAAAUGAAGCAUGCAGAAGAACCCUUAAAAUUUUGAUGGGUAUCUUGGAGGGGAAGUGGAUUCUGAGUGUGGAGUGAGUUUUACUGUUUUCGUUUUAAUUGUUCUUCCUCAAGUGCUUGGACUUUACAAUUGUAAUGAGUACAGAAGCCGAAAUGAGAUAUUGAUAUACAUGUUCACAUUGCUGAUAAUUCGUUAUCCGUCUGUUUGUGUAGGAAUUAAUGCUUGCACAUAAGUAAUGAAACUAGUUAAUGAGGAGCCUUAUGAAAUCAACGUUGACAUUUAUGGAAUCAGGGAUGGUCCUCGACUUGGUAGACUAAGGCUGCAGAACAAGGUUAGCUUUUCCUCGAGUUUAACUAUCAUCACGAAAACUUUAGAUUUUCAUGGAUUCACCAUAGGCAUUGUUAAUCUUGUUCAGUCCAUAAAUAGGUUACACACUUAUCUUAACAAAGGUGAGACCUUCUCAAUUCCUCAUCGAGAUGAAUCAAGAGCAUAAUUGUAGCAGUGAUCAAGAGCAAUUUUUUUAUGUUUCUUCCAAAUUGUUGAGAUGAAUCAUCUGUGUUUUGUUCUAAUAAUCUUACAAAUUUGUUGAGCAAUUUUUGUAAAGUCAGAAUCUUUGGUUUCGGUUGUGAGGUAUCUGAUUUGGGUAUAUGUGUUUUGCAGGGCACGGUGGUUGUGGCGGAGGAAGAUUAGGAUUGACGACAGAGCUCUGGCCAUGAACUAUCAGCUCUGUCUUUCUCUCUCUAACUAUGAAUUGAAUACAAAAGUCUGUGUUGAUAUGGAAAAUGUAGCUCAAAAUUAUUACACAAAUGGCAAAAAAAAAAAGUUCGAGUGUGGAGUUUCACUUACUGAUACAGGGCUUUUGAAACAGGGUUGUCUAGACUGUAGAAGAAAUCCAUGGCUUUUGGAAGAGGGGAUGUUCCAAAUCUAUCUUUUCUCCCUCUCUAAUGUUCUUCGAGGGGUUCUUGUGAUGCAAAAAGUGGUUUAUAUAUAUUUUUUAUUAUUAAUAAAUUUUCUGUCGGUUUUAUCAGACAAUAAUUCUUUUAUUUAUUCUUAUUAAUAAUUUCUCUGUCGGUUAUAUCUGACACAAUUUCUGUCGAUUUUAGAGUAUUUUCUAUCGAAAAUUUCAUUUCCUGACGCAUCAAUUAUGUCGCUUAUUAUAUCCGCCACUGCACUCAUUUCAUGUCGGAUUUUGCUUAAUUUCCAACAGUAUUAUACAUUUCUUGUCGGUUUUUAAACCGACACUAAUGGGUACUUUUGUAGUAAUGUUGGGGCGUCGGAGUUCGUUUAAGGUCGAAUUGAGCACACCCAAAUUCAAGGGUUCCGUACGGUUCAUGGUAAUUUGAGGUAUUUCUCAGCCAAAUUGUCCUUAGUCACAGAUAUGAAAGUUGCUCCACUCGUUGAGAUCUUCAUUUAUGUCAAAUUUGAGAAUUUUUAGAAAUAAUUGGAUUUUCCAGCGAAUCGGGGCGGCGGACCACCACCGGACAGCGCAUGGCUAGUGGGCCCCCAAUGUCAUUUUACGUUAAAUUGGUAUCUUGAUUUUAGGUUUGAUGUCUAUAUGUUAUGACUUGAUAUGUGAACCUAGUUUAAUUAAGGUGCGUUAAUUGGUAAAAAUAUGAAACGACGAUCCGACCGUGGGAUCGUCACCAAUCUUUAUUAUGUUAUAGUACAUUAUAUUUGAGAAUCAUAGGGACUGACGGAUAGGAAAUCCGAUAUACGGAUCUUCCUGAAAUGGAAUUGUAAGUUCGAAGAAUAAACGUUAACCGCCACUUUGUUUUGACUAUUGGUGAAGAUCCAACCGUUGGAUCAUAAUGAAAUUUUAGGAUGAUGUUUUAGAAGCAUAAUGUGGAUCUUUGGAAGUUAUUGAUUGGAAAUCCGAGGAGCGAAUCUUCCGGAUUGAAUUACGUAAGGUUGUGGACCCUACCGUCGAUCGUUGACUGACGAUCGACUUUUGGUCAAUGGGGCUUAAAUCACUCUAAAAUGUUUUUAGGGAUGUGUUUUACGUAAAUUACAUUAUCUAUGGAUAAGAAUUCUGAGAUGUGGUUUGAUAAUUGUCCUGGGCGCCGAUCGUUAGGAACGCUUCGAUGGUUGUGCUAGGAAAUUGUAGCAUAGACUCCAGGUGAGUGAAUCUUUUCCUUCUUAUAUAUAUAUAUAUAUAUAUAUGAUUGACAAUUCCACAAACGUUUAUAAAUUGAUUAUUGCAUAUAACUACUGUAAAUACUUUGAAGUACUUAUGCGAACUACGAAUGGCUUGAUCCCUAUUUAGGGUACGUAUGCAGUCUAACAAGACAUUAAAUGCAGUCAUACAAUAAUUGAGAUUAAACAAUUGAGACAAAGCCUUGUAUGGGGAACUGGGCAAGGUGAACGAAUUUGGUAAAAAUGUGAGAUUUAACCUUCUGAAUUGGUGAUUAAAUGUUGGUCAUAAAUCAAUGUGUAAAGAAUCAAGAAUUUGAAGUAAGGAAACGUAAGUAAUGAUAAUUAAUUAAACUAGUGUCUAGUUGGGCUUGUCACCUAUAAUUAUCCCCAAAAAUGAAUAAUUCGGGAGUAGGGCGUUAUAGCUUCUGCAUUUUUAUGCCACAUUAUAUAUAUAUAUAUAUGUGUGUGUGUGUGUGUGUGUGUGUGUGUGUGUAUAAUUGGAAAUGCUAUAACGUGGUUGAGUAUCAGAUUUCAUCAUGGUUUAUCUAUAUGUAUAUUACCUGCACACAAUUAUUAUGAACACUUUGAAGUGCAAAGGUGAACGCAAGACACCCAGGAAAGUUCAGGUGAGUUUAUGGUAUUAGUUGAAAUGAUGGGGUUAUGGUAACUACAUGUAUGUUUAGGUUGCAAUGAUAGGCAACUCCGACACUGUCGUACAAGUUGCCCAUGAAUUGUAUAUGUUACAAUAGAUAGAGUUAGAGGUCAUAAACCUGCACCCCGGUGUUAGUGCUCCCACCCGUGGCUAGGGCACAGUCUUUCACGAGAUGUUCACCUCUCGCAUCUUACGCUCACCUUGGAUCCAAGGUAGGUGCACAGUCAUGUCAUAAAGACCACUAUAGGUGGUUCCGACUAGUAGAUGACCCGUGAUUAUUCGCACAGUCUUCACGUGAUUGUAGCACUUGAGCGUAUUUAUUUACACCCAGUCCUGUCGUACAGACCACUUUAGGUGGUUCCGACUCGUAUGCAGGUAUACUUAUUGAGCUAUGGAUAAGUCGUACAGGUCACUAAAGGUGACUCCAACUUAUGAGCUAGCAUAUGUGAUGAAAUAUGUGAUGAGCUAGCAUAUGUAAUGAGAUAAGUGAUGAGCUAGCAUAUGUGAUGAGAUAUGUGAUGAGUUAGCAUACGUUAUGAGAUAUGUGAUGAGUGAUAUAAUCAUAAUUGCAUACAUUUUCAUGCCCUUUUAGUUUAGAUUUUUGUUAUCCUUUUGAGUGAAUUUAGUUUGUUUCACUUAGUUUUAUGUUUUUCUUAGAUUUGAAGUGUGAAGAUGAAGAAAGAAGAAAAAAGAGCAUUUUUAGCGAUUGAAAUGAGUUUGGCAUGCUGGAAGCAGAGGCUAUUUGUGCGGAUCAGCCAACUUUACGGAUUAAACUGUACUUCCUUAGAAUGCCAGCUGUUGAGUCUUAUACCAUUGGAAAGAUAUGAAAGUUAGCUUUCAGAGGAAUUUUACGAUUCGUGAUUCCGAGUUUCCUAGAAGACGUUAUAGUGGUUUUUCUACCAGAUGUCUGCCAGCAAGGUUUUACGCGGGAUUUGCAAAGAGAUUCCAGAUUUACAAAGUUUAAUUAAAGGAAACAAGCAGAGAAAAAAGAAGAGGAAGCUUUUAGAAAAGUUCAGGACUAUUCUAAACGGUGCAUAGUUAAUAUAUUUAAUAGUUUAGUGUGCCACAUCAUCAAUAAACUAAUCUAAGUCAGAAGAGAAAUUCAAGAGUCCCAUUCAAGUAAGUAUUCCAGCAGUUUUAUUCAGGAAUAAAGGAGGGCAGACCGUCGGACUUUAGGAGCGGACAGAGAGAGUUUUUGGGUUUUCGAAGGUGCAGAGAAGAGGUCGCAGCAAGGAGUGAAACAGAGUCGCCGAUCAUCUGGGCAAUCCAUCACCAUCGUGUGGAAGUAUUUUAUGUUUUUCAGAUUUUUAAUUAUGUUUUCAGAUUUUAUGAGUAACUAAACUCUUUUUCUAAGGUUAGGAUGAUGCCCUAGCAUGGAUGUUUAUGGUUUGUAAUGUUAUUCAUUGGAUUUCCAGUUUCUUUUAGAUGAAUGCUUAAUCACUGUUUGAAUUGUUACUGUUUGUUUGAGUUCUUUGAUUGAUCACCUUAGGACUUUGCAUCUAGUAAGAUUGGAAGAUGAAUUUGAGACUGAACUAACAAUAUAAUUCAAUUAGCUUCUUGUGGUUAAGUGUGGUAAAUUACAUUAUUGCUUGAAAAAGAAUAAUGGUUUGUUUGGGUCCCUUGUUUUCUAGAGGGUAAAGAGUCCUACUUGUUAAAUUUAUGCCUUAACUAGGAUAGACUGCUUGUUAGGAUAUACGACCUCUGCCUAAACUAGGAGAGAAUCAUUCACAUAAGGAAAACUAUGGUCUAAUAUGCCUGACAAGGACUUAGAUACGGGAAUUAUCAUCUAAAGAAUUGAAAGAUCCAUUGAAUGCAUUGAAACCUAAACUAGAUUGCUUGUGGUUGAUUCCGAAUCCCUAGAUUUUCAUCACUUGCCUUAAAACACAACCGUUUCUUUUCUUUAAUUUCAGUUUUUACUUAAGGUUCUGUUUUUGUUCAUUUAUAAAAUCAUCACAACAAAUUUUUUACAUCUUUGAUUGACUUAUUAAUUAAGAUCGAGUCUAGUUCGUUGUUUGGGUUUGUGUGUCUUUAAUAUAAUUAGAUUUGGUUUAGUUUAUCAAAUUGGAGAUUGAAUUAGAAUCCUCGUGGGAACGAUACUUGGACUUGCAAAACGUUAUAUUACGACUAUCUUGUGCACUUGUAAGUUUACACCAAGUUUUUGGCGCCGUUGCCGGGGACUCUAAUUGAGUCCCCCAAUUUGAUAUCAUAUUCCAUAUCUAAUAAGUAGUUUAUUGUAGAUUAUUCAAUUUGAUUUUGUUUUGUUCUCUAGUUUCGAGUAAGAGUCAUAACUAUUAAGAUAAGUAAAAGUAAUUUUCGUCACUGUUUUAUUUCAGUUUUGUAUCACUGUUUCGACACAGUUUUGGACUAAACUAUUCGAUUUUUUACCAGGAAUAUUGUGUAUCGUUGGAAAGCCCCAGAAGUCUAGUUUUCAACCCAAAAAACAGAUCAAUGAUUGGAUUUUUGAGCUGCAAGAAAUGUACAAAAUACUGAGCAGUGGUCAAACAAGGAGCACAGUCUGGUCGUAUAUGCAAGGUAGACGUUCGUUGCAAUUUGAGUUGAUUCAUAUAGACCAAGAACUUGUGCGUACUUUAAGAGAACAGUGGAGGCAGCGAGUGUGUCAAGAACCAGCCAUGGAGGAAGUAGUUAAUAAUGGUGGAAAUAAUCCUCCACCAUUGCUACCACCACAACCAAGGCUCAUGCGUGAUUAUACAAAGCCAACGGAGUACAACGCACCGUCAUGCAUUGUUUUGGCUCCAAUUGCGCAGCGAUUUGAGAUUCGUCCACAAAUCUUUCAGUUGCUGCCUAUAUUUCUUGGGAAGGAGGAAGAAAAUCCAUACCAUCAUAUCAAGGCGUUUUUCAAGCUAUGUUCCACAUUCACAUUCACCAAUGUUACUGAAGAGCAAAUUCGACUUCGGUUAUUCCCAUUCUCUUUGAGGGAUAAAGCAAGCAGUUGGUUGGAUUCUCUUCCCGAAGCAUCUAUCGACACAUGGACAAAAUUAUCGAAGAAGUUUUUGUCCAAGUUCUUCCCCGCUCGAAGAACCAAUGCUCUGAUCAAUGAAAUCAUGAGCUUUCGACAACAAGAAGGUGAACAGUUUCAUGAAAGUUGGGAGCGCUAUAAGGACUUGUUUCUUCAAUGUCCUCAUCAUGGUUUCAACACUUGGCAAAAGGUUCAUUAUUUUUACAAAGGUUUGAACUCUCAAUGUAGGAGUUUGGUUGAUUCAACGGUUGGUGGAACCUUGAUAGACAAAACUCCAGAAGAUGCCAUACAUGCCUUUGAAACUAUAUGUGAAAAUUCUGAGCAUUGGGAUUUUCCUACAAAAGAUUUGAGAGUUCCAACUGCAUCGUCAACAAAAAAAGGAGGCAUUUAUGAAGUUAAUACAAGGACGGGCUUAGAGGCACAAGUGGCAGCCCUCACCAAGCUUCUCACACCACUUGUAAGCAAGAUAGCCACGCAGCCAUGUACUUUAUGUGCGAGCAUCGCCCAUGACAUGGAAAAUUGUCCAACAAAUGCUAAUCUAGAAGGCAUCCAAGAGGUCAAUGCAUUUAGUGGGAGGCCCCGGAAUGAUCCAUAUUCUAAUAAUUAUAACCCGGGAUGGAGAGAACAUCCAAAUUUUUCUUAGAGAGAUUCACAAAAUAGCAUGGGAUCAUUCACUUCAACAAAGCAAUAUCAGCAACCUUAUCAAGCUCCUCCAAUUCAACAAAAAGACUCGUCUAUCAAGGAUAUGUUAUCUCAACUCUUAAAGAAAACUGAUCGGUAUGAACAUGAAGUUGUGUCGCUUAGACAAAGUCAGACGGUGUUGGAAAAGGCUCGAUCUAAUUUUGAGACUCAGUUGGGACAGAUAGCUACUACUUUGAACAAGCUGGAGUGAGCACAAGGGCAAUUUCCAAGCCAAACUGAAACAAAUCCUAGGAAUCAAAAGCAUGUUCAAGCUGUCACCACUUUGAGGAGUGGAAAGACGAUUGGUAAUAAUGUGGAAAGUUCAAAAAUUAAUAAGGAAGAAGAUGAAGGGGUCAGCACAUAUCGGGCAGCAGCUUGACAAGACAAGCUAAAAAAGAGAAGUAUAUGGGAGAUAUUUUAGAGCAAUUUAGAAAGGUGCAGAUUAAUAUUCCUUUUCUCGAUGCCAUCAAACAAAUUCAAUCAUAUGCGAAGUUUUUGAAGGAACUUUGUACUAACAAGAGACGGUAUGAAGAACAUGAGGAGGUGAAGUUAUCAGACACGGUUAGUGCGGUUCUUCAAAGAAAAUUGCCACCAAAACUUCAAGAUCCUGGUAGCUUUACAGUCCCAUGUGUCAUUGGAGAAAGAAAAUUCGAAAAAGCUUUGCUUGACUUGGGAGCCAGUGUGAAUUUGAUGCCCUAUUCUGCUUAUAAACACCUCAAAUUAGGCGAACUAAAGCACAUAUCCAUUUCUCUACAAUGCACUGAUCGUUCUGUGAAAUAUCCAAGAGGGAUUGUUGAAAAUGUACUUGUGUGUGUUGAUCAAUUUAUUCUUCCUGCUGACUUCAUCAUUUUGGACAUGGAAGAAGCCGAAAUUCCUGGUCGUGACUUGCCUCUCAUUCUUGGCAGACCUUUCAUGGCUACUGCAGGUACGAAGAUUGAUGUUAAAUCGGGAUUAUUAACUAUGACUGUGCAAGGUAUUACUGUAGAAUUUCAGGUCUUCGAAGCAUUGAAGAAGCCCAUGGAUCUUUAUGACUGCUUUCGUGUUGAGGUAGUGGAUCCAAUUAUAAAAAAAAACAUUCAUUGAAUCAAGCAUCUCAGAUCCUCUGGAAGUUUGUAUCUCUCAACAUGGGAUGAGUUUUGAAAAGGCUACCAUCAUUGAAGCAGAACGAGAUCUCAAUGCCGUAACGUCCUACUCUCUUAGAUGCCAGCCCAAAUUUGAAGCGUUGCCACUCACAAGCCAAAAUUGUACCAUCCAUUAUACAACCUCCAAAGCUUGAAUUGAAGCCUCUUCCAGAGACUUUAAAGUAUGCAUAUUUGGUGAUUCAGAGACUCUUCCUGUGAUUAUAGCUGCUGAUCUUAACCAAACAGAAGAGGAAAAGUUGAUGCAAAUGUUGAGGGAGCAUAAAACAGCAUUGGGAUGGAGUAUUGCAGACAUAAAAGGAAUUAGUCCUCAAUUUGCAUGCAUCGGAUAUAUCUUGAGGACAAGUCAAAGCCUUCUAGAGAGGCACAGCGACGUCUAAAUCCACAUAUGCAAGAAGUGGUUCGGGCAGAAGUUCUUAAAUUACUGAAUGUCGGCAUUAUUUAUCCUAUAUCUAACAGCAAAUGGGUAAGUCCACUGCAGGUUGUACCACAGAGAUCUGGAAUUACAGUUGUCAAGAAUGAAAAUAAUGAGCUUAUACCCCAGAGGACUGUCACGGGUUGGAGAAUGUGUACAGAUUACAGAAAGAUCAAUAAUUCAACUCGAAAAUAUCAUUUUCCACUCCCUUUCCUUGAUCUCAUGCUUGAGAGACUUGCAGGCCAUAGUUAUUAUUGUUUUCUUGAUGGCUAUUCCAGAUAUAAUCAAAUUCCCAUAGCUCCGGAAGAUCAAGAAAAGACUACUUUCACAUGUCCAUUUGGAACUUUUGCCUAUCGACGAAUGCCUUUUGGGUUAUGUAAUGCUCCCGCAACAUUCCAAAGAUGCAUGAUGAGCAUUUUCUCAAACUUGGUGGAAAGGUGUAUCGAAGUGUUCGUGGAUGAUUUUUCCGUGUUUGGGUCAUCGUUUGAUCAAUGUCUUCAUCAUCUUUCAUUGGUGCUCUAACGGUGUCAAGAAACCAACUUGAUUUUAAAUUGGGAAAAAUGUCAGUUUAUGGUGAAAAGUGGUAUUGUUCUUGGUCAUGUAAUUUUAGCUGACGGAAUUGAAGUUGAUAAAGCUAAGGUGGAGCUGAUUUCGAAGCUUCCUCCUCCCACUUCUGUAAAAGAAGUUCGAUCCUUUCUCGAGCAUCCAAGUUUUUAUCGCCGAUUUAUUAAAGAUUUCUCGAAAAUCACCAAGCCACUUUGUGAUCUGCUUGCUAAAGAUUCUGUGUUUAAUUUAAAUGGUGAGUGCUUACAAGCUUUUGAGACCCUCAAGAAAGAAUUAACACAAGCCCCAAUCAUAAAAGCUCCAGAGUGGUCUCUUCCUUUUGAAAUCAUGUGUGACGCCUCUGAGUAUGCAAUAGGUGUUGUGUUAGGGCAGCGAGUUAACAAACUUCCUCAUGUUAUAUUUUAUGCUAGCCGAAUUCUCACUUAACAACUUUCAUAUCCCUUAGUUUCCAAAAUUUAAUAUACAAAUUUAGUCUCCCAAGCAUUGCUAUAUUACUUAAGUAUUGAUUAAUAGACUUAUUUCUUAUGGUGACACAUUAUUUAGUUUACAAAUUUAGUCUAUCUAACAUUACUCUUUUGACAUUGUCUUGUCCACUGAUAUAAUUCUAUUUUUCUUGUGAUCAAAACUUCAAAUGUUAGCAAGUCGCACGUAAAGUCGCUUCUGAGAGAAUGUGCUCACAUUGUAGUUGAAAGAUUAUGUGGCUAGCAACAUUACAAAUUUAAUUUGGUAUAAUUUUAAAAUAUAGAUUGAGGAAAAAAAGGAUCACAUUAACUAGAAACUGAAAAGGUUUCGGCGCAAUAUGUUCAAGCAAGAAACUCAAUUUUGAUGCUACCGAUCUUAACAGCCUGAGCGCCGUACCUGGGCACUAAAGUCACCACCACACUCUCAUCAUCUUCAGCACCCAAAUCCUCCAACAGGUCCGUUAACCCCAACCUUAAACAACUCUUGCUCUUUUCCUUCUGCUUAUGUGGCACACUCACAAAACUCCCAGCAAACUCGCUCUUGUCGGGUCCACUCGGUGCCGCAUCCUCAUCAUCCACGUCAUUCACAUACACAUCAAACUUCACAGCCACAUCUUUGUCAAGCUCAAUCCCCCGAAUCACCAAUAUCUCCUCCUCAUCCUCUUUCUCCUUCUUGCUCCUCUUCUUCGGCUUCGGCCUUGACACCACCGUAGUUAUCUUCGUCUCCAAAUUUAUUGGAAAAUCUUUACCCGCCACCACCUUCCCCGAUGACGUCGUCUCAGCGGCCUUCGCCACUCCAGCCGCCUUUGCCUUUCUCGCAAGCUUUGUCCGACGUGGCGUCGGUCUAGAGUUGAGCCAUGGAAUCUCAACAUCUUCAUACGUAUACCCUAGCUUUUUAUUAUCAAGAGUGUCCCUCACCGUGACCCUAACAAGCUCAGCAUUCUCGUCAUAAAACAAAAACCCCGUAUCCAACCAAUCCUUAUCGUUAAUAUCUUUAUUUUUAGUCCCUAUACUUUUCCAAAUAUUCCACAUUCGAUCCAGAUUCAAAUGGUGCGCAAAAAAUAUCGGAUCCCUUGCAGUGGAGUAAAAAUUCCCCAUGUCUUCAUAAUUAGGUUGCGUGUUAUCUCCGGUCCAUGUAUGAACCGGACCAUGUGGGGUCUGUUCGAUUGCACCGGCCCCUGGAUCUGGUUCAGUGCCAGCCCUGUAGGGCGAACCAAAGAACAACAGCGGUUUCUUGGAGUUGGAAACCAUCUGCCUAUACAUGAUUUUGAGGUUGGCUUCGAUUUGAGCAUCCUUGGACAUUGUUUCAUCCGUGCCGUUGAAGUCAAGAUCGAUGAGAGUUGGCGGCUGAUGGCUGGCAGCGCGGAGCUCGUCGUAAAGCGGAGAGUCAGGGUUAGCGUACAAGGCAGGGAGUUGCAUGCCAGCUGGCGCGUCCCAGUUCCAAAACGGCAACGCGAAGGUCGGAUCGUCUAUGAGUUUGGCCAAGAUUCUUUCGUGGAAAUAUAGGUAGUAACGAUGGAAGGGGAAGAAAAGCCAGGAUUGAUGGAUUUGGAGCUCGAGGUUGGGGAAGCCGACUUGGUCGUACGCACCGUUACAAUAGGCACAGUGGACAUCGGCUUGCUGGGUGAAGCUACGCGGAUCGUCGUCCGGGAGGGCUUUCAUGAGCUCGAUGGCUUUUGAGUAUUUUUCGAUGUAGGCUUUAUCCACGGC
Molecule: long non-coding RNA, 99739 nt
Filed under: Malus domestica (apple)
Lineage: Eukaryota; Viridiplantae; Streptophyta; Magnoliopsida; Rosales; Rosaceae
Description: long non-coding RNA (MDOM_LNC009719)
Source: RNAcentral